Molecule: long non-coding RNA, 156155 nt
Filed under: Solanum tuberosum (potato)
Lineage: Eukaryota; Viridiplantae; Streptophyta; Magnoliopsida; Solanales; Solanaceae
Description: long non-coding RNA (STUB_LNC004039)
Rfam family: Plant small nucleolar RNA U3 (bases 33020-33199)
Source: RNAcentral
UUUCAUUUCCUACGGUACCACCAGUUACGAGGAAGUCCUUUUCAUCACCAACUUUCCAAACAGUUUGGUUAACACACGAUGUACUUGAUGUUCUAACCGAGAACAUGAUAUGUAUGGCAUACAUUUCACGCAGUACCAAAUCAUCAUCAUUAAGAAUGAACUUUACGGGUGUCCCAUCUCCCGUUAAACCGAGAUACGGAAUAUGCAGCAACACAUCGUUUGGGCAUUUAUGACCUCCAAUAUUAUCCAAGUAUACAGAUCCACCUUCGAUGAUGGGAGUCUCAAUAAUGUACUCCUUGCCAAUCUUGACUGGAUCGCCGUCUUGAUCAAGUACGGCAGGGAGUACAAGAUUAUCAUCAUGAGUAGUUGUUGGCAGGACAAUUGGAUUAUUGUCCCAUGUGAAAGAUUGACAAAAGGAAACCAAACAGAGCGUACUUGAAACCAAGAGGAACAUCAAAAUAUUAAUGGAUUUCAUUUUUAAUUUGACUGUCUUGUGUGUGUAUUUUGCUUUCUAUAGUUGUUAGUCUAUCUCCAAUUUAUAGACCACCACAUGAUGUACGUAAGGGCAUUUUUGAGAAACAUAAAAUACCCACCUUUUAGGAAAAUAUACUCUUCCGCCUAUUCAAGAUUUUGAUGAAAUGAUGGAUGCACUAUUACGAAAAGAUAUAAAUUUUGAUCGGUUUGACAUUUAGGUUCUUAUAACUGGAAAUCAUUAAAUUUUAAAAUUAUAGGUCCAAAAUUAUUUUCUAUCUAUACGAACCACUUACAGAGGUGUUACCCAAUUUCAGGAAGGAAAAUAAAACAAGAUAGAUAAAAGAUUCAUAUUUAUAACCUCACUUAGACAGGUGCUCCGAAUCAUCAUCGCACAACAUUAUAUGAUACUUCGAGUGUGGGUUCACACAUCUAUAUUUAAAUAUUUUAAAAAAAAAAUAGAACACUACUAUAUAUGAUCUAGGGAGGGAAGCAUGAGUUCACGUGAACCCGGUGUCCCCCUCCUGGAUAAGCCUCUAAUCCUAACCAUGAUUAGAAGUUUACUUUAAUUAAUUAAAUCUCAAUCAUUUAUGUUUAACCAUGAUAUAUGCAUCUUCCUUCCAAGUAAGAACUAAUUGGAGAGGAGCUCCAAAGAAAAUUGACGCACUACCAUUCAUAGAAAUAUUUGUAUUUAGUGUUUUUCAUCCAUUAUAUUCAAAGAUAAACAAUUUUGUUUAAAACAAUGAAUUAUUUAAAUUUCUUCGAAGGUAUAGUGAUAGGAGCGAUAAUUGAGUAAUUAUUUAUCGCAAAUUAACUAUAUGUGUUCACAAGAAAGAGUCCCAUCUACUUUAAUUUUAUUAAUUGCUUCAAUAAGUCUUAUUUCCUGUCUUUUUCCUAUCGUAAUUAUGCAAACCAUGAUUUAUGCUAUUCUCAUACAUUAAAUAUUUUGUUGUUUAAGACUUUAUUUUAGCACACACAAAAAUCAUGUUUUGUUACUAUUCUCCUACGUGGAACGAUCACUACUAAAAAACUGCUAAAAAACGACGGAAGAAAAAGCGACGGACAAUGUCGCUCCAAAAAAGCGACGGACUAAGAGAUGCCGUCCGUCGCUUUUUAAUUAAAAUAAUUAUUUUUAAAAUUAUUUUACAAAAAGCGACGGACUGUAUAUCUUAGUCCAUCGCUUUUUUUACGGAUUUUUGCGCUAAAUAUAUAUAUAAUUAAUAAUAAUUUAUUUAAUAUAUAUAGAGACGUCGUCCGUCGCUUUUUAUUAAAAAUAAUUAUUUANNNNNNNNNNNNNNNNNNNNNNNNNNNNNNNNNNNNNNNNNNNNNNNNNNNNNNNNNNNNNNNNNNNNNNNNNNNNNNNNNNNNNNNNNNNNNNNNNNNNNNNNNNNNNNNNNNNNNNNNNNNNNNNNNNNNNNNNNNNNNNNNNNNNNNNNNNNNNNNNNNNNNNNNNNNNNNNNNNNNNNNNNNNNNNNNNNNNNNNNNNNNNNNNNNNNNNNNNNNNNNNNNNNNNNNNNNNNUUCUUGGUCAAAUAUUUUAAGAAAGCGACGGACAAUGUCUCUUAGUCUGUCGCUUUUUGGUCAAAAUGUUGGUCAAACAUUUUUUUUAAAAAGCAACGGAUAUAGAGAUGUUGUCUGUUGAUUUUUUAAAAAUAUCUGCACUAGCAGACGCGAUUUUCCCCAUUUUCUCCAUAUAAAAAACAAAAUUGAGAAAAUAUUUUGAUUUAAUUUUAUUUAAAUCGUCUUCCGGAGAAUGAUUUUGUGUAAAAUAAAAAACAAAAAAAAUUAUAAUACCGACUUCCAGAUGUCGGUAAAAUUAAAUAGUAUGUAAUAAAUUAAUAUUUUCAAUUAACUUUAAAUAAAUCGUCCUCCGAAUGACGGUUUUUAUAUAGUUAAAAAAUAAUUUAAUAGAAAUACUGAUCUCCUGAUGUCAAUAUUAUUUAAUUAACAUGAUUACUUUUUAUUUAUCUUAAAAUUUAAUGUGAUACCGACCUCAUAAGGUCGGUAUUUUUUAUUAUGAUUACUUUUUAUUUAUCUUAAAAUUUAAUGUGAUACCGACCUCAUGAGGUCGGUAUUUUUUAUUAUAUCUAAUUACUUUUAAUAAAAGCGACAUCCGGAGGUCGGUUUGUUUAAAAUAUUCCUAUUAAUAAUCAUAAUUUUGCUAUUGUGCAUAAUAUUAAAAUUUCAUUUUACACCUACGAUUAAUUGUUCAAAAAGUGUAACAAUUUUGUAUACUUUUACAAAUAAAAUGUUAGAAUUCGUGAAAUAAAUAAAAAAAUAUCUAUAAUCCAUAUUUAGAGUAUGAAACUACGUUGAUAUGAAUUAGGAGAUAAUUAUACUUAUAUUUAUAGAGUAAUGUACAAAUCCUAUCAGUCCGCGCCUCAUCAUAAACUUAAUAUCUCAUGUCAUGAUGUAGUAGAGGUGAAGAGCUAACAUAUAAUCCAUUCCAGUAUGAAAUGCGAGAUAGUAUUAUUAUAUACGUUCGAUCUUGAAUGGAUGUCAAGUGUAGUGAUCACCUCCUAAUUAUGAUGACAUGUAAAGGAUACUUCAUCGGAGUAUGAAAUACAUUGAUUAAUUAUAUAUAUAUUCCUCGAGUAGUUUAACAAAUCAAGUCUUAUAUACUAGUGGUUCAGAUAUGAAAUACAUUAUCAAUUAAAGAAAUACCAAUGAUCAAUUCAAGGAGAUUUAUAUAUUAAAUUUGAUAUUGAUAUACUUUUGUUGAUCAAUAAAAUUAAAUUUAUAUAAUUAGAAGGUAUAUAAUUUAAAUUUAUAAAAUUAACUUGAUCGAUAAAUUAAAUUUAUUUAAUUAAACUUUUGUUGAUGUGUAGUUAAAUUUUAUAUAUAUAUAUAUGUUAAACAUUUUAAAUCAUAACUUAUAGUAUAGUAUUUUCAAAUGUGGAAAUUUAUUUUGAAAAAAAUUAAAAAUUUAAUGUCAAAAUGAAAAAGUUUGAAUAUCAUGAGGUGAAAAGUAUCACAUAAAUUGAGAUAUUAAAAAUAGGCCGCCUUAAAAAUACUGUCAUAGAAGGGUGAUAGUGAUUACUUAGGUUGAUACUGUAAUUUAUUUAAAUUUGAUGGUGUUAAACAUCAAUAAAGUAGAAAUUGACAUCAAUGAAAACAAUACAAUAAAUUUUUAAAAAUUUAUAUUAUUUUACUUAGUUUUGAUUUGUUAAGAAAACCCGAAGAAACAGCAGAACCAUUCGUAAAAAAGUUAAGCCAAAAUACAUAACAAAGUUUUUUCAAAAUAUAUAAAAAAAAAUUACUAUCAAUUUAACCAUUCUUAAGACUAUUUUUAAUUAAUUAAAUUUAAAUUACUCAUUCUAGAAAAGUGAAAAACGUUAUUAUGAAAUAGAGAGUAGUUGAAUUCAAAAGUGAUAACUUAAACUGCUGUUUUAUCAUAAUUUUGAAUUUGAAAUAUAAAUAUUUAAAUUUUAAAGUAAUUUUUAAAAUUUAAAGUUGUAUUUGAAUAAAUAUUUUUAGAGUUUUGCAAUGAAAAUUUAAAAAAUCCAAAAUUUGCCAAAUUAACAUUUAAAACUUAGAAUUUUUGUGAAGAUCGAUUUCUAAAAUUUAAUUCAAAAUUUAUGACUAAACUUCAACUAAAUAAUUGAUUAAACGGAAAAGACUAGUCCUUUUCUUGUCAUUGAUCAAUCAACUCCGCCGUGCAAUAAUGAUGUGUAUUUUUUGUUUUAUUUUAAGGUGGGUCCAAUAAUGAUGAAAUUUAAAUUUUAAUUAAAAUGGUUCAAAUUUGCUUCAUCCCAAACUCAAAACACAAUUUUUCUAAUGUGAUUUUUGAAAAUCCCUAACAUUACUCACUAAAAGUAUUAGUAUUAAUUUUCAAAUUAAAGAAAAUGGACUCUCUUUUAUACCACUCUAAUCACUGUAUGUAAUACACUUUGUCUUUUAUUUUAAAAAUGGAAAAGAGUUAAAAUUACCUCUAAACUGUGCAAAAUAUAUCACUUAUACCCUUCGUUACAUUUUGGGAUAAAAAAUGCUCCUGUUGUUAUCCUAAGAGACCACAAAUACCCUCAAGAGUUAACAUCCCAAAUUCUAGUGACAUGGCAAGUCAUGUGGGAUUAAUCCUUCCACCUAAGCGUUGCCAGCUACGAUUCACUACAAAAGAACCAGACCUUUAGUGGCAACAACAGUCGCCACAAAAGCCCAAAAUAUCGUCACUAAAGGGUUUUUAACAUUAAAUUCUAAUUAUGUUUUUUUCUUCAUUAUUUUAAAAAAACCAAAAAUGAUAUCGAUUAAGGAGGAGUUUGAAGACACUAUAUGUUUUAUUUUUAUGUCAUAUGUAAAUGUAUAAAAUGUACAAUGAUGCAUUAUGUAGUAGGAGAUUUGAAUCGAUAUGUAAUUUUGAUGAUUUUCGUAAUAAUAUUGGAUGUUUUUAAUGUUAAUAGUGCAAGUUAUUUAUUUUAGAAAAUUAGGUUGCAACCGAAAAUUAAUUAUCAUAUUAUUUUGUUGAAAAAAUAGAUUUUACUAGUGAAUGGUUGUUGCAGCCUUAAUUGCCACUAAAAAUCACUCAUAACCUUUAGUCUCAAUAUUUUGAGAUUUUGUGGCGACUUUGUCGCCGCUAAAGGUCAAGUUCUUUUGUAGUGAAUCUUAGUUGGCAACGCUUAGGUGGAGGAAUUAGUUCCAUGUGGUGUGCCACAUCACUAAAAAUUUAGAUAGUUAACUCUUGAGGGUAUUUUUGGUCUCCUGGGAUAAUAACGGGGGAAUUUUUUAUCCCAAAAUGUAACGAAGGAUAUAAGUGGUCUAUUUCGUAUAGUUCAGGGGUAAUUAUGACCCUUUUCCGUUUUAAAAAAUUAUCACACCCCACUCUACAUGGACAAUACAUUCAACCUUGACAAAAAUUAAAUAAAUUAUUAGUAUUAGUUAAAAUUAAUUUUUUUAAAAAUUAUUAUCCAAAAAUAAUAUUAUGUAAAAUAUUUUUUUUACUCCACUCCAUCACUUCCUCUCAUCGNNNNNNNNNNNNNNNNNNNNNNNNNNNNNNAAAAAUAAUUCUACCCACCCCACCUAACCCUCCGCUUUGAAUUUUUUUUCUCAUUUAGUGUUAGAUAUACACAUAUCAAAAAUAUUUUUUACUUGCCACCGCAAGAUUUUUUUAAAUUUAUAAUUUAUUUAUGUUAUAUUUGUACACUAGAAGAAAAAAAAAUUCUAAAAAUAUAUGUAAGUACAUAUCUAACACAAAAUGAGAAAAAUGUAAAAUAAAAAUAAAAAUUAAGAGCGGAGGGUUAAAUAGAUGGGUAGAAUUUUAGUUUUUUAAAAAUAAAAUAGUAUCAACUUUUUUUUGCAAGAGGGGCGGGAAUGAGUGGGUGGUUUUUUCUUUGGGAGGACAGGGGGAGGAUGAAAUAUGAAUUUUUUAAAAGAUUUUUUUUUAAAAGGAUGGGGAUUGUCACGGGGGGGGGGGGGGCCCNNNNNNNNNNNNNNNNNNNNNNNGUGUACAGUGAGGAGGUGGUGGAGUGGGGUAAUUUUUUUUUUAUGGAUAGUAAUACUUUAACCUUUAAUUUUUAAUUAAUAUUAAUAGUUUAUUAUUCAAUUUUUGUCAAGAUGAAAUAUUUUAUCCAUGUAGAAUGUCAUGUGUCAAGGUUUAAUCAAAUAAAAGGGAGAGUGCAUUACACACACCACUGAGGUGUGUUUUUCAAACUAAAAAAAUGAUAGUUUAGAUAUGAAACUCACGCUCUCAAUAGUUUAGGUAUGAAACAAAAAAAAAAGGAUUGUUUAGGUGUGUUUUUUGACAUUUAUCUCUUUUUUUAAUUACUAUAUGCCCAACACAUUAAGAAGUAAAAUUCAUAGUGACUAAUGCUAAGAAAAGUCUUAUUCAAUCAUUGAUCAAUCAACUUUAUUUUUUUGUAUUAUUAUAUAAACAUUUUGUCUUAAUUGGAGAAGGAGUUUACUGGUUGGAAUCUAAAAUUGUUAAGAUUGUUUUUAACAAUGCUAAAGAUAGAAGGUGUCCUUCUAAGGAAAUUGGGAGAGGUACGAGCAUUAUAGCAUAGGCCAAAGCAGCUUAUUUUGGAGCCAAAUGGUGGGUGAAAAAUGAAUAUUCAAACUUUAUUUUAGAAUGUGAUUUUCUGAUUAUAAUUAAUAUGAUCAAGGAUAUAUCUCAAAUGGCCUGAAAAUUGCUGGAUAUUAUUAUGGAGACAAGAAGAAUUACUUUACAGGCCAAUGCGAUUGUUCGACAUUGUUUCAGAAAGACGAAUUAAGUGACGGACAUACUAACUAAAUAUUGUUUAUAUAACAAGGACGUCUUGAUUUUUUAUGGAUCAAAAACUUAAAUAUACAAUUUAACCACUUAAAUAAUCCCUAUAUAACAAUAGUUUAACUUUUUACCUGCAUAGCAAUAAAUUUUUUACAAAUCAAAAAUAAAUAAAAAGUAAAUCGAUAAAUUAUAAAACAACAAUACACGUUCUUAUAUUAAAUAAAAUUUCAUUCCUUAGGUUUCUCUUAUUUUGUUAUUUACCUUCCACAAAUCUCUCAAUAAUUAAUCCCUCAAUAUUUUUAUUUCCUUAAUUUUCUCCUCUUUUUAAAAUUUUUUCUUAAAAUAUUGAACAAAACAAGUUCUCUUUUUUUCUCUCCACCCUUUUUUCUUCUGAAUUUUCUCUCUCUCGUUUUCUUAUUUCUCUCUCUUCACGUCUCUUUCUCCUCUCUCUUUUUUAUAUUUUACCAUUUCUCAUCCCAUUUUAUUUUCUGAAAAAUUUCUUUGUUCUUUUUUAUUUUCCCCCUUCAAUUUUUUUUUGGUUAAAUUAUUUUUUAUAUCAAUGUAGAUGGAAUAUAUAAUCAAAAAUUAAAUUUAUCAUCAAUGUAUGAAUUUAUUUAUUUUAAUUUAUUUGGUUAUAAUUUGAUAUAAUAUAUUCAUUAUGGUAAAAUUGAAUUAGAUUAAUUUGAACUUGACAUCAAAGUUAAAUCAUAUUGUACACCAUGUAAAUUAGUUUAAUGAUACUAAAAAGUUGGUAUAUAUAUGAUUAGAUUAUGGUGUUACGUAUUAUAGGGUUGUAACAUAUAACUAAAAUUAACUUUAUCAUCAAUUAUAAAUCAAUAUCUUUUAUAGUUCUAAUCCAACAUAUCACCAAAAAAUUAACCAUGCCAUACAUCAAAGUACAUACACUAUAACUUAUUUCAACUUUAAAUCAACAAAUCACCAUUAUUUUUUAACCAACAUAUCCACCAAUUAUUUUUAGUUGUUAUAGUUAUUAAAAUUUGAACUUGACACAAAGGUUACACCACAUUGUACACCAUGCAAAUUAGUUUGAUGAUACUAAAAAGUUGGUAUAUACUUGAAUAGAUUUUGGUGCUAUACAUUUUAGGGUUGGAACAUAUAACUAAAAUCAACCUUACCAUCAAUUAUAAAUCAAGUUUUUUUUAUUGUUCUAAAUUAACAUAUCACCAAAAAAAUUAGUCAUACCAUACAUCAAAGUAUAUACACUAUAACAUAUUGCAACUUUGAAUCAACAAACCACCAUUAUUUUUUAACCAACAAAUCCACCAAUUAUUUUCAGUUGUUAUAGUUAUUAAAAUUUGAACUUGACACAAAGUUACACCACAUUUUACACCAUGUAAAUUAGUUUGAUGAUACUAAAAAGUUGGUAUAUACUUGAUUAGAUUAUGGUGUUAUGCAUUUUAGGGUUGAAACAUAUAACUAAAAUCAACCUUACCAUAAAUUAUAAAUCAAUUCUUUUUUAUUGUUCUAAAUCAACAUAUCGCCAAAAAAUUAGCCACACCCUCCAUCAAAUUGAAAUCAACAAAGUACCAAUAUUUUAACUAUAUCAUCCAUUGAAAUAUAUACACUAAAACAUACCACAGUUAAAAAUCAAUAAAUCACCAAUUAUUGUACCAGAUCAUCUACCAAAGUAUAUUCCUUAAUACAUAUCACUAUUUAAAAUAACAUAUCAUCAAUAAUUGUAUCAAAUCGGUCACCAAAGUGUAUACACUAAAAUAUUCUUGUGUUUAAAAAUUAUUCCGAUAAUUUAUGGACCACAUGAUACAAAUCAUAUUCACUAUAAUAAUGCAGAUCUUUUUCAAAUAAACAAUUAUAAUUUUUGGUGUUGAAUAAACAACCGGGUUGUUGACAUCGGUAUUAGCCUUCAUCAAACAAGGACUCUUUCGGGGAGUAUUAUCAAAAGCAACUUUCGUACUCAUAAUCGAUUUAUUCAAGAAGCAUUUUUUUUUGUAUUGUAAGAGAUGAUUUUGAAAAGAAACACAAAGAGAUAUUUUCAAGAAGGAGAAACAAACCUUUUCUUGAAAAAGAUGAAAAAAAAAUGUGCAGCAAUGUGUUAAUACCAGGAAAAAAAAUAGUGCAUCAAUGGUAUUUCUUCGUGUAAGGUUAACAAGAGAGAGAAAUUGAGAUAUUUAUUAAAGGAACAUAUCCAAAAAUAAUUGUGAUUGAGAUUCUAAAAAUAAAAUAAAAGAUAAAAUAUGACUCCUCAAAAUUCAGUCCACUAACCAAUAAAAUAGGACACAAAUCGUGUAGAUAUUUAUAUUUUAUAAUAAAUUGUCAUAUUUGUAAUUAAAAUAUUAAUGUUGUACAUAUAAAGACUAAAAUAAUAUUAUGUAAAUUAAGGUCUUAAAUAGUAUAUUCUUGUAAUUUUUCCAUUUUUUAUCCUAGAGAUUUGCCAAAAGAUGCAACUGGCCCGUACACCUUUAAUAAGAUUCGGAUGUGUAACAACCUGGUUCCCGUCGUUAUAGAAAAGUCAACGGAAAAUUUUUUUGGACCGAAAAACUUUUUAGUAGUUACUUGAAAUUUUCCAACCUAGUCCAGAUUUGGACGAAAUCAGAGUCAGUAAGGUCUAGGGAAAUCUGGUAACAAAUGGGAGAUCUAAUUACGAAUUUGAUCACAUGAGUAGAUAGCUAAGACGUUAAGGAAACCGUACGACUUUACGAAAUUGAAUUCGGGCGAGUAGAACUCCCAAAACUGAUCUUAGCGUGAACAAAUAAUUUUUGAGUGUCAUGGGAUAAAUGUGUGUUGUAAAAUGGGGGUUCAGAACUCUUAAUUUAGCUCUCUGUCUCCGUGCAAGCCACCAAGGCGGGAUUAUUCCUGCCAAGGUGGGGCCGCUGUAGCGGGAUGAGGUUUGCUGUGACGGGACAAUCGCGACUUAAGUUGAAAAUAAACCCCAAAAAUGUCAUUAUUCUGCAAGUUUCGUCUUUGAGAGCUAAGGAACGACCCCAGGUGAUUUCUUGAAGGUUUUCCACCCCUUCUAUCACUAAAGGUACAAAUUUAACUCCCCUAAUCGUAUUUCGAUCCAUAGAACGUAGUUUCUUGGGUAAUUAUCGUUGGGGGAGGGUUUUGAUCUGAAGUUAAUGGUGGAAAAAGCCCUAAUUUGGUUAUAAUCCGGGUAAUUAGGCCUCGUUUAUUGAUCCUUGCGUUAAUUGUAUGUUUUUAUACCACGAACAAGCGGGAAGAAUCUGAAAAGGGAAGAUUCAAGUGCCUUAGAGGGAUUCAAGCUUGGCUUGAGGUAGAUGAUGGUUUUGAUUUCAUGUUGUGUGAUAUAUGUUUGUACUUGCUUCAUUAUAUUUCAUGUAUGUAUGCGAAUGUUGCAUUAUUGAUCACACUAAUCGUAAAUGAGUAUGAACGAAUAAUUAUAUGCCAUGAAUCACCUCUUAGUUGUAUGAUUGUGAGAAUGUACAUUUUGAUUGUGAUUGUGGUAUUUUGAAUGGAGCGGGUGUCACGUUUCGACACGCUAAUUGGGAUCGGAUGUUAAAAUAAUUAAUGAUAAUUAAUAAGGGCAUAUAAAUAGGAGAUUCAUAAAAAAGAGGAAUAUUUAUAUUCCUUGUUUAGCUCAAAGCAGUUAAAAUCGUUCAAACAACUUUCUUUUCUUUUGUUAAAAGGUUUCUCUCUCUUCUCAAUAUUUUCUCUGUUAAUUGUCACUCUCAUCUAAUUCAUAUUAGUUUUUAUUCAAUAAUCUUCAUUUUCUUGUAAUGGACGGCUUCUUAUUAAUAUUAAUAAAGCAUGGUGGUAGAUGAGUUUCUUCAGGUUAGUAUUCUUUGCGAUUUUUUAUUUGUAUUGGUAUACAAAUCAAACGAAAAAAAUUUAUAAUUUAUGAACAGUGAGAUUGGAAAAAAUAUUUAGAUUUUGUUUGUGUAUAAUACUUUUAAUUAUGAUGUUUUUGGUAUGAAUAUUCAUUUUUUGAAAUUACAUAAAAUUUGUUUGAAUAUAGAUUUUGAUUUAAACAUACAUUUUUUGUUUGUUUCUGGUUAAAAAAAUUAUAUAAAAUUUAUUUGAAUUUAGUAUACAGGUUAUACCAUGUUGGUAUGAUUUUGAAAUUAUAUUGAAAUGAAUUUCGUAUAUUAUUUAUCUUAUAAAUGACAAUUAAUAGUUAGAAGUGGUAUUAUUUUGGUAUUAUAGUGGCAUGAUUCUGCUGUGAAAAAGUGACGACUUAUGGCAUGAAAUAGGUAUAAUUUUGGCAUGAAAUAGGUAUGAAAAAUGUGCAGAAUAAUUAUAUGAAAUUUGUUUACUGAUUUCAGAUUUUUUGUUGUGUAUAAUAACUUUAAUUAUGACAUUUUUUGUUAAAUGUAUAAUGUUAUAUUUUGGUAUGAACAUUGAAUUUGUUCAUUAUUUGUCUGACCCAUUUUUACUUUUUGGUAUGUUUCUGGUUAAAAAAAAUAGAUAAUUUUUUUUUUUGAAAUAUGUAUACUACUAAUACCAGACAAGUAUGUCAAUCAAUAAUAUUUUUUGGUACCUAUUCUGAUUUGAUUGAAUUUGUUUUGGCAUUAUAUCGUAAUUGAUUUUGGGAAUAAUAAUGUAAUGAAUUUGGUAUACUGUUUAUUUAAGAAAUGACAAUUAAUAUUUAUAAGUUGGAAUUGUUUUAGUAUUGUAGUGGCAUGAUCCUGGUAUGAAUAAUUGAUGACUAUGACAUGAAAUAGGUAUGAAAUGUGUGAAUAAGAAUUGUAUGAAAUUUGUAUACUAAUAUAACAUAUGUACUUUUACUUUGGUAUUCUGUAAUAACAUAUGAAAUUGUUUACAAAUAACAUACGUAUUUUUACUUUUGUAUGCAUAAAAUGAUAUGAAAUUUGUAUACUGAAAUAACCUAUGUAUAGAAGUUAUUUGUACUUUUGUAUAAUGUAAUACUGACACAAUAAUUUAUGGUGGAACAGGAAAAUAUGCAAUUCAAAAAGUGUCGGAGAAUAAAUUAUUGUCGCCUGGUUCAAAAAGAACUGUAGGGAGAGCACAACUUGAACGCUGGAAAUGGUUUGCUGAUGUGAAAUUCAAGAGGUUAAGGUUAAGUGCAGUACAUGUCGUCGGCAGGGACACAAAAGGAAGACAUGUUCAAAUUUCCCUUCUGAAAAAAAACAUGAUUUAUUUUUAUUUUGAUUUGGUUGUUUUAUUGUGGCAAAGUCAUGUUUUGAUUUAUUUUGUCUUUUAAGUUAAUGAAUUAUAAUUCCAGAACAUUUAUUAUGUGUGGUAGUUAAUCAUUUGUGUAUUCAGUGUUUUUCACAUAUACUCAAAAACUAGGUAAUGCUGGUAUGCGAUUGAUAUCGACUGAAAAAAUUACGUCAAAUCUUAGUACGAAAUUGGUAUACAUUUGGUAUCCAACUGAUGUCCCAGUGGUAAAAUUGAAAAAGCAACAUGUAAUUGAUAUUUCAACUGAACUAGCCAUCUUAAAACUAGUUAAUGUUGUAUCCAAUUUGUAUAAAUUUGGUAUCAAAUUGAUAUCCCAUUGGAAAAUUGAAAAAUCAACAUGUAAUUGAAAUUUCAACCAAAUUAGACAAUUCAAACAAGUUAAUGUUGUAUUCAAUUGGUAUCCAUUUGGUAUCCAACAAAUAUCCCACUGAAAAAUGAAAAAUAAUAAUAAAUGUAACUGAUAUUUCAACCAAAUUAGACAACCUAAAAUAAUUUAACAUUAUAUCCAAUUGAUAUCCAAUUUAUAUACACUCAGUAUCCAACUUGAAAUUUUAGAACAAAGACAAAAAAAAUGUAUGAAAUUGGUAUAAAUCUGGGAAGAAUAAUUCUGACAAUGUAAAAUAAUGCAUUUUUACAUCCCUACUUUAUUUAGGGUGAAACAUCGCGGUGACUCAAAAACUAAUUAAUUAAUUCAAUUUUGAAAGAAUUUAAAGAAUAAACAAAUUUUGAAAGGAGUCGCCACCUAGUUUUAGGAAAACUAGAAAACCAAUUAAAUAAUCUACAAACCAUUAGAUUCUAGGAAAGGGGUUCAAGUUAUUCCGAAAGGAAGGUAUUAGGCAUCCUUCGAAAUCCACAAAUGUGGGUCCCGACUGAAUUCAUUUUUUUCCAAAUUGAGGAGGAGAUAAAACUAUAUACAAGUAAAACAAGCAUGCAAUAUACACAAGUAAUAAAGUAAACAAGUGAUAUGAGAAACAACCUAAUGUUUGCCGAUCGUUAACAGUAUACAUUAUAAUGAAUAUAGUUUUCGAAUUUUAUUCGAAUGGCUUCAAUGGGAAGCGACUCUGGGGUACCUGUAAAGACACUUAGUAAAAGUGUUAGUACUAAAUGAAUAUAAAUAUGAAUAAAUAACUCAAAUAAUAAUUUUAAAAUAAAAAUCUAACAUGGGAGGCCUUGGAAAUCGACGGUAAUUUCUUCAUCGGCCAAUUUUAUCAAACAAAGAAAUAUGAACUUAACUAAAUUUCCGUCUUUUAUAAUGUGGAGGACUCAAAAAUCGACGGAGAGAUAUUCUCAUUGACCAAUUGUAUAUACAACAUAACACAAUAAACAAUAAUAGCAACAAAAUUUUGUAAUACAGUAACUAAAUAUAAACCAACAAUAUAUGAACAGUAACAAAAUAUAAAAUAAUAUAAAAUUCAUUGGAAAAAAAUUUCCACCCCAAACCAUUAAACAAAGAAUAUGUAACAUUAUAAUGAAAAAAAAUAACGACAAAACAAGAGAUAACAUUCAACAAAUAAAUAAGAAAUAACUAAAAUCCAAAUCACUGCCUAGCUCAUUUGAUAAAUAAAAAAAAGCGUUAAUAAGAUAAUAAAUAAAAUUCAAGACUUGAGCAAAAGCAAAUAAAAGCAAACUAAAAAUCAAAAUCAACAAAUUACAAUGUAAAAGAAGAAAUAAAAUAAUGAGAUAUUUACAAUAACAAAAACAUAAAAAACAACAAUAAAGUAUCUAAACUAACAAAUUUUUUCUAUGGACCAAAUUAUAAGAUUAACGCACAACAGUAGCCGUAGCAACAUAAUUAAGGCAGAAUAUAAACGGAAAUAAAUAAAGCAACCAAAAUUGGCUAAAUAAAGAAAAGACACUCUGGAGAAGAUGAUGUUAGCAAGUGCAGUGAAGAACUAACAAGCUGUAUGGUUAUGUUAGGUAUAUCAUUUAAAAGUUAGUUACAAGUUGAUGAGGUGGCAGUAGUUAGUUACAAAGUUGUUAAGAGAUAUUUUGCACCCUUUCAUUGAUAAUGUAGUAUAAAAGGGCGUACAUGUACAUAUUCAUUGCAUCAAGACAUUAAUACAAUCUUCUCUUCUUUCUUCUUCCUUCAAAUGCUCUAUAAUUGCUUCUAGUUCUCAACCUCCAUUUAUGGAGUUAUCAUGGUAUCAGAUCCCUCGAUCGUGAAGGGGUAAACAACAAGUAGCUAAGCAAAAGGACCUCAGGUUCACCAUUGUUCAAAGGUGGAUUGAAAGGAAACAUCAAAAGUAAAGCUCAACAACAAUGGCGAAUGGAAGUGCAUCUGAGGAAACAAGCACUGGAAAUGGAACUUCAACUCAAGCUGUACUCCCAGUAAUUGAUCACAAUCAUCUGUUAUUUCUUUAACACACUGAUACUCCAGGUAGUUCUCUGAUCUCUUUUCAGUUAUCUGGUUCAGAAAACUAUGCUUUGUGGAGUAGGUCUUUUAGGAUUGGAUUGGUAGGGAAAAACAAGCUAGGCUUUGUAGAUGGACGAUUUCCUAAGUCCAUGUUUGAACCAAUUCUGUUUGAUUAGUGGGAAAAGUGCAAUGUUGUAGUAUUAAGCUGGAUUAUGAAUGUUGUAUGACUAGGACUUCUAAGCUCUGUAGUGUAUGCUUCAGAUGCACAAAAAGUGUGUCUAGAACUGAGAAAAGGUUUGAUACAGUAAAUGGAUCUAAGAUUUUUCAAUUGCAUAGAGAGAUUCACACACUGGUGCAAGGAACUAUGUCUGUUGCUGACUAUCAUUCUAGGCUAAGAGAUCUUUGGGAUGAAUAUGAUGCUCUUAUGCCUUGUCCUAGUUGUCCCUGUCCAGAGUCGAAGAAAUUUGGUGAACACUGUGACUAUCAAAGACUCUUACAGUUCCUUAUGGGACUAAAUGAGUCCUACUCAACUCCUAGAAGUCAGAUUCUCAUGAUGAGUCCAAUGCCAACACUUAACAAGGCUUAUGCUCUUAUUAUUGAUCAAGAGAGUAAGAGAAAUCUAUCUAGUUCUGCUUCUAAUAGGUCAGGGGUGAUAGAAGGAACAAUAAUGUAUACUCAUAGAAGCAACACCUACAGUGGUGGAGCAGGUACAUCUAAAAACUCUUUUCCAAGUGGAGCAAGUGGUUCAUAUUCAAGAGGAUCUGGUGAUGGAUAUAACAGUGGUGCCAGUACUUCUGGAGGAAGUUACAAAGCCAGGGUGUGUGUGAACACUGUGGGUGUAUAGGUCAUUCUAAGGGACAAUGCUUUAAAAUUGUUGGAUAUCCGUCAGAUUUCAAAUUUAAGAGGAAGUCAAAUAUGUAUGCUAAUCAAACUACUGCUUCAGAGGAGUGUGGACAUGGGGUCAGGGUUAACAACAAUUCACUCUUAAAUCAAUCAGAAGUUGGUGCAGGGUUAAUAAUGGCACACUCUUCACUUCAGAUCAAUAACAACAGAUACUACAACUCCUUACAAAAUCUGGAGGUGACAAGGUAGGAGAGUCAUCUGCAAACAUUGCCACUGUUGCAAAUGCAGGUAGCUCGCUUACAACUCUAUCUUGUAAUAGUGUUGUAGCAGUAAAUGGAUUAUUGAUACACGAGCCUUUCAUCAUAUUACAUCUAACAUGGAUAUUAUUGACAAAACUAAGAAAAUACCUCCCCAUACAGAAAAUAGGGUACAUCUACUAAAUGGAAAAAAAUGUGUCAGUAUCAUAUGUUGGCAAGUUUUAUGUGUUCACAGAUCAAUCCAUUUCUAAUAUUCUCUUUAUUCCCGAGUUCAAGUGCAACUUACUAUCAGUUUCAAAGCUCACCAAUGAGUUAUAGUGUAUGGUAGCAUUUUUUCCUGACUUCUGUGUUUUCCAGGACCUCUCUAUUGGUCAAGUGAAGGGGAUUGGUAAAGAAGAACAUGGACUCUACAUUCUUCAUGAAGAACCAAGCAACACUCCAAAGAAGUUACUCAAUACUACUAGUGCAGUACCUGUAUCUGCUAAGUCUUUUUCUAGUGAUGUUUGGCAUAAGAGGUUAGGACAUGCUCCAAUUGAUGUAAUAAAGAGACACGAGUCUCUCAGAUAUCUAAACCUCAUAGACAACUUUCAUUGCACUGUGUGCUCUGUAGCUAAACAAUCAAAACUUCCAUUUUCUUUAAGUGUUCAUAACACUACUGCUAUAUUUGAGUUGAUUCACUGUGAUUUGUGGGGACCUCAUAAAGUUCUUACUUAUAAUGGAAAGAGGUACUUUAUUACAAUUGUAGAUGAUUUUAACAGAUACACUUGGGUGUUUUUGAAUACUUCCAAAGCUUACUCAAUAGUUGGAAUCAAACAUUUCCUUACAAGAGUUCAGAAUUUAUUUUCCACAAGUGUUAAAACAUUUAGGUCUGACAGUGUCUGUGAGUUUCUAAUUCAGAAUCUAUUGAGUGAAAUGGGAAUUGUACAUCAGACUACUUGUGUCUAUACCCCACAACAAAAUGAGGUUGCUAAAAGAAAGCAUACAACCAUUCUUGAUAUGGCCAGAACUCUAAGGUUUCAAUCAUUUAUACCUUUGAGGUUCUGGGGAGAGUGUGUCCUUACAACUGUGUAUCUUUUAAACAAACUUCCUAUCAGGUUACUAGGCUACAAAUCCUCAUUUGAGAAACUGUAUAUGCAUCCUCCAAACUUAUCUCACCUCAGGGUAUUUGGCUGUUUGUGUUAUGCUUCUAGUCCUAAGAAACCUGAUAAGUUCUCUGCCAGGGCUGUUCCUGCAGUAUUUAUGAGAUACUCAUCCACACAAAAGGGCUAUAUUCUCUAUGAUCUUUAUGCCAAGAUGAUUUUUGUCAAUAGACAUUAUUGCGGUCUAAUCGCACACGCAAGUGCACGUGAUCGUACAAGUAAUAAAGUGACUCUUUUCGAGAGUCGGGUAUCGUACCCACAAGGACUCACACUUAGAAACUAUUAAUUUCUCUAGUUCUCAGUUAACCACAAAUGUAUUUCCAGAUUUAAAGAGUUGUUUAUUUCUAUUUCUAAAUUUUAAAACAAAAUGUAAAUACAAGAUUCAGUUUCACGGGUUUCAAACAAUGAUUUGGGAAAGAUCCAGGGCUGCAGCUUCUAUCAAGAUUCAUGCAAUCAAUAUCAUUUGUAUGGGUAGUUAUUAACUGUCGAAUCAAUGAAUCACAGGGUUAGAUGUAUGAUCAUGGUCUCCCGACCUCUAAUUGCCUACGAUAGAUAACACCUUAACUACAUCGUUGAGAGGGGAUAAACUGAUUACCUACCGAGCAUUAAGUUAUCUUCUUGUAUGGUGAUCCAAGCGAGGUCUCUAGGUAUAUCCCUAUCCUAGAAACGAAUCAACCCUAGCUAUAUAGAGUUCAACAAACUCCUUAUGCCCCAUGUUCUAUCCUCUUAUUCCUCUCCCGAGUUCAAUUUGGACUAUACAUUUAUUUCUAUGGUGAUCAAUUAUGAAAUAUGGAAAAUAAGAACACAAGAAAGAUUCAUGUGAUGGUCAAUAAUAAACCCAACAAAACUCAAUCAAUUGCAAUCAUCUUGUAGCCACAACCCUAGAACUAGGGUAUUUAGCUACUCAUAGUCCAACAUUUAAUCAUACAAUGGUUAUGAAUAAUCAAACGAUUGGAAGGAAAAAAGUUUAAGAAAUAACCCUAAAGCUGAAGAAAAACGUUCUUCCAAAUCGUCGUCCUUUAAAACCCAGAAAAAGCUCCUUAAUAAAAUAAAAUAAAACCCUGUUUAUACUAAAAGACAAAACGGCCAAAUCUGGUACUCAGGCAUGCGAUGCGCGAUGACUUCCAAAUUUCAAGUCCACAAUACUUUUGCCUUUUGCGCGACGCGCGAGCAUCACAAUGUGUUUUGCCUAGAAGUUGAUUUUUGUAACCCACAUUCUGCAUUCAACCGCGCGACGCAGAGAGAACUCGUAAAUGCCUUGGUGCAUUUUCCUUAGCUUCUUCCUUGUUCUCUUUUGACUCGAAUCUUCAGAUUUCUUACUUUAUCCCUUUUGGUGCUCGUUUCUCCCAUUAAGCAUUCCUACACAACUAAUCAUAUUGGUUAGCUCAUAAAUAAGCAAAUGACUCGAUAAGACUACAAAAAAAUACAUUUUGAAUUCAAACUAAGCGUAACUGCAAGCAUAAUUAGCAUUCUAGGCAUAUAAAUAUGCCUAAGAUCACUACCCCACACUUAAAGCUUUGUUCGUCCUCGAACAACUACUAACAACUCCUAGACCUAGACUCACUACCUUGGAUUGUGCAUCCACUACUAACUUCCAAGGUUCUGUUCACAAUUCACACUGCAUGUUUUCAUUUAUAAUACGCAUAACUCAUGUAGAUGACUGGACAACUUUUUGCAACCAACGCAUUCACAACAUAUGCACCAUUACCUAUCACAUAUCUUUCAUACAACAAGUGCCCUUCACUCCAAGGAAUAGUCCAUGCACUCGAGUUAGCCCAUUGAAUAUAAUUUAAGGACUUUGCAGACAAUAUACACUCUCACUCAGCAAACAAAAUCACACAUGUAUGCACUGAGAACCAUAAGCUUGCCCAUUAUGUACAUCUCUACUAAUAAAGUGUAAAAUGCUCAAAAUCAAACAUGACUUGGUUUCGUUGUGUUGCAGGCUUAAGGUGGGAGAGGAUUCAUUUAGAUGAGAUUAGUGACUCGUCCUCCCUAAUGCACUAUGUUCAGCUCUCUUCUUUCAUUCACAACUUUUUCUUUUCAUUAGCCCCUUCUUCUUCAUAAGAUUUAACUAGUGUUACUAACCUUGCCUUAUUGCUUACUUGCCCCUUUAUUUCCUCAAUUAUUUUUAUUUUUUUUAUUCAACACUAGCCACCCUUUACUCGGAGAUUUCUCUUGAGUUAAGGUGCACAUUGUCCUUUUUAGGACCAGGGCCAAUCUCAGAUUCACAAUCAUGGGGUAUCAGUUACCUUUCUUUCAUUCUUCCUAACAACUACGCAUUUCCACCCUAUCUACUCUUUCCGUUGUUUUUACCUUUCUUCCUAACAUAGUGCAUUAGGGGUUAGGAUCAAAACUACGGUAUCAAUAAAAAGGGAUUCGGUUUAUUAUGUGGGUUAGAACAAAAUCAAGGCUAAAAGGCUCAAUUGGGCUAGACUAAGGAUCUUCUUUCUGAACAAGCUCAAAUUUCAAACAAUUCAAACAAAGCCUGUUAUCACCUUUCAAACAUAAUACCACUUGUAUUUCGCUUCAAUAACAACCUGGGCAAGUUUUAGACUCAGAUGCAAUCAUGGAUAUCAUACAAAACUCACCGCUCAUGGCACAAGUUGUACUCAGAAUGGAUUAAUCACAACACAAUCAUUUCACGCAAAAGGUUCAAAUUAAGCUUAAGUUGCACAUUCAAAUCAUAUACAGGAAUUCACUGCAUUCAUACAUCAAUUUCAACCAUGUUUUUCAUACAUCAGAGAUUUUCAGCUUCAGCACAACCAAGCCUAAGACUCAAUGACGAAAUUGCCCUUAAGACGACCGUCAUCCAUCUAUCAUUGGUCAUCUUGACUCAAUCUAUGACUACUGAUUCAAUCCUAGAAACAAAAUCUUUUUGUAUUUUUGUACGGUUCAAAGGGACUAUCCUUGGCUAAAGAACCGAAAAUAACUACCAAGGAACCCAAAAUCAAACAAAACAGAAAACAAUGUUCAACCCAAUAUAUGUACUAAUCAGAUAUGUUUUCUACCUUCACCCCACAUUUAUACAAUUGCACUGUCCCCAGUGUAUGUCAAAAUCUCAAUAAAGUUCGAAAAGGUAAAGUGAAAAAGAAACUCCCUGAUCAGUCCUCCGUUAUAUCACCCCCAUUGGCCUCAGCCUCGGCCUGUAUGGGGUCUAUCUCCUCAUCCGAAUCAGAAUCCACAUCUGAGCCGGUACGCAAGUUCUCUUCAUCAGUCAGGAUAUCAUUCUCAGUCAGCUCCCGGAACUCAGGACUUAUGCCAAGUAAUGCUUUAGCUUGAUAAUUCAGAAGAUAACGCCUGUUGACCUCCUCUAUUUCCAGAUCAGUAGAUGGCCGGCCACCAGUUUUGUGUCAUAGCAUCUCCAGGCCAUACAUCCUAAACAUGAUUAAAUUAUCUCUCAUGUGGCGCUCUGCGGUGGUGAGUAUUGGGCCGAAGUUAGUGUCCGGCCCCUUUGUGCGAGUGAUGUCCACCGAUGCUGGAUAAAGUGGUGCCAUGUAAUCUAAAUUCUCUUCAGGGACACCUGCAACACGACACAUUUUGGUAAUCAGACUACAAAAUGCAUACCUAUGCUCUUUGUGAACCCGGGCUUUCCUCAUUGAAGAUUUUAUGAUGGCUCCGAUGUUCAGCUUCAUGCCAGUCAUCAAAGCAUAAACUAGGCACACCCGAUCACACGUGAUAUCAGUGUAAUGUAACCCCGGGAUCAGAUAGUUCAUCACCACCUUUAGCCAAACACGUGUCUCCCACAGCAUGCGGGCGUAGGGGAGAGAUUUAUGAUAUCUUUUCUCACUGUGCUUAGUCCAUUGUGCUAUGGACUGUGGCCCGCAUAGCAUAUGGCGGACGGCCUGGUAUGGAGGGUGUAUGUUCAGCCUUGUCAACACUACUAGGUCGGUGUCUUCCGGUGUACCCAAUAUAUCAUUAAUACAUGUGGGAGUGAUGGGCACAUUUUUACCAUGCACCGUCACAUAGUGGGAUUGCGCCUCGGGUGUCUAGUUGGCGUAAAACUUCCGGACCAUAUGCAAGUUACAUUCGUCUGGGUCAGCAAAGAUGAACUCCAUGCAGAGCUCUCUAAUUUGCCUCCGAAACUGGGGGAACUCAUGUGUCAGACUGUCCCCAUCAACACAGAUAUCAAAAAAAUAAUUGGCCUCGGUGUGCUUCUUAUACCAAGCCUUUCCUUCUUUGGUGACAUCCUUCACCCUUACUCACCUAGUUUGACCCCUUGGAAGUGCGGGUGCGGGUGGGACAUUCCCACUCCGAACACGUUUCCUAUUGCUUGAUGUGGCCACUUUCUUGCCAGGUCUGUGUGAGCUAGACAUGGUAACCAGUAAAAUAUACGAAAGUUCAGCCCCCAUGACUGCAAAACAAUGAUAAUAAUAUGGGUGGUGUGCGCACACCACCCCACACUUAGUUCAGUGUAGUCUCAUCUUAGGUACUCAGACUUCCCACAAUUUACCAGCAACAUACUCAAGUAAUUACCAAGCUCGUAAAAUUGGUGAGGCAUCGCAAUAUCAGAGACAAUCACAAAACAAUUGGAAAAUGUUACUGAAGACUUCACACAAGUAAUAUAGACCCCUGAGUACACACUACCACCCAACAAACAUUUCCUAGCAACAGUAAUCCUUCACUCUGUGUUUGCCAAAAUAGUAUCUACUCAAGAUACUAGACCUUCAAUAGUCGAGGUAGUCAAACCCCCAUACUACCUCUCAAUUCAAGCAAGCUAACUCAAUUCACUGCAAACACUACAUCAAUCAUUAACUAUUCAGACACAAUUGAUUACGAGCAAGCAUAACCCACAAAUCUUUACCUCAUGCAAGAUCAACAACAGUGAACAUUAAGUGAUUUUUACUCAAGAAGUAAAAAUCACCUAUAACCACAGUAUCGCCCAACGCAGAAACCUAUGAUUAACCAAGGCACAUUACACGUAGGGAAUUGAGUACACCUAAAAACAAUUUGUCAAACAUUCCCACAUACUAUACCCUAGUAGUUUAACCCAAGAAUCAGGCAACACUGUAUUUCUACUCAGACUUUGAAACACACAUAGCCCAACACGAAACACACGAUAAUGACAAAAUAAAACACCCUUCCCAACUCCCUGAAAAUCGACCAACCAACAACCCAUGGAAGACAUCUCAAACUGUCCCAGAAUUGCAACAACAAAAUAAGAGCACAUACCUAGCGACGCGGAGUUUCGAAAAAAUGAAGAAGAGCAAGAAGGGCAUAGUUGCGCGACACGGGACUCCUUGAAGAAAUUCGCAGAGGUAAAGGGAAGGGGUGAAAAUCGUGGUGAAUGUAGUGAAAAAGGGAAAAUAUGGGGAAUUUAGGGGGAGAAAUUGGGGUUUAAAAAGGCUUGGGGUCGGGUAAUGUCCAACGAAAUCGGGUAAAACCUGGUUAGUUAAUGAAAACGAAAUUUACUCACCUAGGGCACGACAAGCGGCUGGCAUGGAGUCCACUGAAAAUUUAAUUCCAGGCGAGGCCAAUAUUUGACCCUUGCUCCGCGUCGCGGGGAUAGCACGGUAAUGUCUUAUUUUUGACGUAAAAGUAACUUACCGUCGAACUUGAAAUUCUAGACCUCCUCCGCGACGUGCCACAUACAUGGAGUCCUCUGCCUCAAAUGGUAUCAGGCGAGGCAAAAUUAUUCCCCGCCUCCGUGACGCACUCCCUACACGGAGUUGCCUUGGGCAAAAUUUUCUCAUCCUGCAUAUUAUCAGUUCAACACCCAUUAAAAAUAACAUGAUGGGUUGCCUCCCAUCCAGCGCCUUAGUUUUGGUCGUGGCACGACGCAUAUUUUUGUAUUUUUCUUGAUAUAUCCUUUUUUUCUACUAAUUCCUUAGAACUGAAAUAACCAAAUAAGAACAAAUAAAUCCUAACUAUUACAAUGGUUCACAGGUUGCCUCCCGUGUAGCAUCUGAUUUAACGUCGCGGCACGACCCAUCUCAUGACUCAUUCGUCAUUCAAUAUGGGUGCUUCAAGCUCACGAUCUACAUCCUUACCAAAGUAGUGCUUGACCUGUUGACCAUUUACAAGUAACGUAGAGCUCUUGUCCUUGUUUCGUAGUUCUACAACACCAUGUUGAGUCAUCCUCACCACCUCAAACAGACCACUCCACUUAGACCGAAGCUUCCUUGGGAAAAACCUCAAUAUAGAAUUGAAAAGUAACACUAACUGACCAGGUUCAAAGGUGCGUGACACAAUAUGCUUGUCAUGCCACCUUUUGGUCUUCUCUUUAUACAGCUUUGCAUUUUCAUAGGUGUGAAGCCUAAACUCUUUUAGCUCGUGCAGCUGUGUGAUCCUCUUUCUGCCUGCUAACUCAGCAUCUGGAUUCAGUUUCUUAAUCUCCCAAUAUACCCUAUGCUCUAACUUAGCUGGUAAGUGACAAGCUUUCCCAAACACCAUUCAAUAAGGAGAAGUCCCUAUUGGUGUCUUGUAAGCAGUCCGAUAUGCCCAUAAGGCAUCAUCUAACUUGUUAGCCCAAUCUCUUCUUUGGGUAUUCACAGUCUUUUGGAGGAUCUAUUUGACGUCCCUGUUUGAUACCUCUACCUGUACGCUAGUUUGGGGAUGAUAUGUUGUAGCCACUUUGUGUUGCACCCCAUAUUUCGCUAACAGACUAUGAACUAAGUUAUUGAUAAAAUGCUUACCUCCAUCACUAAUUAUCGCCCUUGGCGUUCCAAACCUGGUGAAGAUGUGCUUUCGAAUGAACUUGACAACCACUUUGGCAUCAUUUGUUAGCAAUGCAACAACCUCCACCCACUUAGACACGUAGUGCACAACGACUAGAAUGUAUUAAUUACCCCGGGACUAUGGGAAUGGUCCUAUAAAGUCUAUUCCCCACACAUCAAAGAUCUCCACCUCUAGUAUGUUGUUCAAUGGCAUCUCAUGCCUUUUCAAAAUGGUGCCCAUCCUUUGACACUGAUCGUAACCUUUCACAAACAAAGCAACAUUUUUAAACAGAGUAGGGCAAAAGAAAUCAGAUUGCAAUACCUUAUGCGCAGUUCUUUCGCCUUCAUGAUGUCCACCAUAUGGCGACGCGUGGCAACUCUCCAACACUUGUGUCGCCUUUGCUCAACUAUACACCUUCUAAUCAUCUAAUUCGGACCCUGCUUGAACAAAUAGGGCUCAUCCCAUAUAUAAAAACGGGCAUCAUACUUUAACCUCUGCUUUUGAUAUGUUGAUGCCCAGGUGGAAAUAAACCACUCACCAGAAAAUUCACAAUAUCUGCAUACCAACGCACCUGAGCAAUGUCCAAAGCAAGCAACUGCUCAUCAGGAAACUCUUCACGAAUCUGCCUUUCAAUUUUCACAUGAGACGAAUCCUCUAGGCGGGACAGAUGAUCAGCUAUUUGGUUCUUAGUUCCCUUUCUAUCUCAUAUUUCUAGGUCAAACUCUUGCAGCGGCAGGAUCCACCUAAUCAACCUAGGUGUGGAAUCCUUCUUGUUGAACAAAUACCGAAUGGCCUCAUGAUCAGUGUAGACUAUCACUUUGGUUCCCACCAAGUAUGACCUGAACUUGUCGAAUGCAAACGCCAAUGCCAACAUCUCCUUCUCAGUAACUGUAUAAUUCGAUUGAGCUGCCUCAAGUAUUUUGCUCGCAUAGUAGAUGGAGUGAAACACCUUGUCUUUUCUCUGCCUAAGCACUGCCCUAACUGCUAUAUCACUAGCAUCACACAUCAGCUCGAAAGGAAGCUCCCAAUUUGGAGUAAUAAGAAUAUGAGCCUCAAUCAACUUCUUUUUCAACAUCUCAAAAGUCUGCAAACAUUUUUCAUCAAACACAAGUUUCAUCUCUUUCUCUAAUAAGUUGCACAUAGGUCUUGCAGUUUUAGAGAAGUCCUUGAUGAACCUCCUGUAAAAACCAGCAUGUCCAAGAAAGCUUCGCACUCCCUUCACUGAUAUUGGUGGUGGCAACUUCUCAAUCACUUCCACCUUCGCUUUGUCUACUUCUGGCCCACUCUUAGAGAUCUUGUGCCCCAACACAAUUCCUUCUUUGACCAGAAAGUGACACUUCUCCAAGUUCAGCACCAGAUUGGUCUCCACACAUCUAGCAAGAACUCUAUCAAGAUUAGAUAAACAAAGUUCAAACGACUCACCGAACAUCGAGAAAUCGUCCAUGAACACUUCAGCCAAAUCUUCCACCAUAUCAUGGAAGAUUGCCAUCAUACAUCUCUGAAAUAUGGCUGGGGAAUUGCACAAGCCAAAUGGCAUGCGUUUGAACGCAUACAUGCCAUAUGGGCAAGUGAAUGUCGUCUUCUUUUGAUCCGCAGGUGCAAUGACGAUCUGAUUAUACCCUGAAUAACCAUCAAGGAAACAGUAAUACUCUUGGCCAGCCAACCUGUCUAACAUUUGAUCAAUAAACGAUACCAAAUAGUGGUCCUUCUUGGUGGCUUCAUUGAGUUUUCUGUAGUCCAUGUAUAUCCUCCACCCAGUUACUGUUCUUAUGGGGAUCAACUCAUUUUUCUCAUUGGUUACAACUGUCAUUACUCCCUUCUUAGGCACACACUGCACUGGACUUAGCCAUUUACUGUCAGAUAUUGGGUACACAAUCCCCAUAUCCAUCCACUUGAUGACUUCUUUUCUGACAACAUCCUUCAUCAAUGGAUUUAGUCUCCGCUGAUGCUGUCACUUGCCUUGUACCCUUCUUCCAUAUAUAUUUUGUGCAUACACAGUGCAUGACUAAUACCAUGGAUAUUAGACUUUUGCCAUCCAGAGCUGCUUUUCUCUUCUUCAAAAUGAGUAGUGCGGCUUUCGCCUAUUCGUCAGAUAAAUCUGCAGACAAAAUAACCGGUAAAGUUUCAUCUUUACCCAAAAAUACAUACCUGAGGUGGGCUGGCAGUGUUUUUAACUCCAAUUUGGGUGCUUCUUCAAUGAAGGGUUUAGGUGGAAGACCCAACACCCUAUUCAGAGGCUCCCAGCUCUCUCCAGCAGUAACCAUAGGAGACACAUCAAGGAAUUGCACCAUUUCAUUUGCCUCAACAUCCACAUAUAUGUCAUCACCCACUAACACUCGCUCUAGAGGAUCCUUAGCUGCAAUAUAUUUAGCUUCUGCCUCAAGAUCUAUCACGGUUAUGGCAGACAACUCCUCAUACACAACAGGAAAUUUUAAGGCUUUGUAUACAUCAAACACCUCCACUUUAUCAUGAGCUCUCAUAGUAAGCUGCCCAACUGUUACAUCUAUCAUUGCUCUACCAGUCGCUAAGAAAGGUUGUCCUAAGAUGAAAGGGAUCUCAGGAUCAGACUCGAAAUUCAAUACUACAAAGUCUACUGGGAAAAUCAGAGAUACCACUUGUACUAACACAUCUUCCACAACACCCUCAUGUCUAGCUACAGAUCUAUCCGCCAACUGCAAAAUUAUGGUAGUUGGUUUAGGACUACCCAACCCCAAUUUUUUGUACAGAGAAGUUGGCAUCAAGUUUAUACUCGCUCUUAGAUCACACAAUCCUAGAGCAUGGAUGCUUUGCCCUAUAGUAAUCUGCACAGUAAAGCUACCCGGAUCUUUUAGUUUAAUGGGCAGCUUGUUCUGAAUUCUAGAGCUGCACUCUUCAGUAAGUGCCACACUCUCAUACUCUGUCAGCCUCCUUUUGUUUGCUAUGAUCUCUUUCACAUACUAAGCAUACCUGGGUAUACCCUACAAAACAUCCACCAAUGGCAAGUUAAUGUGAACUUGUCUUAGGAGAGAGAGAAACUUACCAAAACAUUCGUCCUCCUUUUGUUUCUUGAACUUCUGAGGAAAUGGAAGGGGUGGUCUCACUAUUGGUUGCACGCUUUCUUCCGGUGCAACUACUUCAUUCUCCUUAAGCUCACCCUCUUUGGGUUCACUCUUUGUGUUUAUAACUUCAGUGUUUCUUUCCUUAGGAGUUAACUCCUGCAAUUGCAAACCACUGCGUGUGCUUACUGCAUUCACCUGCUUAGGAUUUGGGUCAGUGUUUCCAGGCAAAUCUCUUUGCGGUCGUGAAUUUUGGGCACUAGCAAACUGCCCAAAUUGCUUCUCCAGAUUAUGUGUGGCUAACUGAUUAUUCCUCACAUCACUAGCUAACUAGGCUAGAUCAAACAUAAUCUUUUUCAGCAUCUCCUCCACACUCAUGUUUUUGAUUUGCUACUUGGGUUGCUCCCUUUGUGCCUGUGGUUGAUAACCAUUGGCAUUGCCUUGUGGUUUAUAAUGGUUUUGCCCUUUGCCCUGGUUCUGAUUUCCACCCCAAGAAAAGUUUGGGUGGUUACGCCAAUUUGGGUUAUAAGAAUUUUCAUAGUUUUGUUGGCCUCCUCCUCUCUAGGCAUUCCUUACAAAAUUAACAGAAUCUGGGUUUGCACCACAUACCUCUGCAUCGUGAUUGCUACCUCCGCAAAUCUUACACCAAGACGGUGGUUGUUGAAUUGCAUUUACCUGCGCAGGCUGUUGUCCCAAUGCCAUGUUGCUGAAAUGUGUACUCAUCAUAUUCUGCAUAGCAGAAAUCUGUGCAGUUAGAGCUAUUAUCACAUCUACUUCCAGCAUACCUGCAGUUUUCUGUACUAUAGGUUUUAUUCCCCUUUCGUUCCACUACGAAUUACCCUGAGAGAUCCGGUUCAACAAGGUGAAUAGUUCUGCAUAAGUCUUUUCUAAAGCUUGUCCACCUCAGCUAAAUCAAGUAAAAUCUUGGUGUUAGGCUCCAACCCUUCAAUGAAAGUAUUGACUAACACCUCAUUAGAUUGUUGAUGAUGAGGGUAGCUCAUCAACAUCGAUUUAAACCUGUCCCAAGCUUGGUACAAGUUUUCACCACCUUUCUGCCUAAAACUCAGAAUAUCACUCCUCAGCUUAGCUAUUUUUCCAAAUGGAAAGAAUCUGAUGAAGAAUUUCUGUGCCAAAUCGUCCUAGGUGGUAAUUGAAUUUGCAGGCUCUAAGUUCAACCAUUUUUUUGCUUCCCCAAGCAAAGAGAAAAGGAAUAAGCUGAGCCUCACGUAAUUUUUAUUCACCCCAGUUGGAGUGUAAGUAUCACUAAUCUCGAGGAAGUUCUGAAUGUGAACUGUGGGAUCCUCAUGUGAAAGACCAGUAAACUGCCCAUUCGUGUGCAAAAUUUGCACCAUACUCUACUUCAGCUGGCAUCUCCCACCAGAUUCACUUUCGUACUUUCAACUCAGCAGCCAUUGUCUGAAGUUCUUCCUCUUCUUUUUCUUCUAUUUUUGGUCCCGGAAAAUCUAGCUCACCUAUAACUAAGGGAAUCGGAUAUGCUCAUCGUCUCCGCCUUCUAUGCAAGUGUACGAAUCUUUCAAGUUCUGAGAGAGGCGAUAACAAUUCUUGAUCGUCGUCCAGUUUGGAGUUUCAAAACAACCUGCAACAAUGGAAUGCUAAGAUUAAGAUGUCAACACUUACGUUUCAACUUCAGAAAUAAGAAAAAUUCAAAUACUUUCUAAUUCUAAAGUCCCUGGUAGCAGCGCCAAAAACUUGUUGCGGUCUAUCGCACACGUAAGUUCAUGUGAUCGUACAAGUAAUAAAGUGGCUCUUUUCGAGAGUCGGGUAUCGUACCCACAUGGAGUCACGCUUAGAAACUAUCAAUUUCUCUAGUUCUCUAUUAACCACAAAUGUAUUUCCAGAUUUAAAGGGCUGUUUAUUUAUAUUUCUAAAUUUUAAAACAAAAUGUAAAUACAAGAUUUAGUUUCACGGGUUUCAAACAAUGAUUUGGGAAUGAUCCAGGGUUGCAGCUUCUAUCAGGAUUCAUGUAAUCAAUAUCAUUUAUAUGGGUAAUUAUUAACUGUCGAAUCAAUGAAUCACAGGGUUAGGAUGUAUGAUCAUGGUCUCCCGACCUCUAAUUGCCUACGAUAGAUAACACCCAUCGUUGGGCGGGGAUAGACUGAUUACCUAUUGAGCAUUAAGUUAUCUUCAUGUGUGGUGAUCCAAGCGAGGUCUCUAGGUUUAUCCUUAUCUUAGAGACGAAUCAACCCUAGCUAUUUAGAGUUCAACAAGCUCCUUAUGCCUCACGUUCUAUCCUCUUAUUCCUCUCCCGAGUUCAAUUUUGAUAAUAUAUUUAUUUCUAUGGUGAUCAAUCAUGAAAUACGGAAAAUAAAAACACAAGAAAGAUUCAUGUGAUGACCAAUAAUAAACCCAACAUAACUCAAUCAAUUGCAAUCAUUCUGUAGCCACAACCCUAGAACUAGGGUAUUUAGCAACUCAUAGUCCAACAUUCAAUCAUACAAGCUUAUGAAUCAUCAAACGAUUGAAAGGAAAAUAGUUUAAUAAAUAACCCUAAAAGUGAAGAGAAACGUUCUUUCAAAUCGUCAUCCUUUAAAACCCAGAAAAAGCUCCUUAAUAAAAUAAAAUAAAACCCUAUUUAUACUAAAAGUCGAAAUGGCCAAAUAUGGUACUCAGGCGCGCGACGCGCGAUGACUCUUAAAUUUUGAGUCUACGAUACUUUUGCCUUCUGCGUGACACACGAGCAGCAUGAGGUGUUCUUCCUAGAAGUUGAGUUUUGCAACCUCCGCGCGACCGAAGAGAACACGUAAAUGCCUUGGUGUAUUUUCCUCAGCUUCUUUCUUGUUCUCUUUUGACUAUAAUCUUCAAAUUUGUUCCUUUACCCCUUUUUGUGCUCGUUUCUCCCAUUAAGCAUACCUACACAACUAAUCAUGUUGGUUAGUUGAUAAAUAAGCAAAUGACUCGAUAAGACUACAAACAAAUACAUUUUGAAUUCAAACUAAGCGUAAAUGCAGGCAUAAUUAGCAUUCUAGGCAUAUAAAUAUGCGUAAGAUCAGACAUGUUGUGUUUCACAAAGGGUUAUUUCCCUACAAACAUCUCCAAGCCUCACCAAAUGUUAUGUUUCCAAUUAUGGACUAUGUUCCUAUUUCCCCAGAACCUGUUGCCUCACCUCUACCUGAUUCCAGUGAGGAUCCACAUGGGGUAGAUGACAAUGGUAGUCCUAUCCCACCUAGGCCUAUUGUUGAGAUACCUCCUGCUACUGAGGUACCUCCUAGAAGGUCAACUAGAUCCAGCAAACCUCUUCUAUGGUUGCAGGAUUUUGUUAUUAAGCCUAAGUCUUCUGCUUGUUCUUAUUCACUAGCAGAUCAUCUGUCCUACAAACAAUUAUCAUCCACAUAUAGAAAGGUUUUGAAUGCUUACUCAGCUGUCUCUGAACCUGGUUCUUUUAAUGAAGUUGCUACUGAUCCUAAGUGGAGACAGGCUAUGCAAUUAGAGAUUGAUGCCCUGGAGAUUAAUAAGGCUUGUAGGAUAGUUGAUCUACCAUAUGGAAAGAGACCUAUUGGAUAUAAAUGGAUAUAUAAGAUUAAGUUAUUAGCUUCAGGGGAGGUUGAAAGGUACAAAACCAGGCUUGUGGCUCGAGGUUUCAGUCAACAAGAGGGGAUUGAUUGUGGUGAGACUUUUAGUCCUGUAGCCAAAAUGGUGACUGUCAGAUCUGUGGUAGUUUUGGCUACAUCAAAAGGGUGGUAUAUAUAUCAGAUGGAUGUCCACAAUGCCUUCUUGAAUGGUGACUUGCAAGAGGAUGUCUACAUGGAGAUUCCCUGUGGUUUUGUCAGACAGGGGGAGAGUCACAAGGAAUGAGAACUCCACAAGUCAUAUAUGGCUUGAAACAAGCACUUAGACAGUGGAAUAUGUAGUUAACUGAGGCACCAGUCCAGAUGGGGUUCAAACAAAGCCACUAUGACUACUCUCUAUUUACACAACAAAUUGGGAGUGACAUUCUGGUGGUGCUGAUGCAUGUAGAUGAUCUUCUGAUCAUAUGAAGCAAUCACCAACUUCUAUGCAACACAAGACAGGAGAUGCAAAAGUAGUUUAAAAUGAAGGACCUAAGGGAACUAAAAUUCUUCUUAGGUAUUGAGUUUUCUAGAUCAAACAAGGGUAUAUUGAUGACACAGAGGAAAUAUGCCUUGGAGCUGAUUUCUGAGAUUGGCCUAGGAGGAGCAAAACCUGCUAAUACACCAUUGAAGUUGAACAAAAAAACACAUCAGUUCAAUAUGAUGAACAUGUGACUGGUUCAAAUCCUGAUCAUGAUAAGCCAUUUGUUAAUCCCACAAUGUAUCAAAAACUGGAAGGAAAGCUCCUUUAUCUAACCAUGACUAGGCCUGACCUUGCUUUUACUGCACAAGUUCUUAGCCAUUUCAUGCAUUGUCUUAAGGAAUAACAUAUGGAAGCAAUAUUAAGAGCAGUAAGGUAUAUCACAGAAGCACCUAGUCUAGGACUACUAAUGCCAGCAGAACAAACUACACAGCUAACAACUUAUUGUGACUCUGACUGGUGGGCAUAUCUUGAAACAAGAAAGUCAGUUACAGGGUAUCUGGUGGAGUUUAGAGGAGGAUUAAUAUCUUGGAAGUCUAAGAAGCAAUUAACUAUGUCAAGAAGCUCACCUGAGGCAGAAUUCAGGAGCAUGGCUACAUGUGCAGCUGAAAUAACUUGGUUAACAGGCUUAUACAAAGAGCUGGGAGUCAAUGUAACAUUACUAGUCAAAAUGGUAUGUGAUAGCAAGGCAUCCAUCCAAAUAGCUGCCAAUCCUAUCUUUCAUGAGCGUACAAUACACAUAGACAUAGACAGUCAUUUUGUGAGAGAAAGAAUCUGUUAAGGAGUACUGCAAAUAGAAUACAUUAACACCAAGCAUCAACUGGCUGAUCUACUUACAAAGAGUCUUGGACAAGGACAACAAAGUCAACUACUAAGCAAACUUGGAAUGAAGAAUGUAUUUCAACCAUAAGCUUGAGGGGGAGUGUUAGCAAGUGCAGUGAAGAAUUAACAAGCUGUAUGGUUAUGUUAGGAAUAAGAUUUAAAAGUUAGUUACAAGCUGAUGAGGUGGCAGUAGUUAGUUACAAAGUUGUUAAGAGAUAUUUUGCACCAUUUCAUUGAUAAUGUGGUAUAAAAGGGCGUACAUGUACAAUUUCAUUGCAUCAAGACAUUAAUACAAUCUUCUUUUCUUUCUUCUUCAUUCAAAUGCUCUGUAAUUGCUUAUAGUUCUCAACCUUCAUUCAUGGAGUUAUCAGAUGAGAUUAACAGAAAAAUAUUACUCAACACAAUAAGAAAAACUAGUCAACUCAACAAAUGCAUAACCAACAAACAAGUCAUCAAUGAUUAAGAAUAAAGAGCAAAACAAAUCCAAGUAUUAAUUAAUAUUUAGAACAAAAUCAGACUGAGAGGGAACCUGACUGGCGGAGUUCUCUUUGAGUCUCCGAAGUUUGCGUCGCGGAGGCGUGUGGUGCUCACCGGUGGUGUUUGUUUAUAGCUCCGAUGAAACUGAUUUGUCCCACCUUUGAUGGGCGCUAUGGAGUUAUUAUUGUUGGUGAUUGUUCGCCCGCCUGAAAUAGAGCUUAAAGCUCGAUACCGAGCGGUGAUGUUGCUCUUCGUCUGAAAAUGUGAGGAAUGGAGGCGGUUUUCUGAUUCUGAAGCUCGAUUUUGGGUUUGUUUGGCGAUCUUGUGGUUAUUGGGUGGCUGGCAGCUGGGUUUCGGAGUUGUUUCUGGUGACUUUGGGUGGUGGAAUAGUGGCGAGGUCUGGUGGUUUCGCUAAAGGAGAAACUAGGGGGUUUGGUGGUUUUGGGUUCAUUUCCAGUGACUAUUUCACCGGAAAAGGGAUGAAAAAUGAAGAGGGUUUUGGUCUGGUUGUUUGGUGGCUAUUGUUGGUUCACAAGCUCGCUGGUUUGGUUGUUUUUGUCGCCAUUACUGUGACGACGCAAUGGAAAGUAAAAGAAUGGUGAUUGGAGCUUGUAUUUUGUGGUAGUGGUGGCGUGGGUGGUGGAGUUCAAGGCUAAUGUGGUCAGCUUUGGGCGACUGAGAAAAAAUGAAAAUAGAAGGAAAAAGUGUUUUAGGGUUUCGACCAUUUAGAAAAAUUUGUAAGUAUUCACCAUCCCCUUUAUUUUUUGACUUAAUAAAUCUUAAAUAGGGAAUUGUUAUAAAAUGGGCUCAAGUCGUGGAUUCGAGAUUAUGAUCCAAAAUUGUUGAUUAAAUAAAUAUCUAUGUAUAUAAUUAUUAUCCUAAUUUAAUAGUAUUUCUAGACUGUGCUAAAAACGCCAAAAUUGAUAUUAAUAAAAGUAAUGAAUAAAAUGAAUAUUAAAAAAUGUAAUGAACGUAACCCAUGACGUGUUAAACAAUGCAAUUUAACAGAAGUAAUGAUUUAAUCAAAAUGAACAAAAUAUUUGAACGUAUUCAACAGCAUGUGACAAAAAAAAUGUAAUUAAAAUUAACUGAUAAAAAAAUCCUAAAUUUUGAUAAAUAAGGAUAGUUAUCGAUAAACUUAUUUAAAAUUAUAAAAAAUUUAUUUUGAACUAGUAAAUAAAUAAAACUUAAAAGUUACGAAUUUUGAAAAUGUUAUGCCAAAAUUAGGUGUCAACAAUCCAUAUUAUAUAUUGUUGUCAAAAACUGUAGCAAACGAAAUAUACAUCACCCAAAAAUCAAAACAUGUAAUUAAAUGUUCAAACUGCAAUAAUUAAUACAAGUUCUAUAUUUUCCUCUCUCUUCAAUUUAUAGUCCAUAUUUAAGUGUGACCUUCUUUUUAAACCAUAUUUAAGCUGAAAUUUAGGAACUCAUUAUUAAAGAUUUUAUGAUCUCAUAUAUAUACAUAUAUAUAUAACGAUCAUCUACUGCAACCACAGCUCGAGGAGCCAUGGUAGGUUGUUAGUCACGCUAUGGUCACAUGGCCAUACUUCAUUGGUUUCCUGUCUCCUUAGAAAUCAAGGAUUUUGUUGUAUGACCUUACUUGAACAGGAUAUGUUUUAUAGGCUCGUACCACUGAAUCCUUGAUUUCUAAGGAGACAGGAAACCAAUGAAGUAUGGCCAUGUGACCAGAGCGUGACUAACAGCCUACUAUGGCUCCUCGAGCUAUGGUUGCAGUAGAUGAUCGUAUAUAUAUAACAAUAAAUUUCAGAAUUAAAUAUACUUAUUUCACCCAAAAAAGUAUUUUAGAUAUAAAAAAACACACCAAAAACGAGUUCAAAAUUUCAGUAAAACAAUUUUUUUCUCAAAAAAUUGAGUUCCAAAUUAAAUAAAAUAAAAAACGAAAUCAAAAUUUCAAAAUGUAGAAUUAUUAUUUCUAAAAAAGUCAAAUUAAAAAAAUAAAAAACAACAUCAAAAUUUAAAAUAAAAAAAAAUCGAGAAAAGCAAAAAAAAAAAGAAGAUAGAUUAAAGUGAGAGAAAAUUACAUGUUAAAACCUUUAGUGAUAAAUUUAAAAUAUUUGGUUAGUAAUCAAUAUUUAUCUUAGAAAUAAUAAAAUAAUCAAAAUAAGAAUCAACUAAUUAGGAGAAAAUCAAGGGAAAUAUUUAUCUCGUAAAUUAUAAAUUAGUAUAUUUAUGGAAAGGAUAUUUAGUUAAUUAGAAUGGGGAAAAAGAACAAAGAAAACGGGGUGAAAGAGAAACUAAAGAUGGAAAGAGUAAUGUGAGGGUGGGGAUGUGGAUUGGCAUGUGAUAAGUUAAAAAAUUCCUUAAAAUGUGUAAAAGAUAAUUACAAUUUGAUUUUCUCUCACCUAUUAAUUAUAUAAUAUAUAUUAGUUAAUAAUAUAUAAUUAAUUAAUAAAAUAUAAUUAAUUAAUUUGUAAAUUAAAACUAACCUGUUAAUACUUGUAAUUAAAAUGUUAUAAGUAGUAAUACUAAAAAAGUAGAUCUAAAUGUUGUAAUAUUAACCCAGAUGUGUGAGGUGAUUUUUUCUUUUUACAAUUAUAUCCUUCCUUCUUGAACUUUUUAUUUUUCCUUCUUUAACUUUGUAUUUAAAUUAAAACAUUUCUUUAAUUAUGUAGAAGCAAAAAGUAGUCAUAUAGGAGUGAUACGGGUAAUAUUGUCAUUUUAACUUUUUAAAUAGUAUUAAUUAUUUCACCUUCUACUCCGCAUAUAUAAUACAUAAAUUUCCUCAUAACUUAUACAUGUAUUAGUUAUGCGGAUUUCAAAAUUGUCAACCAAACGUCGUAUUAAUUUUAUAUAUGAAUAACUCUCUUUUUAUCCACCUACCAAAUGUUGUGUUCUAUAUAUAUAUAUAUAUAUCACUUUUUUCUUAUCCAUCUACGAAAUAUUGUAUUAAUUAUAUAGAUGAAUAACUUUUUCUUAUCCACUAACCAAACAUCGUAUAAGUUAUACAAAUUCUAAUACAUGAAUAAAAUUUAUUUUAUUCGGCUACCAAACGAUCUCUGGGCAGCCAAAUUUUCCAAUCUUUAUCAACUUUGCAUAUCAAUAAUGCGCCGAUGGGACCAUUAGAGAUUAUCCACAACUAAAACGUGUCAAUAAAGUACGACGGUUGGUUGAGCAUAUAAUAUACGGUAGUAGGCUUAUUAAUAUUUGGAGUAAAUUUCAUUUAGACAUUCAUAUUAUGACUUGGUUCAAUUGAGCAUCUGAACAUAUGAUCAAAUAUUUCUAUUAGAUACUUCCAAUCCAAGUUUGGAGAAACUCUAAUUUUGAGUGUCUUUUCAAUUAGUGGCUAUUACGUAGGUAAGUUAACUAAGUAAAAUAUUUUAUACCCUUAAUUACACGAAUUAACCUCAAUAAGCUAUAAUACCUCAUAUUUGUUCCAAUUAACUUAAAAUACGCCGAUGGAAAGUGAUGGGUGGAAAUUAGUGGAAAGGAAAUAUGAAAUCAAGAACUCUAAUAAAAUUCGAACAUAGAAUAAGCUUGUUUUAUUCAUAACUGUUACAUGGAGCGUGGAUAGAACGAUCCACUUUAUUCCUUAACGAAGAAAAUAGCAAGAGGGUUUUGACCGGAAGCAACGAGAGGAUAUAUAUAAUCCGUAAUCAAUAGUGAAGCUCACAUCAUUACACAUAAUUAAUACAUUAACUUGUAUGCAUUUUCCAAUUCUUGUUCCUCCGUCGUCUCAUAUUUCAUAAUCUUGAACAAGUUGCUUUCAUUUCCACCAGUGAUUCACCAACAACUUUCCAAACAGUUUCGUUCAAACACGCGCGCCGGAGUAGAUAUAUCAAAAUCUGAGAACAUGCAUCCUUUAAUUUUCACGCUCCACAUUAUCAACCUUAAGAACAAAUUUCACGGAAUUCGGUAAAAAAGUUGAGAAAUAAGCUUUGUUAUUUUUAAUUUUUGUAGCUAAGAUAUUUUAUGAAUUUGGACCACAUAUUAAAUAUGAGUUUAAUUUUGGUAGCUAAGAAAAAUUCAUAUAUACACCCUAAUUUGGACACAAUUAUUCACAGUAGCUCGUACAAAAACAUUGGAAUGUCUCUUUCGGAAUAUUGUAUUUAUAGCUCUUAAUAUCACAUAAAAUACAUCAAUUGAAAUAGAUUCUAAUUUAUAAUUUUUUCUUAUACGUGAUAAGCCAAAAAUUAAGCAAAACACACCCUUUGUCUCUUUUUUUUUUUUUUUUUAAUUUGUCUAAAAUAUUAUUUUAUAUUUAAAUAUAAUUUAACUUUAAAAUUCACAUAAAUAUUUAAUGAGAUAAUUUAUAAUGACAUAAAUAUUUAACCGAAUCAAUUUGGACCAAAUAUUCCCUGAAUACCUAAACACACCUACCGGAACUAGGACAUCCACGCACAUAAAUAUAUAAAACUGUGUACCCACACACGUACAAUUCAAUCAAUCCACGUACAAAAAAGAUCAAAGUCAUUCUUUUUAAGUUUUAACCAGGGAGAUGUUUGGAUACUGUAGUGGAACAUCAAAAUACAAUGCAAAUUAUUUUGUGGAUAUAUGAACUAAAACUAUGAUACAGAUCAUUCUUUGAAAUUUGAUCAUAAUUUAAUUUCGAUAAUUUGUCAGAAUUGGUUAUAAAAUUUUGAUAGAUUGUUAUAAUUUUGUAGACAUUGAAAUUUUGCGUACUCUACAAGGCGUGUUCAAUUCAAAUUGGGACUCUAGAAGGUGUGUUCAGUUUCAAUUAGAAUUCUUGGAGGCUACUCAACCCUAAACCCUAGUUUAUUCCUAUAUAAAGGGUACUAAAUUCCCUUAAAAGGCAUCUCAAAAUAUCCCAUAAACUCUUGGGUAUUUUUAAAGAUCAAGAUCUCGAAUAUUCCACAAAAGACAUGGAAUAUUCAUAUAGAGGUCAAAUCUAAAUCAUCCUAGUUCGAGAAAUACGCCACUAACGGCUCUCGAAUCAUGGAUAAAUCUUAGGAGAGGAGAAUCAAGGGAUCAACAGAAUUGUACCCGCAAUCUUAAUGAAUAAAAUUAUGUUUCUUCAUGUUUUUUUGUGAUUGUAUUUUAUUUUCUGUCACUUUAAAAUUUGUUGCAAACAAAUUGGCACGCCCAGUGGGACAAUCUCUACCUCUCAUCCCAACUUUUCAAGCAUCAAAUAACAUCGAGAUGACUUCCAUGAAGAACAACUCUCGAUCAAACUGCCUCUAAAGGCCACUAGCUCCAAGUUCUCUACUGAAGUUGAAGGCAUUCUUGAUGUUACUUUUGAAAGUUUCGGAGCUGUUACGAGAGACAAAGCUGCUAUGCUAAGACAACAAACACUGCAAGUGUCGUCCGCAUCAACUCCUGUUUUUGGGUCUUCAACUCCAAAAAGAGCAAGUUCCUCCACAAAUGCUUUGGAAGGAGGAAGCAGGUAUUGCUGAAAAGAUCAAGGAGACAUUGGCUCUACUUGAGCAAUCUGGUUCCAAGAAUUACUACCACAAGGGAGAACUAUGAUUCAACUAAUGAAUCAUCUCCAUAUGCAUCGCGUAACGUGAGUCCAUUGAAGAUUAACUUACGCGACAAUCCAUGCUACUCUCCUACAUCUCCCAUGUUCAUGCAAACGAUGGUAACUGUUGCUUCCUCUCCUGAGGAACAACUCGCAAAUCUGACAAAGUUGGUUGAAGGAUUGACAAAGCAUGUACAACAUCAAGAGUCUCGAAUUGAUAAGUUGAUGGAUAGGAUGUGUUGUGUCGUAAUUUGACUAUUUCUAGAAAAAUCACUUUUUGAAAUGUUCUAAGUAUAAAACACUAAAAGAAAAUACUUAGAAAGAGUCGCCACUUAAUUUUUAAAGAAUUAAAAACUUAUAAUUUUCAAAGAUUUAAACAGAAAAAAAUCGUUUGAAAAUACCAAAGAGGGUUCGGGGUUCAAUUUACACUUCAAGAAGGGUUUAAGCAUUCGAAGUGUCCGCUAACAUGCGGUUGACCUGCAACUUGACUAAAAUAUAUUUGACUAUUUAAAAAAAAAAAUGUUUCAAGGUUGCACACUUUGUGGAGACAUGUAAUAAUGUUGGAACUGNNNNNNNNNNNNNNNNNNNNNNNNNNAGAAGAAUACUUUAACUUAAAACCACUUUAAAAUAAAAUGUGAUCAAGUGAAGAGGCCUUAAAACAUAUCUUUUUAAGAACAAAGAUUUAACUUAAUUAAAAUACAAAAUUCGACCAAUUAUUUGAAAUUUAAAAUAAGUGAACACAACAAGUGAAAUGUAUUAAAAAUAAACCAACACAAAGAAAAUGACUCGUCUUUUGGGAAUCUAAUUAAGUUAUUAAUAAAUUAAGGUUAGAGAUAAAUGAAGUUAGUCAUACGUAAUCAAAAUAAUUAGGAGAGUAAAAGAGAAUAAAAUUGGGCCCCUUUUUGGGCCAAUUUUGCUACAAGUUUUUGGGUUUUAACCCAAUCCUCUUUUUGUAUACACUGACUGUAUAUCAGUGUAUAUCGGCGUGUGUAUAGGUGUUUUUCGUGUAUAUCUUGCUUCCGAACACCUAGAUUUUGCCUUAGCCCUGUAUUCCUGCGUUUUAGACCUGUAUCUCACUGUUUUUGUCGUGUAUAUUGACGUAUACCACUGUAUACAAGCUGUAUUUCAGCUUAUUCUCAAGUUUCCGAAAUAUGAAAACUUAAUUUCCAGCCCGUAUCUUGCUGCUUUCAACCUGUACACCAGCUUGGCAGAUCCGGUAAGGGCCAACUCGAGCAAAAAGAGCAAGUUUGGGCCUUUACGGCCCAAAUCGAAAUGCAAAGGGGAGUAGAGAAGUCCAUGAGGACCCAAGGCGGAUUCAAACAUAGAAAAAACCACGGAAAAAGAAACAAGAUAGGAAUUAGUCAUGGAGGACACUUUAAAUUUAUGCAAUACAACCAAGAUACAUGAAAAAAGAAAUAAGACAAAAUAGGCAUGUGAUUAGUUCACUGCCAAUGUUACGCGAAUAUGACAAAGGAAUGCAUACAAUACUUAAUGAACUUUCAUUUAAAUUAAACUAACUUCACAUAACAAGAUGAAACACCAAAAGGUAGUGAUAACUAAACAAUAAAACUAAUAGUGAUUAAAUGAAGUAGAUUUAGACAUGAUUACUUAGACAUAAAUAAUGAUAAGGAAGCAAUUAUUAGUAAAAAAUGGAGCGGACUAUUGAGGCUAAUGUGAUUAAGUUUUUUUAAAAAAAUGCUAUAUGAAACUAUACAAAGGCAAUAAUGCACUCAUGUGUUAAUGGACUAAACUUGAGCAUUUUUUGCACAUAAGCAAAGUAGUAGACCCAAUUCACAGAAUAAUGCUACUGCUUUGCACCAAUUUUAGACGUGACUAAGUGAUGGAUUCUUAGCAAUUUUCACAACUUAAAAUAAAGAAAUAGGAAAAAGCAUAGGCGGCAAAACAUACAAAUAACUUAAGCACAAUUUUUCACGUACUAAGGCAUGUAUUUAAAGCUAAACAAAAAGGGAUUAAAAUUUAAACCUUAAGACUAUAAUCUUUCUAAAAUGAGAUUCAAUCAAAAGAAACCAUCAAAAGAGAAGAAAAUAAACAGCUCAUGCGCUCAAUAAGCACAUACAAGAAUAGGACGCCACUGCAUUUUGGAAAGAUUUUUUAACUCAAACCAAAUAUGAAACUCGACUAAUUUGUCACGUGCAAGCUAUAUUCACCGAACCUUUACAUAAUAGAAAAUAAUAUUCUAGAUCAGAUUCAAAAGAGGUAUGGGGAGAAUGCAAGUUUCAAGACCCUCAAAGGGGGUAUGGAUGCGAGUGAACAUGAUCGAAAUAAACAACUAGAGAUUCAAGACAAACAACAAUAUGGAUAGUAAGUGAACUCAAAAUCUUGACGUCUUGAUUCAUUCAUCAAAUUUGAGAUGGAAGAAAAAAACAAAGACUGACGUCGAAAACCAAACAUUAUCCCAGAUUCAUACUAAACAAGAGCAAACUAAGACUAAUACAGUCAUUUCAAAAAAUUGAUCACAACUAUAUUAUAAAAGCUAAGACAGCAAGAGUAGUAAUAACAAUUAGAAAAUAACCCUCCAACAUCUACAUACAUAUUCAAGUCACAAUCAACACUAAAGGUGAAAUAGUAGACAAAAAGAAACCUCAACUCUUAUCAAUAUCCGAAAGCGAACAAACCAUUAUCGAAGAAGGAAACCGAAUUCACACGGGAAAGGAGUGAAAAAAAAAAUGAUUGACUAAACAGAAAAAGCUAUGCUGAUGACUUGAGACCAAACAAAAUCGAAACAACCCAAAUUUCUGUCAUUUCAAAUAACUCAACAGUUAACAUACCAGCAUAUUGAAUAUAACCAAAAUAUGAACUAAAAAAAACAGGGGUUACCUUUUAAGGUGCAGCAAACUGGACAGGAAACGAGCAGAACGACACCUUCACAACGUUAGGAAUCGAACACAAACAACAAGCAAGAUGCUUGAGCGGAAAUAUCAACCCAAACACUAAAGAAAAAUAAGUGUCUCCUCUGGUUUUCUUUGAAAUGUAUUUCUAUAUAUAUAUGUUGCAGCUAAUUGCUUUACAAUACCUUUUGCUCUAAAAGUUUUCAACCAAAAAAAAACCCCCCUAAAAAUGACAAGAAAAGAUGUAUUUAUAGGGGAAAAUUCGGGUUCCUUUUGAGGGGGAAAAUGGAAGGGGCUUUGAAUAAGAACAAGGGUAAAAUCGAGAUUCCCCACAAAUUCUCAAAAUUCAAAACUUCCCAAGGACCAAGAAAAGGCUGGUUUGUGCGAUAUUUCAACCAAAUCCCACAAAAUCUGGACGGAGGGAUUGGGCGGCUGUUGCAGAGAAAGGUUGUUCGAACUGCUCUGGCAGAGGAAGAAGACACAGAAAGCUACCGGUUCCGUGAACUCGCUGUUCUUCGCGUUUGGUCCAGUCGCGUUGCUGGACUGUUCUGGGUUUCAUCGUGAUGUGAAGAAGAAGAGCACGUGGGUGGGGUUGGUUGUAUGUGUAUGUAUUGUUUUUGGUUAAUUGGGAAUUGUUGUAUGUUAUGCCUUCUGAUGGGUUACUUUGAUAUUGUGAUUUGGGCUGCUGGUUGGAAAAAUUGGCUGAAAGAUUGAAUUGGAGGAGGAAGUAAUGGGCUGCUUGAUACCAACAGGCCCCAAAACUUGGUCUUAAAGAAGUGGGUAAAUUCAAUUCCAACCAAUUUAGUUAAGGUUUAACCAUAUGAAUCUAAAUUAUAGCCAAUUGGAUUAAAUAAGUUAGCCAAAUUGAGUUGGUUUAGCGAAUUCGGCUAGAAUUAAAAUAGGAUCAACCAAUAUAAUUAAUUCGGCCAAAAUUUAAAUAAGACGAGCUUAUAUAAAUUAUUUAAGGAGCUUCUUAAUCUUAACGAAAAUGAAAAAAAUUAAAUCGAUUAUAAAAUAAUUAAUUUUAUUGCAAACUAAUUAAUUCAAAACAUUUCUAUUAUAAAAUAACUAGUUUAAUUAAAAACUAAUUAACUCGAAACUAUAAUUUAAAGUCAUAAAAUAUUUAACUAAAAUGUAGAAUCUUUUGUGAUGAUUUUCAAAUAUUUAUAAAAUAACGUGAUUGUAAAAAAUAUACAUAUUUAUUAUUUAAAGUUAUUAAAAUUAUUAAAAUGAUAAUAUCACUCUAAAAAUAACUUGAAAGUAUUUUGAAUUUCAUAAAAUUUAUUAAUUCAAAGUUAUGACCCUUGCUAAUAAAGUAGUUAAAAAAAAAAAAAAAACUUUUCGAGAUGAUUUUUGAAUACUCAUAAAAUGCAUUAAUUAUAUACAUAACUAUAUAAAAUAUAUAUAUAUAUAUAUAUAUUAAUUAAAGAAGUGACAAAACUAUUUAAAAUAACUUGCAAACUAUGUUUAUUUUAUUUUAUUUCUGAAAUUUUUAUAAAACUAAUUAUUUUAAAUCGUUAGAAAUUGAAGAAGCGCAAUGAUUAAUUUAUAUUGUGGAGGUCCAAAAUUGGGUGUCAACAGGAUGGAAGGACUUUUAGAUGGAGAAGCGAGUCAUGCGCUAGAAAGGUGUUGAAAGUUCAAGAGAUCGGAGAUCCUGCGAAGAAAGCACCGCUUGUUAAUGAGAUGUUAGUUUCUUCUGAAGGAAUGAUCCCACUUGAUCGCUUGUCAGAGUUUAUUGAAGGCACUAUCAAAGAUAAGUAUGAAGUCUCCACCAAGUCUUCUCACAUGUAUGCCAUGCCAUACACUGCGAGAAUUGAUAACUUCAAAUUGCAUACUGGUUAUCAACCUCCCAAAUUUCAACAACUUGAAGGUAAAGGAAAUCCAAAACAACAUGUUGCACACUUCGUGGAGACAUGUAAUAAUGCUGGAACUAAUGGAGACCAUCUCGUCAAACAGUUUGUCCGCUCCCUAAAAGGAAAUGUCUUUGAUUGGUACACAGAUCUCGAACCUAAUUCUAUUGAUAGUUGGGAGCAACUAGAGCACAAAUUUCUCAAUCGCUUCUAUAGCACAAGGCGUACGGUGAGCAUGGUAGAACUCACAAAUACUCGCCAAAGGAAGGAUCAACUGGUUAUAGAUUUCAUAAAUCGAUGGAGGAACGCUAGCCUAAAUUGCAAGGAUAGGCUUAAUGAAACUUCUGCAAUCGAAAUGUGUAUUCAAGGAAUGCACUGGGAACUUCUUUACAUUUUACAAGGAAUAAAACCAAAAUCCUUCGAAGAUCUAGUUACUCGUGCUCAUGAUAUGGAGUUAAUCAUGUCUUCUGCUGGAAAAGAUAUGACGUAUGCCCGAGACCCUCGCAAAGGAAGCGAUAAGGAGGAACCCAAGAGAUGGAGCAAAUUUGUGCCUAGAAAUGACAUAAAUAAUCCAUGAAUGUUAAUGUGUCACCUGCGAAGAUCACUACGAAUGAGGGCAUGAAGCAAAAUGUGAGAACGACUUUCCAAGCAAGUUCAAAUCAAAAGUCGACACUAAGGGAGAUGCAAGGAAAAAAUUAUCCCUUGUUGGAUUCUGACGUUUCUGAGAUUUUUGAUGAGUUGCUCGUGUUAAAGCUCACUGACUUGCCAGAGAUGAAGCGACCCAAUGAAGCUGGAAAAGCUGAUGACCCAAAUUAUUGCAAGUAUCAUAGACUUGUGAGUCAUCCUCUCGAAAAAUGUUUUGUCUUCAAGGAUAGAGUGAUGUGAUUGGUUAACGAAAAGAAAAUUGUCCUUGAUGAUGAGAAGGCUAGUUCUAACCAGAUCUCUAUCACGUUUGGCUCACUCGAUCCGGUCCAAAUAUAUAUCUCUGAAAAGCAUGAAGAAGAGUCAUUGGAGCAGGAAGUUGAUAUAGAUGGUGAUGAAGGCUAGAUUCUUGUAACUAGGCGAGGACGCAAUAAGUCACGUUUACGAAAAUAAUCAUCCGAGCAACCGAUUAGAGGGAAAAUGGUGAAGAAAUUGGAGAAGCAGAAAUCAACCAAGCGCCCAAAGAGGGCAAAGGUAGAAGUGCAUCACUACCAAAAACCCCAGCGUCCUGUGACUCUAGAGGAAUUCUUACCAAGUUCGUUUGACAUAAAGUCUAUGCAAGACAAUGUCGAGGCAUCAUGUUUCAAUGCUGAUAAAGCAGAAACAAUGAAGGUGCCUCCUGCUGACAAAGAAGGAACAACGAGUGAAUCCUCCCCAAAAGUGUCUCCUAAUGACGAUGAAAAGACAACAAGGGAAAUAUCGUCAAUGAUGUCUCAUUCACUUUCUGAAACACCUAUUGAACCUUCUUCCCAAGAAGCACAUGCAUGUGAUACAAAAAUCACAUUUACAGAUAAUGAUCUUCUAUUUGGUGAAACACUACACAAUCGUCCUUUGUAUAUGGUGGGUCACGUGCUAGAGAAGAAGAUAAAUAGAAUCUUAAUAGAUGAAGGAUCUAGAGUCAACAUUCUGCCUAUCCAUACAUUAAAGGAACUCGGCAUCACGACUGGAGAACUUAGUGAAAGUCGUCUAUUGAUACAAGGAUUUAAUCAAGGGGGGCAGAGGUCCAUAGGCUCUAUUAAAUUAGAGAUCCACAUGGAAGAUUUGCGAUCAAGCGCAUGGAUGCAUGUGAUCGACACAAAGACGUCAUACAAUAUAUUACUUGGCAGACCUUGGGUACAUGAGAAUAAAAUAGUUGCAGAUGCUUGAAGUAUCUUGAAGCGGGAUUGAAUGGAAGAUAGUUGCAGAUGAUAAUCCUUUCACCGAAGUUGAGACACACUUUGCCGAUGCGAAAUUCUAUUUGAAAAGUUAUGUUGUUAAAGGGACCAAAUCUAAUGAUGUAAAACCAAUCAUGUCCGAUAAGGUCAUAAGCAAAAGAAUUGAUGCGGCAGUCGAAAAGGUAAACGUUGACACUAAAGAACUUUGUCCCAUUUUUAAUGAAGGGAAGAUCAUGUCUUCGAAGAAGAAGCUGACUUCUAGACUUUGCUAUGUUCCAACAGUGAAGAAAGAAGAAGGUCAAUCAUCUAACCUUCAAGAAAAUUUAUUGAGAGGGCUAACUCUUCCUAUCAGACGGAUUGAUGCAAUAAACUUGUCUUCAAAGCUACCAGAAAAGUCUUAUCUCUCAAAAUUAAGUGCGAGAUGUGGCGCUCCCUACAAAAUGCACAAGAGAAGGUUUUGAUCCCAAUGCUUACAAGUUAUUUGUGAAGGCUAGAUACAACCCUAAUGAGCCAUCAAUGUUAGGGAAACUUAUAUCAGAAGAUACAACUAGGCAAGCACAUAAAGGCCUAGGCUAUAGCCAACCGUCGCCAAUUCGCAUUUCCAUAAGAAGGGCAAGCAACAACCAUAUAACUUUUGAAGAUGAUGUCGCUACUCCCAACAAAAAGCCUUCCGUCUUUGAUCAACUUAGAGAAUCGACUGCAAGAACUUCUGUGUUUGAGAAGUGAGGUCCAUUGAAGAAAAACAAGAAUCUCAGAAUUUAUUUAAAAGUUACAACGCCUGCUUCACAUUUGGUUCGAAAGGAUUUCAAAAGUUCGAUUCCUUCUAGAAUGAGGCGACGAGUGGAACUUGUAGUUUCAUGUAAAGAGGAACUCAAGGCAAAGGUUCACACUGUGGCUUACACCAAGGAGCGCGAGGAAAAUUCUAAACAAGAAGCUAGAGAAAAUCCGUGGUACAAACGCCAUAAAAUUCUCUAUAAAGCUACAAGUUUAAGAAUUCAAGUAUUCAAGUUCAAGAACGAUCAAGAUCAAGACCAUCGGAUUCAAGAACAAGCUUGAAGUCCUUGAAUUCAAGCAAAAGUCAAGAUCAAGAUAAAGUUCAAAGUUCAAAUUCAUCGAAGAUUCAAGAUCAAGCUAUAAAGCCCUUGAAUUUAUAUUUGAAAAGGCGAAUUCAGAGGAAUCAUAGAGAUUGUAACACUCGCACUUUGAAAUAAUAAAUACGGUUCGUUGUUGCUAUAAUUUUGCGUUCUUGAUUAUUGUUUUCUCAACGCGAAUUUUAUUGUCUACAAAAUUAUUGUGUGAAAAUUUCACCAAUAUGAUCAUGCUUCAAAAUUGAUCCAUUUAUUAGAUCCAACGUAAAUCUUCAAAAAUAAAUAGUUUUACUUUUUAACUUCAAAAUCCUCAACAUUUCAAGCUCAAUAAAAUCAAACAAUGCUGCUCUUCAAUUUCUUCAACCAAUUGAAACCGAAUAACGAAAGAUAACUAUAGAAGUUCAUAUGGAACAUUACAAAUAUAAUUCCAAUCACAAAUUAAUUAACAACUCUACUUGAGGUAGCAGACCAAUAAUGUACCGAUGGGACCAUUAUAGAUUAUCCAUUACUAAAACGUGUCAAUGAUGUACGACGGUUGGUUGAGCAUAUACUAUUAGGAUUGAAGGUGUCCAAUAUUGGCUAAGUAUAUAUACGGAUCCGCCUCCAAUGAGAGGAUUAUGAAUAAUGUAUUUUUCACCAAUGUAGCUAGAGUGGUAGGCCGUCCAUGUCCAACACUUGAGGGGCCGGCUACAUCAUCAUCAUCAUUAUUAUUAUGAUGAGUAGUUGUGGGGAGGAUUUUGGGAAGUGAAAGAUCCACAAAAGGCAACAAAGGGAAACAAAGAGAGCAACAGGAAACUCAAAAUAUUAAUCGACUUCAUCUUUAAUUUGAGUGUAUUUUGCUUACUCUAUCUCCAAUUUAUAGACCACCACAUGUAUGUAACAACAUUUUUGAGAAACAAAAAUGCCUACCUUUUAGGUUAGUGCCAUGAUUUAUCAAGUCUAUUUAUUUUAGUUUGUUUAAUUGAUUAAGUAAUUAGUUUAUUGCUAUAAAAAACAAUUACAACUUGAAGCAAAAAUAUUUACAUUACACACACACACACAUAUAUAUAUAUAUAGCUACAAGAUUUUGUUUCCAAAUAGUUUAUUAUGAUUAAAAAUUAAUUACUACUGUUAUACUAACCUUUAUUGCGUGACUAAAAUUUAAAUUUAAUUAGUCAAUUUCCAAUAGGUCAUAGACUCAUAGACCAUAGUUGUGUGAAAGUCGCGACAGACAACUGUAUAUUUAGUUUUUAUUCUUUUCCUUUUUUUCUUGUAAAUUCUUAACUAAAAAAUAAAUAGAUUCCUUUAAAAAUAAAUAGACACCUUCGGUCUUCAACAAUUUUUCUUAAGCUCAAUAAGAUCCAACAAUUCUUUCAACCAAAUGAAACCAAAUCAUUAAGGAUAACAAUAUAAAUUCAAUGGAACAUUACAUAUAUAAUUUCAAUCACAAAUUAAUAAGCAACGGGAAGGAGAAGAAGAAAAAGAGGAGUUUUCUUGCCUUUCAUAAAGUUUGGAUAGUUAUUUUAAUUUAAUUAAUUUAGUUUAUCUAAAAGUUGGAAUUAUUCGAGUUAAAUAUAUAAUCUAGAUUGACUUACCAUUUUUCCCGUACCGAACACACCUUUUGUCCCUUAUUUUUCUUUUAAUUUGUCUAUAAACUUAUAGUUUACAUUUAAACAUAAUUAAAUUUUAAAAUUCUCAUAUAUCUAUAUAAUCUAGAUUGACUUACCAUUUUUCCCGUACCGAACACACCUUUUGUCUCUUAUUUUUCUUUUAAUUUUCUAUGGAGCGCAAUUAUGCAAACUAUAGUCAUAACAUACAAAUAUGAUUUUUAUGUUUGCUAUAUGUGAAAGUUGCUCUAAUUUAUAAUCAUAUAAAGAUCUAAAUUUAUUAUUUCUGCACCAUAAAUUUAAAAAAUACUACUUAUUAUUUUAUUUUUUUUUAUGUGUAAUCAACCACGAUAUAAAUUAUGACGAAAGGGGUAGCUUUUUAAACUCAAUCAUUUAUGGACCACAAUAUGCAAUGGUCACCUAACAACACCACUUAUCUGAAUUAAGAGGUCUACAUAUUUAUUUAUUUGUACUGUUAAGCAAUGACUCUUAGUUUUGAUGUUUUAGAUAGAAAUAUUGAAAAUAUUUUUGAAUUUGGUGUGAAUUAUUAAUUUCGUAUUCAAACUAUUGAUAGCCUUAAAAGCAUUCAUUUACUUAACUAACUGAACUUAAAUACACCAUUUUCAUCCUAUAAACAUACAUGUACACCUCCUACUUGACUAACUGAACCCUUUUAAAAAAGUAGCGAGAACGUGAAAUAAUUUCGAAUUAUUGCAUUCUGGAUAUGUGGAUGCAAGCCUAGCUAUGUACUGGUGUUGGGGACGUAGUGAUUCUUUAUAUCCACACGUGAAACAAGUGUUUUAAUUAGGGUUCAUAAAAUCAGCAGGUAGGUUGGGUGGGUUUUUUUUUUUUUGGUUUAUCAUCCGAUGAUGGGAUUUAAAUUGGAGCCUAGAUUAAAUUUGGAUCGGGCACUAUAGGGUCCAUUUGGAGGUGGCGCUCCCAACAAAAUUUUCUCCAUACCCAGAGCUCGAAUCUAAGAUCUCUGAUUAAGAGUGAAACAGUCUCACCACUGCACCACAAGUCCACAACCCAUGCUGGUGGUAGGUUGGUGAAUUAAUGAGCCCUUGUCUUAAUUUAGUUUUUUUUGAUCUAUUUUAUUUAAAAUUUAGCAAGGAUCGAACGAAUUACCUUUCUAAAUUAUGCAAAAAUUAAUACAAAAAACCAAACACUAUGUUUCUAUUUUUUAAAAUAAAAUAAAAUUAUACCACUAGACAAAGUAUCUACCAAUUUUUUAUUAAAAUAAAAAACUUCAAUAGACAAGUAUUGCCUUUGCCCUUAAUUUGCUAUUAUAGUAUUGUUACCGGAGAAGAUGCAGAUAAGAAAAUUUAUUCGGGCGACCUUAGAGCCCUUACAAAAAGGUAGCCAUUGUUUUUAUGGAUAAAUCUAUCUCGAUUUUGCUUGCUAUUAAUGAUUAAUCUAUCUCCAAUUUAUACAGCUGCUAAGGGCAUUUUUGGCUUAAUUAAUUCUCUUAUAAUUAUCCCCUUAAUUCAUUUAGACAUUUAAAUCCAGACUUGUACCUAUUGAACACUUCUAUUUUUUUGAAUUUGAGCCAUUCUAAGAUUUUUUUAAAAAUCAGCUAAAAAUAUAAGAAUGAAUAAAAUGUACUAGCGAUGACAUGACAAUUUGACAAAUUAAUUAAGUAAAAUUUACAUAAAUCUCAUAGUGUUUAAGAACUAAUUACAUCAUAUCUCUACUUUUUUCCAAAUUACAAAAAUCAUUUAAAUUUAUAGGAACUCGGAUAUAUCAGAAAAUCUGUGGAUACAUAGCUCACAGAUUGCUAAUGUUACAUUACUUAAUAGAAGUGAUGUAUUCGAAAGGGAAGGGAUGUAUCCGAGAGAGGGAAUAGGAUGUACAUGAGAGGGGAUUAAUAUUAGCAAAAAAAAUUGAAAAAUUAACAUUGUCAAUUUAAUUUUUGUAGUUAAGAAAUUUUAUGAAUUUGUGGAUAGUCGUAAGUUUGAACUUUUAUAGCUAUUACUAGAUAUUAGCCAUGACUAGCUUUUAAAUUAAUAGCUAAAAUUUCGUAAUUAUUUUUUUUAAUUUAAAAGUAAGAACUUAAAAUAAGUCAAAUCAAAUAUUUUUAUGACUUUUGAUUCAUAAUAUAUAUAUAUAUAUAUAUAUAUAGUAAUAAAGUUGAGAAAUAACUUUGUAACAUUAAUUUUUAUAGCUAAGAAAGUUAAUGAAUUUGUAAAUAGUCAUGAAACUCGAAAUUUUGUAACUUUUACAAGAUACCAUCCUGAAAAGUUUUUCUUUAAUUUUUUUUUAAAGAACUUAAAAUAAGUUAUUCAAACAUAUUCUUACUUAUAAAUAAACUCUAAUUAUGAAUUUUAAUUUAUAAGUUAUUCAAACAUAUUCUAACUUAUACAUUUUUAUUUAAAAAGAUUUUUUUAUCACCCAACUCCCANNNNNNNNNNNNNNNNNNNNNNNNNNNNNNNNNNNNNNNNNNNNNNNNNNNNNNNNNNNNNNNNNNNNNNNNNNNNNNNNNNNNNNNNNNNNNNNNNNNNNNNNNAACCAAUCCCAAAAAAUUGAGGGCGUGACGCACAUGCUUUGUUUAUCUAUUUCAUAUAAAUGUAAAUUUACGUAGAUAUAGUGUAUUUAGAAAAUUAUACAUAGUUUUGAUUUUAUGUAUCUCGAGAUAAAUGUAACUGGAUGCAUCAAAAUCUUGUAAGAUCCGUAAUAUAGCAAAUUAAAGAAUAUCUAAAUAAUUAGCUCUUAAACUAGUGAGGUUUCUUUAAAUUUCUCAUUAUUUUAUGAAAUAAGUGACAAAAACACACCUUAACUAUCAUUUUUUUAGUUUCAUACCUAAACUAUCGAGAGUGUGAGUUUUAUACCUAAACUAUCACUUAUUAAUUUGAGAAAUAAUAAAAUUACUCAAUUCGUAUAUUUAAAAUGAACAAAAUCAACUGAAAGUUUAUAUGUGUGCGUGGAUUAUAUAGAUUACCCAAUAUGUUUAUUCGCAUCCCAAAUUGGACCACCAAUAUAAAAAUAAUAUCACUUUCAUACAUUGAUUAUUGUAUUUAUCGCUCCAUGUAUUGUUGGGCCAAAUAAUACUAAUGUAAUUGUCCAUAACUAAAACAUGCCAAUGAAGUAGGAUUUGAAAAAAAAAAAAAAACGUAGUUGUCAUGCAAAAGCAAAUCAAUUUGCUACGUACCCUUUUAUUAUUUUUUUGAGCGAUCAAGAAUGCAAGGCCAGAUUUGAGAAUUUCAACAAAAUAUUGAUAAAAUAAUAAAUCCUCAGGGAUAUUGGAAAAUUGUUAUACAAAUAAAUUUCUACAACAGCUAUAAACAAAAUAUUUCUACAAUAACAAUAGUAGAAAAUUCUUGAGGUUUACUGGGCAUGACUAAUCAAAAUUAAUUAAUAUGCAAUUGAUUAAAGGGAAAAUUGUAUGAAAUAACAAAUCGUCUUAUACACUUAUAAUUAUACAAAUACAGAUCUCAUUAUACAAAUUACAAUGUAUAAAUGAAUUUAUACAAAACUGAACAAUUUUUAUAAAAUUGAAUGUAUCUAGCGAAUUAUAUAAAUCAAAAGCUCCAUAGCAAACAUAAAAUUUGCUAUGGAGCGCAAUUAUGCAAACUUUAGGUAUAACAUACAAAUAUGAUUUUUAUGUUUGUUAUAUGUGAAAGUUGCUCUUGAUUAAACAUAAAAGGAUCUUAUCCAUGAUAUUCACAUCACGUAAUCAAUAACAAUGCAUAUUACAACUUGAACUUAAUUGUUACUCCGAUGUAGACUCCAAACAUCAACUCUAAUAUUAACAGAUGAAUAAUGAAUACUAAUGUCCUGACAGUACCGCAUGGGAUUAUAUAUCCAUAAGUAAUACGUAACACUUAUUAAUUACUAAAACUUAUUUGAAUCAGAUUUGAUUGUUGAAUCAAUUGUUUGGAAUCAGAAAUUCAUAAAUAAAGAACCUAGCCUUUUUAUUCAUAAGCAUUAAUAUUACAUAGAGUGGAUCAUAGAAGCAUGAUUCACAUUAUUUUAGAAAGCGAUGGAGCUAGGUUAUACUAAUAAGCAUAGUAAGGCCAUAGUUUAGUUUGGCUACAAAAGGCGUGCUUCUGAUCACACACAUUUCGUAAUAGAUAUAUAAUUAACUAUGCAUCAAUAUUGUUGUUUACUUUGGUGAAGCCAAAUGGAUAAGGCUUGUUAUUGGUUAAAAUGUAUGAAGUUCUGCGUUAAUUUAAGUCCACAACUUUAUUAAGAAAAUGUCUGAAGUUGGCCUUGAUAAACCAUCUCAAACAUCAGAUAAAAAUAUUUAAUGUUUGACCUUUGUAAAGCCACACUUCAGAUAAAAAUAUCUGAAAUCAAAUAUAAAAUUUAAAUUUCACUUGUAUACGUUUGAAAUUCAUCUCAAAAUAGGUAAGUUUGCAAACACAAUGAAAAAGCGGACAUAAAUUUAACGAAGACAUAAUAACAGACCCAUAUUUACAAAACGUAGCACGGGAUUUUCAUUUAGGGCCUGUUUGAAAGGACACCCUGGUAAUUGGAUUUGGUGUAAUUGGUGUAAUUACAUUGUCUUGUCCUGUUUGGAAGGACAGGUAAUUACUUGGUCAGCAGGUAAUUGGUGUAAUUGGCAGGGGUAAUUACACUCUACAAUUCACAGACAGAGACUGUGAAUUGCUGGUAAUUACAUGGUGUAAUUACCACCUGAUUACUUUUUAAUUUUUUUUUUAUUUCUAUUUUAAUUUUUUUUUACUUCUAUUAUUUUAAGUUCUUUUUUUAACUUUAUUAUUCUAAAAAAUUGUAAAAGUUUAUUUUUUAUUUUAUAUUAUUAUAUUUCAUUUUCUUCUUAUUCUCAACCUUACUUUACGUGAUUCUAUGUAAUUUUUUUGUAUUAUCUAUUUCUUUAUGCCAUGCUUAUUUUCUCAUUAGCAUAAUUUUAUUAUAUUCUAAUUUUUAAAUUAAAAUAGAAUUUAUUGUUAAGUAAGUUAUAGACUUAUGCUUUCUUUAUUAAGAAAAACUAAAACUAAAUCAUAUUUAUUGCUAUGUUGAAAUUUGUUAUAAGAGUAUUAUGUUAAAAUUUUUGUUUUGAAUUUAUAACUUAUGUUAUAUUUUCAGUUUCAUUUGUUUUAGUAAUAUUGAAUCUACAUUGCAUGUCAUUUUUUAAUUAGAGUUGAUAAAUUAUAUUUUUUUCAAACAUUUAAUAAUUUAUGACAUUUUAUUUAUAUAUUAUUCUUUUUAUCAAACAUGCAUUUCACGAUGUUCGUAGAAACUUCAUACUUUUAGUUGUUACGAUCAAUUCAAUUGAAAUAUAUUAAUUUGAAAAAAUAUAAAUCAAUUAUUUUUUCAUAAUAUUAGUUACAGAAAAUAUGUUUAUUAAUUAAUAUAUUUUCAAAAAAGAAUAUAUAUCUUAAAUAUUUAAUUUAAUGUCAUUUAUAAAGUUUCUUAUUUGUCUAGUAUAAAUUUUAAAUAAUUAAUUUUUAUUUUAAAAAUUUAUUAUAAUUUUAUGAUUGCAAUUGUGCAUCCAAACAGAACAUGUGUAAUUACGCUGUGGCAUCCAAACAGGACAUGUGUAAUUACACUACACUGUGACAACCAAACAGGUCAGUGUAAUUACUAGGCUGGUAAUUACUACCCUAGUAAUUACACCAAUUCCAAUUACCAGGUGGCUUUCCAAACAGACCCAUAGCGGGAGUGUCUUUUGUUUUUUUUCUUUUUCAAAACGCGUAUGAAAUUUUUACUCAGAAGCGUAAAAUUUUGCUCAAAAUUUUAUGUAAGGUUCAUGCUGAUUUUUGAAAAUUCAAUAUAAUUACAAUAAUAUUUUGUAUAACUUUCAUACAAGAUUUAUAUAAAUUUAAUACAGUACUACAAAAACUUGCAAACUUUAAAAUACAAUAUUUACACACUUCAUCAUAUAAUUAUAAUACAUUUUCAUACAUUUUUCGAACUUGGGUCUCGAGUUCCUUUGUGUUUAUUUGUUUAUGAUUAGGAGGCGGCUAUUGGUAUACUAUAGGUUGAGAUAAUUAUUUUUAUAAUAUGAUCAACUAAUAUUGAAUGAAUGACCAACAUGAAUUGUGAUGCAGUGCUGAGACUGGUUCACCAUUAAUUAGAGAUCUCGAGUUUAAGUCCUAGAUAUGAAGAAAGUCUUGUUGGAAGUGCUAUCACCAAUAAAUUUUACAGUGCGCGGUCCAGAUUUAGUCCCAAAUUUUCCAUUCUUAUCGUCAACUCUAGUUGCAGUUGCACUGUUGCAGGCCAAUAAUGGAUAUAUUUUAAUGUGCUCACGGGACCAUUAGAGACUAGCCAAAACUAAAACGUGUUAAUGUACGACAUCUCCUAAAAUUUGGAGUAAAUUUAAUUUAGACUUGUUAAAAUUGAACAUAUAUAUGAAUAAAUGAUGAAGUGUUAAAUCCUAUGAUAUACUUUCAAUCUAAAUUUAAAGAAAUUUAUGCAUAUUUUCAAUUAGUGUUUUUUUACGUAGAUAAGUUUUUAAUAUGCCUCAAUAAAAUCUCAAAUAUGUUCAAUUUGUUCCACUAGAGACUCAUGAAUAUAGCUAAAAGGAGGUGAUAUAUUUUAUGCUAUUAAUUUAAAAUACGACGAUGGAAAAUGUUAUAAUAAUCUGGCCUGAAACUAGGACUGAGCGUUCGAUCGGUUUGGUUUUUCAAUUUUUUGUUUGGUGAGAAUGUUAAGCGAAACCGAACUAAAAUAAAUUCGAUUCAGUUCGAUUUUCAUAAUUUCAAUUCAAUUUAUUUUGAUUCAAUUUCCACUUGAAUAUAAUCAUAUUGGACCCUUUUCUAAUCAUCAUUCAUCAGUAAAGCUUAGGGAUAUCCCGCCAGCCAUGAUACAUAUGAGCCUCAUUAGAAAUAACAAUGUGUUUAGCUAAUGCAUCUGCAACUUGAUUAGCUUCUCUAUGACAAUGAUUUACUUCAUAAUUCAUCUUAGCAACACUUGUAAGAUGUGUUCCACAACACCUUUGAUCUUCAAGUUGGAGGCGUGUCCAUUCCUUACCGUAUCAACCACCAUUUUUUAGUCUAAUUCAAGAUAGCAAUCGUGAAAUCCUUAUUGUGGAUGAUGAUAUCUAAAUACAGAUGCUCUUAAUUACAUCAAGCACGUUACCAUAAAAUAAACAAAAAACAAGAGUCGCCACUUAAUCUGUUAAAUUUAUAAAGAUUUAACAGAUUAAAUCUUUAUAAAUUUAGAGAAAAUGAGUAAGAGGUUCCCAUUUACGCUUCUAGAAGGUUUUUAAAGCAUUUGAAGUGCCCACUAACACGCGAUUAUCCUACGACUUGACAAAUUAUUUGACUUUUAACCAACUUUGAAAAAUUAAUAAAGUAAACAAAAAUCCUUUUUACAAUACCACUUAAAAAGGAAAUGAACUUAAAAUGACUUCUUCUUUUCUUUUUUUAAAGAAAAUAAUUUCCAUCGACAAACAAUUAAGUAAAUACCUCAAUUAACAUAAAGAUAGAUGACCUUUUGGCUACCUUGGAAAAUGUUUAAAGAAGAUAAGAUAUUUAAGAACGUUUGAGAAUAAAUUAACAUAAACACUUGAGAUGAUAUUGGAAAGAAAGUAAAAUUUGUCAAAUGAAUAUAAGCGCUAAAUAAAAUCAUUCAAGUUUUAUAAAUGAUCAUAAACAAAGUGGUUCCUCUUCUAAGGGAUUUAAUUAAGUUAACCAAAGUUAGAAUCAAUUUAAAACAAACAAAGAUACAUGGCAAAAUUAAAUUAGAGGAGAAAGGAGCUAUUGGGCCUUUUCCAAAUUUCAUUUCUCAGGCCCAAAUCCAGUUACUGUUCGCCUGGACCAGAAUUUGGCCCAAGUUGCUGCUGCAAUUUUGGGCUUUUCGCCCAUUUUCAUUCCUGUAUCACAGUGUAUACAGUAGUGUAUCACAUUCCAUUUUUUCUGCUUUGCAAGACCUGUUUCAGCUUCCAAUUUACCGCAAAGAUGAGGAUGACUCGAAAGACUCAAAGAUAUGCGAGGGUGGAGUCCGAAUAGACUCGAGUUGAUGUCAUCUUUUUUGGGGCAGGAACUGGAAGUGAAGCUUUUACACCACUAUGAGCUUAACUCGAACAAUAAGAGAAUCGAUACAAAAAAAAAAUUAGCUCUCGAUUUUUCAUCCUUUCGAUCACAAAAAAUAUAAACUUCUGUUUUUAGAAUGUAAAAAUCUCUUGCUUUCCCCUCUCAACUCUUAAGACUUUCUUACUAUUUCACGCACUUUUUCUAACUCCCUUUUUUUUUCACCCCAAACACGAAAGAAGAUGGAGGUUUAUAUAGAGGGAAUUUGGGUUAGAAUUAGGGGGGUAAUCCGUUGGAAAAUUUGAAAAUUUUCAAAAUCCUUUAAGAGGACAAAUUGUAGGUGAGAAUAGGUAUAGAGUGACCUUUUCUGAUUGAUUUGAAGAGAUGGAGACAUAUUGGAGACCAUUAAUGGCGGAAUCCAUCGAACAAAACUUGAACCCCAUGAUUUUUUCGAGUUUCUCUUUCUUUUCCAAGGCCAACAGUGGAGAGGUGACUUGGUGCGUCUCUGACAUCAUCGAAAAAGGGGAAAGGGACGUUGGGGCGAGGAGAUGGCCGCUUAUCCACCGGCUUUUGUGCCAAAUCCGGCGGAUUUUAGAGUGAGCGAGGUGAGGUCGGAUGUACGGUAUUGUACACUGAUUGUUGUUGGAUGCGACUUCUCGCUGGGAAGAAGACACUAUGCGGGUCGGGUCGCCAAAAGUGUGGGCUGGGAUUUUGGUAUGGCUGCUGAAGGUUUUGAGACAAGUUGGGCUCAAAGUUGGUCUCCAAAUGGGUUUAAAGUGAGGUAGAAAAGAGAUUAGAUUGGAAAUUGAGAAUUUGACCCAAUUGAUUGCAAUUAUAGCCAAUUGAACUUAAGAAUAUAACUAAAUUGAGCUAUGAAGUUUGUUGCCCUUUUGAUUCCAGACUCAAGUUUUUUCCACCUUUGGUCCAAAUCAACUUCGAAUUGCUCCAAAUUUGAUAUGCAACCUUCUCAUAUAAAUCACGACAACUCUUCAAUUAUUAGAUUCAAUCUAAAUCUUCAAAAAUACAUAAAUGUCUUCAAUAUUCAACAAAAAAAUUGUUAGAGUUAUCUUAUCAAUAUUAUAACAUUAUUUAGUAUCUAAACUCCUAGCUCGUCUCAUCCCAAGAUUACUUUGGGCAGAUCAUUUUCCUACUCAUCAUCUAAACUCCUAGGUUUUUUUCCCUUAUAUAUAUGAUGAUGCGAUCUCCUUUUGUAUUACUAUUAAUUGUGCAACAAGUAACGAUAUCUAGACCUGAUUAACAACAAAUACAAAAGUAACCCUAACUUAAAAAGAAACCACAAACUAAAGAAAUUUAUGUAUUUUUGAAUGAAGAAGGUAAGGUAAGGUAAUAGGAUAAUUGCUAGCUUGUUUAUUUAUUGAUAAGCAUACAUUAAAUUACAUGGAGCGAUAGAAGGAUAUAUCGACUUUAUUUAAAAAAGCUGCAAGCUAGCCAGCUAAUUAGCAUUCUACGCCUUGAUGAACACAAAUGGAAUAAAGUCCUUAUCGUCAUCGACAGUCACCAGACGAGGAUAUCCAUUUUUAAAGUUGCUGCCGAUAUUUUUGCACUGAAGAUGAGAGGGACAAUGCAGUAACUUGUAUACAUUUUUCAUACCUCGUAUCACCAAGUCAGUUUUCUUGAUCUUGAAGAUGUCGUUUUCAUUUCCUACGUUACCACCAGUUACCACCAACUGUUCAUCAUUAACUUUCCAAACAGUUUCGUCAACACACAACUUUGUUGUUUUAACAAAGAACUUGAUAUAAACAGCAGUCAUUAGACGCACCACAUCACCAUCAUCCGACUCCGACUUACGAACGAACAUGACGGGCGUGCCUUUUCCCAAAAAUUGGGGAAUCGACAUGUGCUGUAACACGGCGUUUGGGCAUUGAAGGUUUCCAAUAUUGUUCAAGUAUACGGCUCCGGCCCCGAGGAGAGGAUUCUUAAUAAUGUACCUCUCACCAAUCCUCAGCGGAUUGCCAUCUUGGUCAUAAACUUCAGGGAGUACAAGAUUAUCAUGACAAGUUGUGGGGAGGACAAUUGGAUUCUCAGAAGUGAAAGAUCGAGCAAAGGCAACCAAAGAGAGGGUACUUGAAAGCAAAAGGAAACUCAAAAUAUUAAUCGACUUCAUCUUUCUUUGUGUGUUUUGCUUGCUAUGAGUUUAUGUCCAAUUUAUAGAGCUGCUAAGGGCAUUUUUGGCAAACAAAAAAUAAUACCUACUACCGCCUUAGACACCUCAAAUAAGUUUUAUUCAUUUUAAAUACCUAAUAUCAAGCUUCAAUAUUAAGUCACUCUUUACACUUUUUUUUUUUUUUUUAACGAUCAACAAAAAUAUAUACAUAAUAUGUGUUACACUGAAUAACAUGCAGGUAAAGUAUCAAAUUCGGGUAAGGAAUUCUAUUGACCGAGGGAAAGGUAUUAGGCAUCCCUCGAGUUCCGUGGUUCUAGCACGGUCGCUUUUAUUGACUUAUACUUGACUUUUAUUAUUAUUAUUAUUAUUAUUAUUAUUAUUAUUAUUAUUAUUAUUAUUAUUAUUAUUAUUAUUAUUAUUAUUAUUAUUAUUAUUAUUAUUAUUAUUAUUAUUAUUAUUAUUAUUAUUAUUAUUAUUAUUAUUAUUAUUAUUAUUAUUGUUUGGAUAAAUUGUGUUUUAGGCCAUGGUUUACUUAUAUUUUUUAUUGUGCAUUUUUAUUUGGUCUCGACCUAUAUACGUAACCGCAUUCUUGAUCUUGGCGUUUAGAGACAUAACUGUCUUCUUUGCAUCGCACCUAAUGAUUGUCUAUAUGUCUUACUUUGAAUUAAUAAAAGUUAUCUAUAUUUUUUACCAAGGUGUGUCACCGCAUUCCUUGAGUUUCUUUUACAGCCUCAAAAAGAUGUGUAACCACAUUCUUAAUUGAAACAAAUAUUUUUAACAGUCCUAAAAUUCAUAUAGUCAUUAAAAAAUUAAUAUUUUGUCCCUUAUAAAUAAAACCAAAUAAAAUAAAAUAAAUCUAAAUGUUGAGAAUAGAAUAUAUAAUUCUGACAUCAUUUCUAUAUCCUUUUAUUUUAUGCUAUUAAUAAUAAUUUCUUUAAAUUUUUUAUCCUAACUAUAUCUACUUUAUCAUUAUUAUCUAAAUCAAGACAAGAACAAUGUCAUGAUCCGUUCAUUUUUAAGAGGUCACAACUAGCGAAUAGAAAUAAAUAAAAUAAAAAGUAAUCAUUGUUAAAGCUACCUUCAUUCAUUAAACAGAAAUAUAAUAGCUAACAAAUUGUUCAUUUCAAUCAAAUUACGAAUAAAUUAAAAAAAAUAGGAAAACAUGUCAUAAAACUACAUCAAAUUCCAUAAAUAGAUUAAAGAAAUAAGGAGAAGUUGAAUACCGCAAAAUCUUGACCGAACCUUGAUUAGAACACCCACAAAUUUUUGUAGGUAGUUUGUGAUGGUAUAUAUGUUGUGUUUAAAUAAAAAUAGUAAUGAAAAGGGAAGAAAAGAUGUGAAUGUGUUGGUAAAUUUUUUAUGAUCACCCCCUUUGGUGUGCAGCGUGUGCGUGUGCGUGUGUGUUGUGUAUUUUGUUUUUGUAGUCUUUUUCUUCUUUUCGUUUUUCUGUACGUUUUUUGGUAUGUAGGAAAGAUUGUGUAGUGUCUGUAUAGGUAUGUGUGGGUAUUGUAGUAUGUAUAUAGGUGUAAGGGAGGGGCCGUACGUGUGUGGAGAGGGAAAAUGGUGGGGUGGUGAGUGUAGUGGGGUGUAGUAUAGGGAUAGUGGGGUUGUGGUGGGUAGGGGUGUUCAUGGUUUGGUUUGGGUCGGUUAUUGGUCAAAACCAAAAUCAAACCAACUUAAUCGGUUUUAAAAUUAUCAAAACCAAACCAAACCAAAUAUAAUAUACAUUUAUCGGUUUGGUUGUUUUCGGUUUUGGUUUGGUUUGGUUCGGUUAUUCGGUUAUUAACCAUACAUAAAAAUAAAAUAAACAAUUCAUUCAAAACAUGAAAAAAGUGACAACAAUCCAUUCAAACAAAAAAAUAGUUAGAAUGACUGGCAUUACAGAACUUUCGAUUAUAGAAUUUACUGAAUAAAACUUCAAAAUUCACUAUUUUGGCAUUGAAGGAAGAGACAUGACAUUUUUAGUCCCACAAAGAAUGUUCAUAGACACUCAUAUAUAUGAAACCAAUAAGAACCAAACCAAAACCCAAAUUAAAUCGGUUCAUUUAAUCGGUUUGGUUUGAUUUUUUCGAUUUGGAUCGGUUUUUAUCCAAACCAUGAACACCCCUAGUGGUGGGUAUUGUGCAGGUUACUUAGAUUAUUAUUUUUUAUUUUUUAAAAGAAAGGAAUAAUAAUUAACUAUAUAUAUAAAUAAUAUAUUAUAAUAAAAUAUCAAUUAAUUAUUUUAAAUUAAUAUAAAUCUAAAAAAAAGUCAAAUAGCUAGUAAAAAAAUAUAAUUAAAAAAUACUAGCUUAUUUAUAAAAACUUAAUUUUAAAAUAAUAUAUAUUUUUUGUAAUCUUUCAUUUAUUUUUUAAAAAUUGAAAAUAAAACCUACCUUAAAGUGUGACUCUAUUUUUUUGUAGUUUUCAAAUCUUUUAAAAUAAACUUAAUAAAAUAAGGUAAAAUUCAAAAUAUUUAAUUUAGAUUUUUAUAAAAUAUUUGAGCUCUAAAAAUGGUGUUAAACUUAAGUUCAGUCAAAAAUUACGUGUCUAUAACUAUUUUAACAAAUAAUUAAAGGGAAAUUUAGCAAUCUAGUCAACAUACCUAACAUAAUUAGUCAAAAUGACUACAGUUUAAAAUAUUUAUUUGAAGGUUUGACCAAAAUAAUAUAAAUAUAAAACAAAUGAACAAAAGUAAUACAUAUUCUUAAAAAGUAACCAAAAUAGUAUAAACUCUACCAUGAGUAACGUUUUAUCUAUUAUUUUAUUCAUAAAAAUUAACGGAUAGAAAACAGAGAAACCAACUACCAUUAACAUAAAUCGUUACUGUUGAUAACGUAAUUUGGGAAACUACAUUUUUGAAAAAGAGAUUGCAGUUGUACUUGUAAUAUUUAAUUCACAAUAUGUUUUAAAUAGUAUUAAUUGAAUAUUUUAAAUUUUUUAUUUAAAAUUAUUUAUAUAUAUAUUUGUGUGGUAAUAAAUCAUUUGAAUAAUUGUAAAAAUGAAUAUUUGAUAAAUGUUUUAUCAAUAUUGAUAAAUUUUAAGUGGUGUUGAUUAAAUAAUUUAUUUAUUUAUUAUCCAAAAUAUCUCUAUAUUUAUGAAUUAAGAUAAAGGUGAAAACAAACAACUAACUAUACCUUGAUUUUUUUUUUUUAAAUGACAACUAUUUUGAACCAAUUAUUUUUCACAAAGACAACAAGUAAAGUGAAUGGAAUAAAAUACAGUGUAAUUUUUAUUAUUUUAAACAAGCAAGUCAGUGUAAUCAAAAUCUUGGUAAUUAGGUCAAAUCUAAAACUACAAAAUUUACCUUGAAUUAAUUUUUUAUUUACACCAUUUUAAACAUAGAGAAACUGAUAAUAUUUUCACAAUUCUAACAUAUGCCAACAAGCAUAAACAUCGAAGAAAUGACAUUAUUCAUAUCCAUGCUAAAAGUAAACGAAUAAAGAAAAAGGAUAAAUUUAAUUAAAAGAAAAAUUAGAAUGCAAGCAACUGACAUAAGUUGAAAGCAAAUUCGCUACUGCUACUAAUGUUUUAUGUUAACGUCCGUUCUUUUUUCACUUUCUGUUCAUCAAUUUUUUAUGAAUAAAAUAAUAGGUAAAACGUUAUUGGUGAUAGCGUUUAUACUAUUUUGGUUAUUUUUUUUAAAUGUGUAUUACUUUUGUUCAUUUAUUUUAUAUUUGUAUUACUUUGAUCAAAACUUCUAUUUAUUUAAAAUGUCAAAAUGUCAAUACUUUACAAAAUAAUUGUAUUCAAAUAUUAGUAUUUAUUUUACCCUUUUUCCCCAAAACAGUCCAUCAUUGGACAAAUUCUAAACCAAUAACAGAUAAAAAAGGGAAAAAAAAAACUACCGAUUAAUCUUUUUCCCAUCAUUCACGUUUCUUUUCCCCCAUCAUUCAAGUUUUAUAUUUUCUCUUUCUUCAAAUUUCUUUGCAGGUCAAGAAAUACAAAUUAUGAAUGGUUCUUCUAAUUAAUAUCUCAAUUGUUAGAGGUAAUUUUGAUUAUUUAGUGAUAUUUAUGUUGAUUUUGUUUUUAAAAUUACCGAUUAUCUUGUAUUUCGGAUUUUAUAUAUUACGGAUUUUUUGUCAAUUUUUUUGAUUUUUAUGUGAGUUUGGUUAGAUAAGCAGGGCCCAUUCGGGGGUGGCGCUCCCAACGGGAUUUUCUCCAUAUCCAGGGCUCGAACCCGAGACCUCUAGUUAAGGGUGAAUCACUCCCACCAAUGCACCACAACUCAUGUUGGUCCUAAAGUUAUUAUUAUUAAGUAGGUAUGUACGUUCAAAAUAAUUCUUUAAAAAGUGAUCAUAUCCGAUCUUAAUCAAAUACAACUCUAACUCCAACUUAAAAUUUUAAAAUAAUACUCCCUCCUUGCCCUUUUAGUUGUUAUGCUGCACUUUUCAAAAAUUAUUUUGAAUUAUUUUCCAAUUUAAAUUAGAUUACAUUAAAGAUAUUUUAAAUUAAAAAGUUAGAUAUAUAUUUGAAAGGUAUACAUAAAGUACUAUAAAUUGCAAUUUUUGAAUAUCAGUAUGAUGAAAAAAUAUAUCGUAAAAUGUUACUCAAAGUUCUUAUUAUUUAAUUCUAAAAAAAGAAUCAUACAACUAAAAAAGGAUGAAGUGAAUAUAAAUAUAUUUAAUUUUCAUGAUCAAAUGCAUACUAAAAUAUAGUAUUAGUCAAGUUGCCAAUCGCCAUAAUGAUGAAAAGGAAACAGGUGAAUGCAGCUCAUAUCACUGAAAAUAUAGCGCUUUAUACUUCAUCUUUUCAGCACUACCAGCGUAUAAAAAAAUGAAAAUGUGUAAUUUUCAAGUUUAAUACUAAGAGCCGUAGAGAGUUUGUUUUCGAUAAACUUGAGGGAGGAAAGCAAAACUAAGGCAUUUACAAAUGAAUAAAGAUGAACUUAUAUGCUUUGGUUAUAAAAGUAGUCUGACAUUAUUUGUUUGUAAAAUUUGGAUGCAGUUAAACAUGGCUAUUAAAGAAUCACUUCGACUGUAUCCACCAGAUCCUAUCAUUGAACGAAUGCCUUGUGAAGAUAUGAUUUGUUAAACAUUUUAAUUUUUUAAUAAAAUAUGUUUUUUUUUCAAAAUAAGUAUUUUUGAUCUCAUAACAAUUAUGCGGCUUUUAACCAUGGUUAUAGUUAUACGGAUUGGGUUAUCUAUAGAAAAGUUAAAUAUAUGGAACAAAUCAAAUUCAAAUCAAACCUAUUAAUUAGCUAGCGAUUGAGACGUAAUAAUUUUUUAUAUGUACAUUGUGAAUCUCACGUACUCAAUGGUCCCGUAAAUCUUAAUCAUAUUUUGGAUAAAAGCCACCUAGCUGCUUAGAGAUUUAAUAAUUUUGGAUGUAUUUGAUAUUUUCCCUCCGAACACCUUAUCUUCAGUCUCACUUCUCGCAGUGUCUAUUUUCCUCACCCCCACACUUUUUAUUUUAUUAUUGUGUGUUUUAAUAUAUUUAUCUAGAUUAUAUAUAAAUAUUUUUAAAAUAAUAUUUUUUAUUUAUCUACUAAACAAAUAAGAAUUUUAUUUUCUUGAGGAACAUCUUUCAAAAAGAAUAUUUUCUUUCGUAACGAAUAUAUCCUGAACAACCACAAAGGUUAAUAUCAACAUUUUGAUUUUAAUUGAGUUGAAAUGUUUAGAAAGAAAAACAAAGCAGAAAUAAUUAAUUCUCUCCUAAUUUUAUAAAUUGACAAAUAAUUUAAGAAAAAUAUUUUUAAAAUAUGAACGACUAAUAUUGAAUGAACACUAAUCAUCAAAGAAAUAAAAGAAUAAUUAAGUAGCCAAAUUUUCCGUUCUUACCAUCAACUCUACUUGGAGUUGCACUGUUGCAGGCCAAUAAUGGAUAUAUAUAUUAUAUACUAAUGUGCCGAUGGGACCAUUAUUAGACCAUAGUUAAAACAUGAUAAUGAAGUACGAUGGUUAAUUAGUUUCUUUUCCCAGUUGCAGUAGGCCUAAUUAAUAUAUUGUAAAGUGAUUCUAUUACAAUAGUGAAGUAGAGAGGUGAUUUUAAAGCUAUCAAUAGUUCGAAAACGAAAUUAAUAAUUCAUAUCAAAUUCAGAAGUAUUUUCAAUAUUUUUGUCUAUAUAUCAUCUAUUCUCAACUUUUAAAUUUGAGAGUUCAUAAACAAUAUAUGUCCUCUCAGUUUUUAAAUUCGUUCAACUUCACCAUUAUUAACAUUGUGAAAUUAAUUCAAUGUCAAUUGUCCGUAUUAUGGACAAACCCUAAAUUACAUAAAUUAAAACAAAAGAUUAUACAAUAAAAUUAAUUUAGUACUAAAAAUAGCGUAAAAAUUGAGGGCUGAGACUAACGAACAUGGUUAAUUAAAAUUGAGGAACAUCGUAUCUUUUUGGCCUAAAAGAUAUUUGAAUACUAGACUAAUAUAUAUUCACCAUUGAAGAUAAAUACCAACGGGCUAACAACCAAGUUAUUUUCAUUUUUGUCAUGUAAUCUUAGUUUGUUAAAGCCAAAAAUGAAUAUUAAUGUCUUGACGGGACCGCAUGUGUUACUAUCCCAUUAUUAAAAUGGAGUCCGAAAUUAAAAGGGCAAUAAAAUUUUUCGAAAAUUUCAAAAGGACAACUAAAUUAUUUAUGAAAUCAAAAUGGCAAUAAUUUUUAACGGCGUCUAAAUCAGAAUUUUCACCGCAAGACACAAAUCCAUAAACCUUACACGGUGCAUCAGCUUUUAGCCUUGUAAGACUCAUCCCCGCGAGCCUUACAAGGCGCAAGGCAGGCUAUUUUUUUCAAAAAAAAAGUUUUUAUUGUGUUCGGUCCUUAAGGCUACACGUUGCAAACUCGACCGCUCAUUUUUUUUGUUAGAUAAUUAAAAAAAUCUGACUAUUUAGUUGAGAUGUUAAAUCAUCCAACUUUAAAUUUAUCGAAAAUGCAGUACCUUUUUUUUUUUACAAAAAUACAAUCUAUUUUAGUCGGUUAUUUUUUUAAAAAAAAUUUAUGCCUUUUGAGUAGGGGUGUACAUGAUCGGAUUGGUUCGUGUUUUUCAAAUAUUAAAUCAAAUUAUUUGUGUCGAAUUUUUAAAUCUAUAAACCAAACCAAUAAAACUCGGGUUUUUUCAGAUUUUUCGGGUUUUUUUCGGUAAAGUAUUCAUACAAACAUAUAAUUUACUUGUACUUUAAAUAUAUAUUUCUUUUAGUCCUAACAAAAUACAACUAUCUAAGGUGUUUCUUAAGAAAAUAACACAAAAUACGAUAUGAGUAAUGACACUAAAAUGUCCAAUUAAAAAAUAAUAAUAAUGAAAUCACGUAAAACAAAUAUUACAAAUUAACAAGUCAUAAUGAAGAUGAUCAUAAUUUAAAAGUACUAAAUCAUGCUAAAAUAAGUUUAAUAAGUAUUAGUUACAUGACUAAAUAUUAAAGAAAAAUUAAAAUUAGAUUAUGUAUUUGAAUUGUCUAAACCAAUGUAAAACCAAAGAACAAAAUAUUACAAUAUUAUUGUCAUUCUUAGUGUUGAAUUGAUUUUCUUUUUGCAUUAGUAUUAAUUUCAUUUUUGAUUUAAGCUUUAUUAUAAUUACCAACAUUUGUGGACUAUAAUCUUUAUUGAACCAUUCAGAAUUAUAAGUUUCAAACUUGAAAUAAUAUACUAAAAGAUAAAAACUAUGAAAAAGUAUAAGAAAUAUUUAAAAAUUAUAUCAAAGUAAAUAUUUUUAUGUAAAAGUAAAUUUAAAAUUAUAUAUAUAAUGUCGGGUUGGUUUGGUCUCGGGUUGAUUUUUUUUAGUUAAAAUCAAACCAAUCCAAAUAUAGUCGAGCUUUUUAUUCAAUACCAAACCAAGUCAAACCAACCAUUAAUCGUGUUUUUUUUCUCAAUUUGACUCGAUUUAUAAUUUAAUUCGAUUUUUGAUUCGAUUUUAUACCCCUACUUUGAGUUAUCAAAAUAGGAUUUCUAUUGACCGUAAGUUUAAUUUGAUAAUGCAAAAAAAUUUAAAAUAAAUAAAUUGUAUAUUGUAAGUAAUGCACAUUUCAACACACGUAUGACGUAUGCAUAUUAGGGGUGAAGCUAUAUAGUUCUUAUGACACUUGUUUAAGCUUGGUUUUCUAAAAGAAUGACACUUGUUUAAGUUUGGUUUUCUAAAAGAAUGUUUGGAUGUGUCGUUUGUUUAAAUAUAAUGUUUAUUUUGAUGAUUAGUUAAAUUUAAUUUAUAUUAUUAAAUUUAUUGUUAGGUAAUAACGUGAUUUUUCAUUUUAUGUAAUGGCUGAUUUAGUAUGAAUGUAUGGUCAUAAUUUAUUUUUUUUGUUUUACUUACUAUUUAAUAAUUGUAUUUUAUUAUUUACUUUUUUUUUUAUAAUAAAUCUACUCCGCACUCUAUUUUUCUGGUGUGUUCAUCUUUUUGAUUUUUUGACAUUAUGUAAUUAUCGAAAAAAAUACAACUUAAUAUCGUACGAUACAAUUUAAUAUAACAUAAUAUAAUAUAUAUUAUAAAAUGACAUGUAACAACCAUCCAAACAAAGUAUAAAUAUAUAGUUUCAUCAAAAGUUAUAGUGAUAAAGUGGUAAAUUUCGUAGUGAGGUUUAGAUUCGAAUUAUAACAACGAAGUGAUCACUUUUUAAUAAAUAAUAUUUUAUACCUUUAACAUGAGUUUUUUAAAGAAAAUUGAACUCAAAUUAGCGGAAUCUCAGUACGAAUAUUGAGCCUAAAAAGUACUCUAUAAAAGAAGCUCAUAAAUAAAUAGUCCAUUUAAUGGCAAAUUUUAUCCUUUUGUCAAUACAAAAAAGUCCAUGAAUAAUCUUUUCCGAUAUUUGGUAUUGCAUUUUAGUUCUAAAUUAAACACCUUUUACCUGAUUUGAUUACAAAUAUAUAAUAAAUUAGGAAAUUAAGUCGCGCUACGUGCAGUAUAAAAAAUAUUAAAUUAUAAAAUACUUUUAAUAUUGUUUUGUUUUCUUAAAUAAAAUUAUAAUAUUAUUAAUGUUUUUAAUGAUUUUUUCGAUCUUCAAAUCCAAAUAAAUUAUAUUACAAAUUCAAAUACUUAUAUUUGUAAUUUUGAGUUAAAUUCACGGGAUAUUGAUUUUAUCAACAAAAAAAACAAAAGAAUCCUUUGGCACCAUCUAAUAUACCUAUUCUUUUAUGUUAGAGUUAUUAUAAUUGAAAAAAAUUAUGAAUUUAGUAUCCAUUUGAAUGUGUUCUUUUAUAGAGUUAUGACAUGAUAAUAAAAAUUAAAAUAAUAGAUUUAACAGAAAAAAAGAAAAAAAAUGAAGGAAUAUAUACAUUUUAUAGUAGAUAAAUAAAACAACGGUUUACUCAUUGGUGCAAGGAUGAGCUUAAAGUUUGCUUUCACUAAAAUUAUGUUAUUCUCUAAGAUAAAUGCAUAAAAUGUAGAACUAACAUGCAAUUAGCAUAAAAUAUAAUAGAUCUAUGAAUGAAAAAGGGGAUAAUUUCAUACACUUUUCUUUGAAUUUGACUUUUUAAAAUGGUUCGAAUUUGACUUAUAACACUCGCCUCUUAAAAUUUAUGAUAUUAUACUUCUCUUAUUUUAGUUUUAUUGUUAUACUUCUUUUAACCUAUUAAAUAUCUCAAUUAUAUGUUUGGACUUAUCUGUCUGUCACUCCCCGAGCCUACACCCUGGGCGGAACUGGCACUCGAAGACCAUUGCUGGCCUCAAGUGAACUCUUGGCCUGGCUACUUAACUCAGCGGAAGACUUAACUCAACACAAUAUAAGUUCAUAAAACAACCUAAAUGAUAAAAUCUGGCCAAAAUGGCAACUUAUGUCUCAAAAUAGAAUAUCUGUAAAUACAUAGAUGAGAGACUCAUAACUACUGUCUAACUGUCUAUGAAGCCUCUAUAAUACUGAGAUGGAUGUUGGGACAGCCCCACAACAUCCUAAUAAAGAAAAACUAGAAAAGCGAAUAAAAGAGUCCUCCGGAAUGCAAGGAGGCUCACCACUGACUCUAGAGUGCUCGACUAGAUCAACGGCACACUGGAUGCUGAUCCUGGUUACCUGCGUCUGCAUCAUAAUAAGAUGCAAGCCAACUGGCAUCAGAACAUUGAAUGUACGAGUAUGCGAGUUGGAAUGCUAAACAACAACUUAAGCUUGAAAGGAGUAAGAAGGAACACUUACNNNNNNNNNNNNNNNNNNNNNNNNNNNNNNNNNNNNNNNNNNNNNNNNNNNNNNNNNNNNNNNNNNNNNNNNNNNNNNNNNNNNNNNNNNNNNNNNNNNNNNNNNNNNNNNNNNNNNNNNNNNNNNNNNNNNNNNNNNNNNNNNNNNNNNNNNNNNNNNNNNNNNNNNNNNNNNNNNNNNNNNNNNNNNNNNNNNNNNNNNNNNNNNNNNNNNNNNNNNNNNNNNNNNNNNNNNNNNNNNNNNNNNNNNNNNNNNNNNNNNNNNNNNNNNNNNNNNNNNNNNNNNNNNNNNNNNNNNNNNNNNNNNNNNNNNNNNNNNNNNNNNNNNNNNNNNNNNNNNNNNNNNNNNNNNNNNNNNNNNNNNNNNNNNNNNNNNNNNNNNNNNNNNNNNNNNNNNNNNNNNNNNNNNNNNNNNNNNNNNNNNNNNNNNNNNNNNNNNNNNNNNNNNNNNNNNNNNNNNNNNNNNNNNNNNNNNNNNNNNNNNNNNNNNNNNNNNNNNNNNNNNNNNNNNNNNNNNNNNNNNNNNNNNNNNNNNNNNNNNNNNNNNNNNNNNNNNNNNNNNNNNNNNNNNNNNNNNNNNNNNNNNNNNNNNNNNNNNNNNNNNNNNNNNNNNNNNNNNNNNNNNNNNNNNNNNNNNNNNNNNNNNNNNNNNNNNNNNNNNNNNNNNNNNNNNNNNNNNNNNNNNNNNNNNNNNNNNNNNNNNNNNNNNNNNNNNNNNNNNNNNNNNNNNNNNNNNNNNNNNNNNNNNNNNNNNNNNNNNNNNNNNNNNNNNNNNNNNNNNNNNNNNNNNNNNNNNNNNNNNNNNNNNNNNNNNNNNNNNNNNNNNNNNNNNNNNNNNNNNNNNNNNNNNNNNNNNNNNNNNNNNNNNNNNNNNNNNNNNNNNNNNNNNNNNNNNNNNNNNNNNNNNNNNNNNNNNNNNNNNNNNNNNNNNNNNNNNNNNNNNNNGGGGCGCCAGCCCUCAAACUUCAGAGGACCAGCUGGGGCGCGCUGGCUGGCGCUUCGCCCCAAGGGGUGCACUUUACAGCCCCUUUUGGGGCACGCUGGCUGGCGCGACGCCCCACCCCUUUCCCCAGGUCUUUGGCAAUUUUCUUCUCCGUUUUUCAUCUCUAAACCCUCCUAACUUCCAUGGUUCUUUCCCCAAACAUUUAGGAUCAAAAGUACUCUCAACUUACAACAGAUCUAACUCGAAAAUCCACCCGGAAACAUGAAUCAAAUCAACAAGAAACUUCAACAACACAACCAAUCAAGAACUUAACGACGUCCUUCAAGAACUUCACUUUUUAACAUGUAAACAACCUAAAUUCGCUGAAUUGAAACAAGUUGGUAUGUGGGUGAGCUAACCCAUCACUAAAAGAUCUCACAUACCUUAAUACGGAUCACCCCCGACGAAUUUCACUCCAAAAGCUUGACGUUCUUGGCGAAAUCUUGGCUUUUCUCCCUUUCUUUCUUCUUCUCUCUUCUCCAAGCCCUAAGCGUAUUUCUCAAUUCUCCAAACUGACUAAGUAAUAUUUUUACCCCAAUAGAUCCCUAAAAAAGAAUUAGGAAAUUAAUUAGAGAAAAGACGACUUUGCCCUUCCCUAAAUCCGGAUUGGAACUUUUCUCAAUCCAACAUCCCAACUUACGAAAGACCUAUCUCACUCAUACGAUGUCAAAAUCGUGCAAACUCAACGUCGUUGGAAAGAUCUCUCCAAGGGAUUUCCAACCAUAUCAAGAGCUGCUCCUAACUCAUCCUGAGCUAGGAGUUAUGGCCGUUUGAAAAUGGCCAAAACUCACUUUCUUAACUUAGACAAUUUCCAGAUUUCCUUAUUCUUUCCAAAAAUCAAUAUUUUCAUAUUUUAAACUCUUUAUAGUCGUUUCUAGGUGCGAGAUGUUACAUUGUCCCUUAAAGAAACUCAAUAAUCUCGUUCAAAGAAUCUUCUAAGUAGCAUUACACAUAUGGAUGAAAUUUUCAUCUAAUUUCUUAAAUAUUAAAUGAAAUGUUUGAUAAAGUGAAUAGACAAAAAAUCAUUCAUCUCCCUAAAGAGAGUACUAUUAAAACCCUUUCAUGAAUUGGUUUCAAUCUAUUUCAUUAGCUGCAAUUGAUCAACAACAUAAAGAUGAAAAAGAUAAUAAACUAAACUACAAUUUCUUAUCUUUGUAAACAAACAUAUAUGUAAGGAUGAAAAAAUGGAAUACAAAUUGACGGAAUAGUUACAAGAGUGGUAUUAAAAUUAAUGGCAGUACAAUAAUAAAAUUGAAAAUUCAAUAAUCGUUCCCUUAUUAUAUAACUUAUAACUACUGCUAAAUUAAGAUUACAACGAACUCUUCAAGAACCCAAAUUAAGUGAAAAUAGUGAGUAAGAAAGUAAAGAUAUAUGCACUAAUAAGAACAUAGUUAGGAAUACUUAUCGACACACUUUUUCAUUUGAAGCAAAAACACAUGAAAUUUAUUAAUUUGUUUGAUAAUUAAAAUAAAUUAUAAUAUUUAUUAUAUCUCAUAAAUUACAAAAACCUCCAUCUAUUCAUAUUUUCUACUUAAAUGACAUAUCUCCUCAACUCCUUUCUAUGAUUCUCUUCAUUACCUAUACAUUUAGUUUUUCCAAAAUAUAAUGACUUUAAAUUUUAGUUCAAAUUUAUAAUAUAGAAAGUUCAUUAUAAAAAAAAUGUAGUGCCUUUAUAAAAAAAAAAGAACUUUCAAAACUCGAACUCUAUAUAUAUUUGUUAAAGAUAGAUAAAUUUUUAUUCACAUUUUGAGAAGUACCUAAAACUCAUUGAAUAGAAGGGCACCUUUUUAAUUAUUUCUUUGUAGGCUUUAGAUAUUGUGCAUCACAUUAAGUGCAAGUGCUAUUCUAAUCCAUAUUAUGAAAGGACAUUUUAUCUAUAGCUUUAUCUUCCAAAAAAUUUAUUCUCUUAUGUGUGUCAUUUGCCUUUUCAAGAAAACGUUUGGCAUUUAUUUUGGUUAGGUACUUUUGCAGUUGAAGAGGCAUGAUAGUAGUAAUAAAAAGGGAUAAGGGUCUGGAAAAUAUCCUAACUUUGGUCGAAUUUGUUGUUGCGAUACUAAACUUUCAUGAGGACCUAUUACCUCCCUAGACUAUUUAAUANNNNNNNNNNNNNNNNNNNNNNNNNNNNNNNNNNNNNNNNNNNNNNNNNNNNNNNNNNNNNNNNNNNNNNNNNNNNNNNNNNNNNNNNNNNNNNNNNNNNNNNNNNNNNNNNNNNNNNNNNNNNNNNNNNNNNNNNNNNNNNNNNNNNNNNNNNNNNNNNNNNNNNNNNNNNNNNNNNNNNNNNNNNNNNNNNUAUUAAAUAGUCUAGGGAGGUAAUAGGUCCUCAUGAAAAUUUAGUAUCGCAACAGCAAAUUCGACUAAAGUUGGGAUAUUUUUCAGACCCUUAUCCCUAAUAAAAAUGAUUUAGUAAGUCUUGCAAUAUGAUUUUAGUUAAAAGGCUUUUAUUGAAAUAAAAUUUGAAGACAAAAGUUAUUGAAACAAAAGCCAAAAAUCUCACAAUUAAAUAAAGAUAUAUAAUAUAAUAAAAAAAAACCUACGCUAGCAUCUUCUCACACCAGGCGACUCCUAUGGAGUUUUAGGCCUCUAUGGCCGAAACAGUCUCUCCCCAGCCUCGAGCUGUGGACGAAACGCCAGAAAAACCUAGUUAUGCAUCUAUUUCUAAUCCAUCGACUUACACUCAAAAAUCUGAUGGAAAACUUCCACUAAAAUUAAAACCUGUGAUCUAUGUUCAUGGGGAACCUACUAUGAGUUUCAACUUUUUGGAUUUGGAAUCGUAUAUCCAAGAAGAAAACUUGCAAUAUGCUCUUGUUGCUAAGUUUUCUUAUGGGAGACCCGAUAAGAUUGAUCUUAGAAAGAGUUUUACACGACACUUUGCAAUCAAAGGAGAUUGCAAUUUAGGUUUACUAGAUCAUCGUCAUGUUCUGGUAAGAUUAUCAAAUCAGGAAGACUUUAGGGAGGUGUACUCUAGGGCAGUAUCAUUCAUCACAAUAAAAGAAAAGGGCGUGAAUAAUCAAUACCAAUGUCGGAUUCAACGCUAGACACCAUUGUUUAAUCCAAAAGAUGAGACAUCAAUUGCUUUAGCUUGGAUUUCUUUUCCGAGUUUGUCAACACAGAUGUUUGCUCGUGAAGCCUUGUUUUCACUUGCAUCAGCCGUUGGGACACCCCUACAAGUUGAUAAGGCAACAACGGGUAAGUUAAGGCCUAGUGUAGCUAGGGUAAAAAUGGAGGUUAAUCUAUUAUCAUUGCUUCCGAAUAGAGUUAGAAUGUUUUUUAAAGAUGAAAAAAAUGGUGUCGUUAAAGAGGUGUUGCAAAAAAUUGUCUAUGACAAAUUGCCUUUGUACUGCACAAUAUGUAAACAUCAGGGUCACAAGGAGGAAGAAUGCAGACUGACUAUGGAGGUAGAAGGUGGACUAAUUGAUGAAACAAAAAUUAAUGGGGCAAAGUUCAAAGGAGAUUUGCGAUCAAUUUUGGAUGAGAAAAAGAAAGUUCUUUCUCUUCAACAAACUGGAAAAGAGCAACAUCUGGAAACAAAGAAGAUACAGAAACUAUGUUACCUGGGACAUUGACUUCGAAGAUUAGUGAGCAACUUGGUACGACCACAACGAGUUCGUCCACUCCUAUCCAUAUUGAUGUUGAGGCACAAAAUAAUGUAGAUAAUAACUCAAGGCAGUUGAUCGUUACAUCACAAGUCGCUAUAGAGUAGUUAUCGUCUAGAUUUGUGAAAGAUAGAGAGUUGGAUUCACCUAAUGCAGUCGUGAUUACUAAAUCAAGGCAAGAUGAAGCCAAAAAAAGGUAACACUACCGCAGAAAAAUCCAGUAAUCAAUGGACUUUGGUCUCACAUAAAAAAAUGGUUGGCCCUACGUCAUCAAAUAAUCACAUUUUGCACCAAAACAAUUCUACACAUGUUGAGUUUGAUAUGAGUAAUAGUGUCGUUGAAUGUACUCAAUUUGAUGUGUUGCGAGAUGAGAAGUUUGGACAAUAUGAAGGGCUACAUGUUACAGAUGAAUUAUCUGCUGAAUCUGGGAAUACUUUAGACUUGGACAAGCAGAUUGAGCAAAUAGGACAGUUGAAACAAUGUUGUCACGAUGAGCAUACUAAUCAACAAGCUCUUGUGACACAUGAAAAGGAGUUCAUUGCUACAGAGAAGAUAGAUGGCAAGGAAAUCAAUCUAAAUACACCUACCAUGUUUAUUUUAGAUCAAGAGGUGGCUACAAACAAUUUGAAUGAAUAUAAAGAAAAAUGAGGGGUGGGGAGUGCUUCAAGAUGGGCAGAUUUAGUUGAGGAAGAGAAUCAUACUCCUUCACCUAGUAGGAGUAAGUUAAGCCCUCAAGCACUUGAAUUUGUGCUUACAAGUAAAACAAUCCAUCGAUGGCAGUCAUAGGUACAUCAUCUAACUUGAGUGCUACAAAAGUAAACGUGGCAGAUAGAGAUAAUCUUUAUGACUUGGACAAUGACAUGUCUGAUGGAGACGAUGAAGAUCAUGAAGAUGAUGAAGAAGAAAUGUUGGAUAUAUGCUUUGAUAAGGUGGCUAAGGAGGGGGACCUUUCGCCUAGACAACAAAGAAGUGGAAGCACCAAAUGCAAAAAGAAGACACAUGGAAGACAACAUAGUUGGGAUGGUAAGGUGAGUGGGGAUUUUGUCCCAAGGCGCCUACCGAUGCGACUAGCAAAGCAAAAUCAUAUGACAGUGUCAACAACUUUAUCAAGAUCCAACAAAUUCAAAAAGUGAUGAACUAUCAAUUAUUUUUUAACAGAUUUGAAGAAGAAGACAAGAUGCAAAUACUUCAGAUUACUUUAGACUGGCAAACUAUUUGUUUUAGUUCAUACAUAUAUCAAAUGAACUUUGAGGUGGCUAACUCAUCUUUAUUCUUUGAUUUUAUAUUCUUGCAUUACUUAAGCAUCUUCAUUUGUAAUAUCAUCAUAAAGAGUAUUAUAAACUUUAUGAUAAUCAUAGAAUACCUAGUUUUCUCUAGUUCUUUUUUCUUCAUGCUUGUUAAUUAGUAGAGAUUUGUUGUCUCAUUAGGAUUAGUAAGGUAAGGCCUAGCCCCCCUUACUUGUACUUAUCUCUAUUUAUAUCUUUUAAUUUAAAAAUAAAUAAAUAAAAAUAAAUAGAAAUGUUAGCCAUAGAGAAGUAUCAAAAUGUUAAGACUUUGAGAGAGAUUAGACAAUAUAAAACAACCAAAAUAAAAAAAUACUCACGCACAAAAGUAAGCAUACUGUUUGAAGCCAUGUUAUCAUUCUAUGUAUCAGAAGUAUAGAAUUACAAUGUUAAAAAAGAUCAAUAUUAUUCCUACUUAAUAUUGAUACUUAGCAACCAAAAAUGAAAGUGUAACAAAUUUUGUUAUAGUAAAAGAGAUUGGCGAAAAGUUGUAUGUUAAAACAUAAGGCAAAUCAUAGAAAAAAAAGAACUAAUAUAUAAAUUACUUGAAAAUUGCAAAUUUUUCACCCUCACAGAUUCGCACUUGGCCGACAUCAACAUGUACUUAGCCGAUAGCUAGAUACUCUUCUGCUUCUUUUUUUUUCCACCAAUAAUGUGUAUCCUGCCUUAACAUAAAACAAAACAAAUUAAAAUCAACUAUCUAAAGAAAAAGGAAAAUGAAUUAAAAAUUUUGGUACUAUAAAGAUUAUAUAAAAAUAAAAAUGCAAAGAAAGUGUUAAAAACUGUACCUGAUUUUUUUUUUCACAAUUAAGCAAAAAAAGUAGUAAUAUAAUUUGUAUAACAUUGAAGUACCCAAAUGGUUAAAAAGCAGUAAUAUAACCUGUAGUGGAUGAUAUGCCAUGACUGGCAUCUCUACUAUUAUUUAUGCUAUAAUAGGGCAUAAAUGAAAUUUAAUUAAUAGGAUGUCGUUUGGAAUAUUUCGUGCGAGGGUGAAGGGCUGCAUUAAUUAACUGUAAUUUUUUUCUUUAAUGACGUAUAAGCUGUUAAAUAUUAAAUUAAAUUAAAUUAGAUAAAUAGAAAAAUGAGAGGAAAAAAGUAAAAAAAAUCCAAAAAAAAAAAGAUAAAUGUGAUUCCUGACCUAUAAAGGGUGCCACAUUAGCGGGCUUAUGUUCCUGCUUUAUAUUAAUAUAUAGAUUACUUAAAUCAUCAAAGAAGAAUUUGCACAUUAAUUAAUCAGAACCGACAGACUUAGGAAAGAUAUUAUUAGUCAUAGACUCAUAGGACUUGGAUCUUGUUCCAUAAUUACUAGUUAUAAUAACUACGGUAACAUUUAUAUAUUUAAUUAAGCCAAAUAAAUAUAAUUUUUUCCGAUUUUUUUUUUUUAAAAAUAACCUUGCGCCUUGUAAGACUCAUGGUGGCUGAGCCUUACAAGGCUAAAAGCUGCGACGCCUUGUAAGGCUCAUGGGUUUCUGUGCCUUGCGGCGGAAACCCUGAUUUAGACGCCGUUACAAAUUAUUGCCCUUUUGAUUUCAUAAAUAAUUCAGUUGCUCUUUUGGAAUUUUCAAAAUAUUUUGUUGUCCUUUUGAUUCCGGACUCGUGUUUGAAUAGCUCCUAGAUUGGACAACUAACCUGAAUAAUAGUUAAUCCUGUGAGCACCUUGUACCAAACAUAAAUUGUAUCCUUUUCAUACGGAAUAUUGUAUUUAUGGCUUCUUUUUCAUUGGCCUAAAGGGUAUUGAGUUUAACUAAUAUUCAUUGUCGGUGGAAAUUUUAUUUUUUACGAAUAGUGAAUAGUACAUUAUUGUUUUUAAAAAUCAUUUCCUUAAUUAUUACUCCUUUUUCUUUUCACUCUUUUAAUCUUCAGACUUAUAUAUAUAUAUAUAUAUUAUAGUAUUUUUCAAAUGUGUAAACUUAUUUCGAAAAAAAUUAAAAAUUUAAUGUCAAAACUAAAAAGUUUAAAGAUCAUGGAGUGAAAAGUAUCAUAUAAAUUGAGAUAUUAAAAAUACUAUGUCAUAGAAGGGUGACGGUGAUUACUUGGAUUUGUUUUGCAGAAUGCUGCAAAGGUUGAUACUGUAAUUUAUUUAACUUUGAUGGUGAUAAACAUCAAUAAAGUAGAAAUUGACAUCAAUGAAAAGCAAUACAAUAAAUUUUUAAAAAUUGUACAUUAUUUUACUUAGUUUUGAUUUGUUAAGAAAACCCGAAGAAACACCAGUACCAUUCGUAAAAAAAUUUAACCAAAAUAUAUAACAAAAUUUUUUCAAAAUAUAUAUAAAAAAAUUACUAUUAAUUUAAUCAUUCCUAAGACUAUUUUUAAUUAAUUAAAUCUAAAUUACUCAUUCUAGGAAAGUGAAAUUUUUUAUUAUGAAAUAGAGAGUAGUUGAAUUCAAAAGCAAUAACUUAAAUUCCUGCUUGAUCAUAAUUUUGAACUUGAAAUAUAAACAUUUAAAUUUGAAAGUAAUUUUUAAAAUUUGAAGUUGUAUUUGAAUAAACUUUUUUAAAGUUUUGUGAAUGAAAGUUUCAAAAAUUCGAAAACUUAUCCAAAUUAACUUUUAAAACCUAGUAUUUUUGUGAAGAUCGAUUUUUAAAAUUUAAUUCAAAAUUUAUGACUAAUCUCUAGCUAAAUAAUUGAUUAAACGGAAAAGACAAGUCCUUUACUUGUCAUUGAUCAAUCAACUCCGCCUUGCAAUAAUGAUGUGUAUUUUUUGUUUUAUUUUAAGGUGGGUCCAAUAAUGAUGAAAUUUAAAUUUAGAUAAAAUAGUUCAAAUCACCUUCAUCCCAAACUCAAAACACAAUUUUUCUUAUGUGUAUUUUUGAAAAUCCCUAAAACUACUCGCUCAAAAUUAUAAUCCCUCCGUCCCAUUUUAUGUGAGGUAGUUUGACUCGACACAAAAUUUAAGAAAAAAAGGAAGACUUUUAUAACUUGUGGUCCAAAAUGAAUCCUAGAAAUUUGUAUGGCUGUAAAUCAUUUCAUUAAGGGUAAAAUAAAUAUUUUAUAGUUAAAUUGUUACUUAUUCUAGAAAUGUGUCAUUUUUUUGGGACUGACUAAAAAGGAAAGUAAGUCACAUUAAUUGGGACAGAGGGAGUAGCAUUAAUUUUCAAAUUAAAGAAAAUGUUAGAUUUUUUAAAUUACAUUAUGUCCAACACAUUAAGAAGUAAAAUUCAUAGUGACUAAUGUUAGUGAAAAAUUACAAUAUAAUAAAAUUGCAAGAUUACAAUUGAAAAUAAAAUGAAGAAAAUAAAUCAAGCUGAAGCGCGAAUUUCUCGCUCUUUUUUAAGGAGAUUCAAGUCCACUGCAACAAAUAUUUUUCACCGGUGCAGCAAUAGUCCUUCUUGACUUGAUACAACAGCCUUACACAAAGUAUAACUCAACAACUCUGACAAAGAGUUGAGUCCAAAGCUCCACAAAAAGAAUACCUCCCUUCAAUUAAUAAGAACUUUCUUUUUCGACUAACUCUUUCACUCUAUAUUUUUUUUGUGUAUUGUGUGUUCUAAACCAAAUGAAGACCACCACUAUUUAUAAUUGGGGAUGUCUUCCUAGCAAUGAAUAAGAAGAUAAUGGGGUAGUAAAUGGUAAAAAUAAAUGACUUUAGGAGUUACAUAGGUUACAAGGUAUAAUAGAGAAAGAAUAAUGAAGAAUGAAUGGCAAAGGCCACCAACGGCUAAGAGUGCUAACAAGUAAUGUUGUAACAUAACAAACAAUAACUCCAAAUGGAGUAAUGCAACAAAUAAGUGCCACAAACGGUCAAUGUCAGAAACGUCAAGUAAUGGGCAAUUAAGCCUCAAAACAUUGAUUCCAAAAUACAAUCAAAGUGGCCACUAACAUUCUGAUAGGAAUAGCUGCAAGAUGAAUGGGAAAUAUGCACCUUAACCAUUAUUUACGAAUAUUAAAAUGCUCCCAAACCAAUAAUCCCCCACUCAUUAUAAUAUUAAUCAAGAGAGUCUAUCAGCUGAAGGAAGACUAAUAUACAUAAUGAAGGUGUGCUCUGCAUUGAACCUCCACUUAGUGAAAUAAUAACUUUUUACUCCAGAGUCGUAGUGGUCUCAGACUUGAACUAUGACUGCUUAGGGAAAAUAAAAUAUAAUUGUCCACACAUAAUAAUCAAGGUGUUGACAUGAGCUUUAACAGCCAGCACAUUAUGGCCUUGUGCUAUCCCAGUUUCAUGAGUGCUUUUGAGAAUAAGCCAAAUUCUCAUAAAAAGCGACCUACCUCCAUAUAUCACAUAGGUGAAAUCUGUCGAGAGUGCUCAUGUAAACUUAACACUCCACCCAUACGAGCUAUAGAUAUUCAUUAAGAGUUUUAUCAACUCAACCUUCACAAACUACAGGAAACAAUGCACUCACAUCAUAGGGAGGGAAUAAAAAGAUAGUGCAUUUUUCACAACAAGUCAUCAUAUGAUUAGUUUUUCCCCUUGAACCUGGUAAUAGGAUCUAUUGUCCCCAAGUUGGGUUUCCUCAUAUAUGACUCAAGGAUUUAUAGGCUUCAAUUCCAUCCCCCUCAAUGUGCUCCAGACCUUUUCUCUCGUUAAGGCCUUAGGAAAAGGAUGUGCAAGAUUAUCACAAGAUUUGACAUAAUCAACAUUAAUAGUACCAUUUGUCAAAUAUGAUCUUACAUUAUUGUGUUUCCUCUUUAUAGGUCUGGAUUUACCGUUGUAAUAACGGUUUUGAACUCUAACAAUCGCAACAAUGAUAUCACAAUGAAUUAAAAUAGGAGGAAUUGGUUUUUCAAAAUAAGGAAUUUGAAACAAUAAAUAUCUUAAUCAAUUCGCUUCCUCACUAGCUGAAGCUAAAGCAAUUAGUUCAGCCUCCAUGGUAGAGUUAACAAUUAUAGUUUACUUUUUUAAUCUCCAACAAAUAGCACCACCACCCAAAGUAAAGACAUAAUCAGUGGUAGAACAAGAAUCACCUGAUAAAGUGUUCCAAUCUGCACCACAAAAGCCUUCAAGUACAACAUGAUAUUUUUUAUAAAACAAACCACAAUUUUUCAUUUCAAUUAAAUAUCUCAUAACUCUUGUUAUAACAUGCUAAUGUUCAUUACCUGGUUAGUACUCCUACUGCAUAUGCAAUAUCAGGCCUAGUGCAAUCAGUCACAUAUCUCAAACUUCCGAUUAUGUUAGCAUAUUCCUUUUGAUUUAUUACAUCAUUUUCACUUUACAACAGGAAAUAAGUGAACACUUGAAUCAAAAAGGAGUAGCAACAUGCUUGCAAUCAAGAAAGUUAUAUUUUUCAAAAUUUUCUCAACAUAAUGUGACUGGUCAAGGAAAAUUCUAUCACAUGUUCUUGCUAUUUUUAUUCCAAGAAUAAAAUUUGGUUCACCAAGAUCUUUCAUAUCAAAAUGGCUUAUAAGAAUAUUCUUAGCUUCAUCAAUAACAUUCAUGUUAGAGCCAAAGACCAACAAAUCAUCAACAUAUAGGCAAAUAAUCACAUGUGAAUUAUUUCAAGACUUGUGAUAUAUGCACUUAUCACACUCAUUUGUUGUAAAACCAUUUCCAAUCAUGUUGGAAUCAAACUUUUCAUGCCAUUAUUUUGGUGCCUGUUUCAAGCCAUAUAUGGAUUUAAUAAGUUUACAUACUUUGCUUUCUUGGCCUGCUUCAACAAAAGACUCGGGUUGUUCCAUAUAAAUUUUCUCAUUUAGGUCUCCAUUUAAAAAGAAAGUUUUUACAUCCAUUUGAUGAUUUUGCUAAGCAAAAAUUGCAGUCAUAGCAAUUAAAAGGCUUGUGGAUGUAAUUCUUGUUAUAGGUGAAAAAAUAUCAAAAUAUUCUAGGCCUUCUAGUGUUUAAAACCUUUUGCAACUAGUCUAGCCUUAUAUUUAUCAAUAGAUCCAUCCGGUUUCAACUUUUUUCUAAAAAUCCAUUUGCAACCAAUAGUUUUACAACCCAGUGGUAAAUCAACUAACUUCCAAGUUUUAUUAGAAAUUAGUGAUUCCAUUUCAUCAUUUAAUUUACAGCCUCUUUCCAAAUAAUGGAAUCAUGUGAAGAUGAAGCUUCUUUUAAAGAAAGAAGGUCAUCUCCAACAUUAAACACAUAAAAAUCAGGACCAAAAUCUUUUUCUACUCUAGCUCUUUUACUUCUUCUUAACUCAAAAUCAUCAACUUUUUUAUUUUUCAAAGUGAGAGUAAAAGAAUUAGGUAGUGACAAAAUAUUUUGUUCAAUUCUUUGACCCCCACUAUUUUUAGAAUCAAAAGGAAAUUUAUUCUCAUGAAAAAUAGCAUCACCCGAUUCUAUCACAAUAUUAUCUUCAAGAUUAAAAUAUCUAUAGGCUGUACUAUUUGAAUCAUAACCAAGAAAAACACAAGUAGUAACUUUCUUACCCAAUUUUGUGAUCUUGGGAUCCAUUAGCCUCACAAAGGCUAGACAACCCCAAACUCUUAGAUAUCCCAAACUUGGCUUGUAACCUUUUCCACAAUUCAAAAGGUGUCAAUUUAGACUUUUUAUGAGGCACACGAUUUAACACAUAACAAGCAGUCAAAAUAGCUUAACCCAAAAAUUUAAAGGUGCAUGUGACUCAAUAAACAUGACAUUAAUUAGUCAAUUCAACCAAAGUUCUAUUUUUUUCUUUCCGCUACACCAUUAGAUGAGGGAGAAUAAGGAGGAGUAGUUUCAUGAAUUAUUCCCAAUGAUCUAACAAAAGAAUUAAACUCAUUUGACUCAUAUUCACGGCCUCUAUCACUUCUAAUUCUUUUAUUUUCUUUCAAAUUGAUUUUCAACCUCAUGGAGAUAAGUUUUGAAAUUUUCAAAAGCAUCACUUUAUUUUUCAUCAAGUAAACAUAUGUAAACUUAGAAAAAUCAUCAAUGAAAAGUGAUAAAAUAUCUAUUACCUCCACGAGUUAAAAUUCCACCAAGUUCACAAAUAUCAAUAUGAACUAAUUCUAACAAAUCAGUUUUUCUUUCAACUUGAAAAUGAGACAUUUUAGUGAUUUUGUCUUUACUACAAGCCUCACACUAUUCAAAAUUCUUUUUAAUCAUUGGAAUUAAUCCUAAACUACUCAUGAUUCCACCAUAACGAUCAUUAAUAUGACACAAACGAGCAUGCCAAAAAUUAGUAGAAGAAAACAUAUAAACAGAAGUAGAAGCUUUAUUCACUUCUACAUUCAAUUUGACCAUCCCAUUACAAACAUAUCCCUUUUCCACAACAAUAUCCUUCUUCACAAUUACAUAUCGAUCAGAUUCAAUAAUCUGUUUAAAACCUGCUUUAUUAAGAAGAAAACUAGACAUCAAAUUUUUUCUCAUGGAAGGAAUAUAGAGUACAUCUUUCAAAGUUAAUACUCUUACAGAAGUAAAACACAAUUCGACAUCUCCCGUUCCAAGCAUUUGAGUUUUGUGAGAAUCACCAAGCAUGAUGGUUUUGGGCUCCUCAAAAUGAGUAUAUUUUUUAGGACAAAUUACAGAAAUCGCAUACUUUUAAGGCAAAAUUACAAUACAUCACUUAAAAGUUUAUAAUUACAGAAAUCCCUCAAACGGAUAUAAUAAGAUAAGCGCUGAUACAUUAAUUUGAUACGCGAGAUACAAUAAUAUAAGUGAUGAUACAUGCGCGAGAUACAAUAAUAUAAGCGCUAAUACAUUAAUCCUAUGCGCGAGAUACACUAAUAUAAGCACUGAUACACUAAUCUGAUGCACGAAAAUGAGGAAUUUUGGAGAUUUGUAAAACUUAUAGGGGAUAAUGGUAAUAAGUAAACUAAAAGGUGGGAUUUCUGUAAUUUUUCCUAUUUUUUAAACCAGUCUUUGUCAUUACAGACUUGACGGUUUGCACCAGAAUCAACCCACCAUCCAUCAACAAUCUCAACCAUGUUUAUGUCGAUAAUCACCCCCCAAAAGGUUCUUCGGUAACGUUUGCCUGAGGGUUAGGACCACGUUUUCAGAAUCUGCAAAAUCGAGCAAUAUGCCCACUCUUGCCACAAACAAAGCACGGUCCCUUAUCUUGAACUUGUUGAUUUUGUGCUUGGUUAUUUUCACCAUUAUUUUUCUUAGGAGGUCUACUAUUAUUUUUCUUAAAUUUUUUCUUCUUAGUUCAAAGAAGUAUUUUUGUGAGUUUCAAGAGUAGCAUUAUUUGAAGUAAUUAAAUUUACCUUCGUUGUGAUGUUGCUCUCUUCUUUUUGUAAAAGUGCAUCUUGGCCCCUUGCCUCUACACCAUCGUGCUUUUCCACUUUCCCAUGAUGAGAAAUAAGUUCAUCAUCAUCUAUGGAGGUAUCAUCAACUUUAUUAGGAUUCUUUUCAGUUAACACAUAAGAAACACUGAGAAGAUUUAAGUAGAAAAGUACUUUACCCUUCCAUCUUUUGAAAUGGUUACCAUUGAACCGAUAUGGCUUGUUCAGGUCUACCAUCUUGACAUCUGCGGUUUUUUCAAUUAUAGCCAUUAUUGAAUCUCUUUAAAAUUGUUAGUGAAAAAUUACAAUAUAAUAAAAUUGCAAGAUUACAAUUGAAAAUAAAAUAAAGAAAAUAAAUCUCUUCAGGUUGAGGCGCGAAUUUCUCGCUAUCUUUAGGGAGAUUCGAGUCCACCGCAACAAAUAUUUUUCAUAGGUCCAGUAGUAGUCCUUCUUGACUUGUUCCCGAUACAACAACCUUACACAAAGUAUAACUCAACAGUACAACUCUGGACAAGAGUUGAGUCCAAAGCACCACAAAAAGAACACCUCCCUUCAACUAAUAAGAACUCUCUUUUUUUACUAACUCUUUCACUCUAUAUUUUUCUUGUGUAUUGUGUGUUCCAAACCAAAUGAAGGCCACCACUAUUUAUAGUUGGGAUGUCUUCCUAGCAAUGAAUAGGAGGAUAAUGGGGUAGUAAAUAGUGAAGAUAAAUGACCUUAAGAGUUACAUAUAUUACAAGGUAUAAUGGAGAAAGAAUGAUGAAGAAUGAAUGGCAAAGGUCACCAACGGCUAAGUGUGCUAACAAGAAAUGUAGUAACAUAACAAACAAUAACUCCAAAUGGAGUAAUGCAGCAAAUAAGUGCCACCAACGGUCAAUGUCAGAAACGUCAAGUAAUGGGCAAUUAAGCUUCAAAACAUUGAUUCCAAAAUACAAUCAAAGUGGCCACUAACAUUCUGAUAGGAAUAGCUGCAAGAGGAAUCACUACAAAAGGAACUCCAAUUACCAAUAAAAAAAAUCGCUGGUAAAUUGAGUUAUCAACCAAAUGCCAACUUAUAUUAAUCCGCUGCUAAAAGGCUCAUCGGUAAAUAUUACCAACUGAUUUUAAUUUAUUGAUAAACUUAUCAACCAAAAAUCAAUUGGCAAACACCCAAAGAUGUUGUUACAGAACUUUGAAACAUGGUCCUGAAAUUUCUGAUAGGAAACUUUUCCAGAUACAUUGGUAAUUGGUUGGCAAUUUUAAUAAUAUAAAAUUUAUGUUGGUAAUUUACCAAUAAAUUUGUAAUACUUUUUUUUUUGGUUUCCCAUCCGGUGUUCGGUAUCCACAUUGGAGCCCGACUGAAUCCGGAUUCACGCCGGGAAGUCCCACAUUGGGUAGUAAAGCGCUCUCUAACAAAGGCGACUCCAUACCUAAGGGGAAUCGAACCUGAGACCUCUUGGUUAAUGAUGAAGGAGUACUUAUCACUCCACCACAACCCUUGUUGGUAAUAAAUUUUAAAUAGCGUUAGUAUUAUUAUUUGUUUUUCUAAUAAAUUUACUAAGUGAUUGUUAGUUUGUUGGUAAUACAUCAUUCAAGGCGACUCUGUAUCCAAGGGGAAUCGAACCUAAGAUCUCUUGGUUAAGGAUGCAGGAGUACUUACCACUCCACCACAACCCUUGUUGGUAAUAAAUUUUAAAUACGUUAAUAUGAUUAUUUGUUUUUCGAAUAAAUCUACUAAUUGAUUGUUAGUUUGUUGGUAAUAUAUCAUUCAAGUUCAAUGUUAGGUUAGUAAUUGAUUGACAAUAUGCUCAAAAUAUUAUUAAAUGAAUGAUUAUCCAAUAGUAAAAUAUUUAUUAAUUUAUUGCAUUUAGAAAUCUAAGAGCACGAAUAUAAAUCCAAAAAUAUUAAUAUCAAUUUUAUAAAUCAUAUUUGAAUGAAACAAUGUAAAAUCUAUGAUAACAAGUUAAAUUAAUCUCAAUAUGUCACAUAUCAUUAUAUCAAAUUUUUUAAUUUGAGCAUGUUUACCAAAAAUAUUGACCAAAUCUAAAUUUUGGCCAAAACUUAAAAGAUAAAACACCUAACAACACAAACUAAAAAUGGAACCCUCAAAACCUGAACCAACCAUCAUAUUAGAUAUAAAAAUGACCUUUCGAAGCUAAUCACACUGACAGAAUUCUCAUCAGAGCACGUUUACAAAAAAUGUUACGCAAAGUCAAAUCUUGGCCAAAAGUUAAAAUUUAAAACGCCUAACGGUACAAACGAAAUAUGAAAACCUCAAAAUCCAAACCAACCAUCCUAUAAGACGAAAAAUGACCUUCUAGAUCUAACCGCGUUGACAAAAUUCAAAUUUGAGCAUAUUUCCCAAAAAAAAUUGACCUAAUUCAAAUUUUAGCCAAAAGUUAAAACGCUUAACGACACAAACUGAAAAUAAAAGUCUCAAAACCCAAACCAACCAUCCUAUGAGACCAAAAUUGAACUUAUAUGGCUAACUGCAGUGACAAAAUUUCAAUUCGAGCACGAUUACUAAAAAUAUUGACUAAAGUAAAAUUUUGGCCAAAACUUAAAAGUUAAAAUGCCUAACGGCACAAACUAAAAAUGGAAGCCUCAAAACCCGAACCCUCUAUCUUAUUACAUCAAAAAUGACCUUCCGCAUCUAACUGCACUGACGAAAUUCUCAUCUGAGCACGUUUAUCAAAUAUAUUGACCGAAGUUAAAUUUUGGCCAAAAUUUAUCAGUUAAAACACCUAAGGCACACACUAAAAAUGAAAGCCUCAAAACCCGAACCAACCAUCUUAUUAGAUAAAAAAUGACCUUUGGAGUUAAUUACGCUGACGGAAUUCUCAUCUGAGCACGUUCACAAAAAUAUUGACCAAAGUCAAAUUUUGGCCAAAACACAAGAUUUAAAACACCUAACGGCACAAACAAAAAACGGAAGAGUCAAAACUUGAACCAACCUUCCUGUUAGAUAAAAAAUGACCUUUCGAGGCUAAUGACACCGAUAAAGUUCUAAUAUGAGCACGUUUACCAAAAAUAUCGACCAAAGUAAUCAAGUUUUGGCUAAAAUUUAAAAGUUAAAACGCCUAACAACACAAACUGAAAAUGGAAGCCUCAAAACCUGAACCAACCAUCCUAUUAGAUAUAAAAAUGACCUUCCAAAGCUAAUCGCGCUGACGAAAUUCUCAUCAGAGCACGUUUACAAAAAAUGUAAAGCAAAGUCAAAUUUUGGCCAAAAGUUAAAAGUUAAAACGCCUAACGGUAUAAACUGAAUAUGAAAACCUCAAAAUCCAAACCAACCAUCCUANNNNNNNNNNNNNNNNNNNNNNNNNNNNNNNNNNNNNNNNNNNNNNNNNNNNNNNNNNNNNNNNNNNNNNNNNNNNNNNNNNNNNNNNNNNNNNNNNNNNNNNNNNNNNNNNNNNNNNNNNNNNNNNNNNNNNNNNNNNNNNNNNNNNNNNNNNNNNNNNNNNNNNNNNNNNNNNNNNNNNNNNNNNNNNNNNNNNNNNNNNNNNNNNNNNNNNNNNNNNNNNNNNNNNNNNNNNNNNNNNNNNNNNNNNNNNNNNNNNNNNNNNNNNNNNNNNNNNNNNNNNNNNNNNNNNNNNNNNNNNNNNNNNNNNNNUGGUUGGUAAUCUGUUAGAAUUUCGUUGUUAAGUUUUAAAAUAUAAUUUAGUCAGAAUAUGUUGGUAAUUUGUUAGUAGAAUACUAACCAACUUAAGUUGUUAGUAAAAUCUGUUGACAAUUUGGGUUUUUUUUUGUAGUGAAUGGGAAAUAUGCACCUUAACCAUUAUUACUAAUAUUAAAAUGCUCCCAAACCAACAACUAAUGCUAAGAAAAGUCUUAUUCAUAUCAUUGAUCAAUCAAUUUUUAUUUUUUAUGUAUUAUUAUAUAAACAUUUUGUCUUAAUUGGAGAAGGAGUUUACUGAUUGGAAUCUAAAAUUGUUAAGAUUGUUUUUAACAAGGCUAAAAAUAGAAGGUGUCCUUCUAAGGAAAUUGGGAGAGGUACUAUCAAUAUAGCAUAGGCCAUAGCAGCUUAUUUUGGAAAAUGACUAUUCAAACUUUAUUUUAGAAUGUGAUUUCCUGAUUAUAAUUAAUAUGAUCAAGGAUAUAUCUCAAAUGGCCUGAAAAUUGCUGCAAAAGAAAGAAUAUAUUCUGAGUAACUAGCUAUGAUUUGUCUUUCUUUAGUUUUUGUUGGACCUGUUUUCAAGGUAGUAUAUUAAUGCUUAUUAACGGAAGUUUACGCUAUCGUCCCUCUCUACUUAUUCUCUGUAUAAAUUUUGGAUUAAAUAAAAGGAUUACACAGCUAAAGACAUAAAAUUUUACAUUAAAAAAAUGCAAAUUCAUGAAGUUUGGGGGGUGGGGGUGGGGGUUAAUGUUUCAUUUAUUAAUUAAUUCUAUUUUUAAUUCACUCAAUUUACUCCAUGUAAGAGAGUUGCACUAAUUCAAGCUAAAUAGGUAGUCGAUCUAGAUUGACUCACGACUUGGCCGACUCUUACUUUAAAAAAAUCAAGGCAUAUGCCUUAGGCUCUUAAUUUUGGAGGGAUUAAUUUUUUUACUAAGAAUAAAUGAUGUGUUAAUUUUUUUAUUUAUAGAAAAAUGAUAGUUAUUUUAUUCUCGGGUUUGAGCCCUGGAUAUGGAGAAAAUCCGGUUGGGAGCGCCACACCCGAAUGAGCCCUGCAGAGCGCGAUCCAAAUUUAGUCGGAGCUCUAAUGUGGAUUCCAAACAUCGAGUGAGAAAAAAAAACAUUUAGACUUAGUAAGAGUUGGAUGGGCAGCUCGUUUCAUGGCCCAUAAUUUAGCUAUCUUAAACCCAAUUCAUUUCCUUAGGUCCAAGUAAUAUUUAGAUUGGAUCAUAAACUUAUUCAUUUAGCAUCUCAUUAUAAUUCAAUCCGUCCCAUAUCUGACACCCUUCUUAAGCAUGAAAGUAUGUAUGGAUCACACAUUCAAACACAAAUUAAAUGUAUCGGAUAUGCAUGACAAUUAAAGGACAUGCAUAUUCGAACAUAGCUAGCUAGCUAGCUUGUUUUAUUCAUAACUCAUAAGCAUACAUUAAUUAAAAUUACAUAGAGCCUGGAGACGCAUCCACUUUAAUUUAUUCCUUAACGAAGACAAUGGGAAGAUGGUUUUCACCGGAAGCCACGAGAGGAUAUAAUCCGUAAUCAAAAGUCAAGUUCACACAAUUAAGUUGAGGGGAAUCCGUACAAUACAUUAAGUUGUAUGCAUUUUCCAAUUCUUGUUCCUCCGUCGUCUCAUAUUUCAAAAUCUUGAACAAGUUGCUUUCAGUUCCUAUGGUACCACCAGUCACCACGAACUGAUCUUUAUCAUCACUAACUUUCCAAAUAGUUUCGUUAAAACUGGGACUAGAUAUAUCAAGUGUUGAGAACAUGAUAUCAAUGCCAUCCGUUUCACGCACCACAUCAUCAUCAUUAUCAACCUUAAGAACGAAUUUCACGGGGGUGCCUUUUCCUAUCAAACCGGGAAUCGGUACGUGCUGCAACACGGUGUUUGGGCAUUCAAGGUGUCCAAUAUUGGCCAAGUAUACGGAUUCCGCCUCCAAUGAGAGGAUUAUGAAUAAUGUACUUUUCACCAAUGUACGUAGUGUGGUAGGCGGUCCAUGUCCAACACUUGAGGGGCUACAUCAUCAUCAUCAUCAUUAUUAUUAUUAUUAUUAUGAGUAGUUGUGGGAAGGACAAUGGGAUUGUUGGAAGUGAAAGAUCGACAAAAGGCAACAAAGGGAAACAAAGAGAGUAAGAGGAAACUCAAAAUAUUAAUCAACUUCAUCUUUAAUUUGAGUGUGUUGUGUGUAUAUUUUGCUUACUCUAUCUCCAAUUUAUAGACCACCACAUGUAUGUAACAACAUUUUUGAGAAACAAAAAAUGCCUACCUUUUAGGUUAGGUUAGUGACAUGAUUUAUUAACUAGAUCUAAUUAUAAGUAGUAUAAAGACUUUCUAUUUUAACAAUGAAUUAAAAAUAUUUAUAUAUAUAUAUAUAUAUAUUGUUAGAAAACAUAAGCAAUGUGGAGAAAUUUUCUGUGUAUUUCUUCAUGAAAAAACUCACUGUACAGCCUUCUAGUAUAUAUACAAAUUCUAUUCUAUCCUAAAUUGUGUGAACUAUGAAAUUAAUGCAAUAUGUAUUUACACUUGUCAUUUCAUUAUUGGUCUUCUUCUAACAAACUCCAAACGGCUGUCAUGUGCCAUAUGUGUGCUAUGGUUGAGAAAUAUCUAGAAUUGUACAACUGUAGCAUACAGCUGGAUGGCUCUGAUUAAUUUGAUUCAAUAAGAGAUCUUUGCCCCUGAUGUUGCCACGCAUCCUUUGGACCUUUUGUAUGCCUAUGUUGUUUUUGUUUGAAACUAGGAGAACUUUGAACAUUGUUUCCUUUCAUCUCCUUCUUUUCUUUUUCUGUAAAAUCACCAUGGCCAUAAUCAUGAUGUUCUUGAUUCUCAACACCCCCCUUCAAGGUGGAGGGGAGAGAAACGACACCCAACUUGGAAAGAAUCGAGAAGUGUGAAGGACCGGAGAGGGCCUUUGUGAACAGAUCAGCCAACUGAGCAGAGGAUGGAACAAAAGAUAGAGAGAUCAACCCGGAAAGGAACUGUUGUCUCACGAAGUGGCAAUCAAGCUCAACAUGCUUGGUUCGUUCGUGAAACACUGGAUUCUUCGCAAUAUGAAUAGCAGCUUGGCUAUCAGAGUGAAGAGGCACAAACAAUGAUGGAGAAAUGGACAGAUCUAGAAGAAGUCGGGUUAACUAGGUAAGUUCCGCAGUAACUCUCCUCAUAGACCUGUAUUCUGAUUCAGCGGAAGAUAGUGAAAUAAAGGCUUGUUUCUUGGACUUCCAAGAAAUUGGUGAGCCACCAAUGCUAAUAAAGAAACCACUAAUAGAUCUCUGACUAUCUCGACAAGAUGCCCAAUCAGCAUCACAUAGCAAUCAGGGAAGAUGAUGAUGUAGGAUUGAAGAAUUGACCUUGGUUUGGAUUGAGUCGUAGAUAUCUCAACACUCGAAGUGCAGCAUCAAAAUGGCCCUGACACGGCUGUUGCAUAAAUUGACUAAGAGUGAGGACUAAGAAUGAAAGGCCUGGCCGUGUAUGUGUGAGAUAGUUCAAUUUACCUACUAAUCUCCUGUAAAUGGAAGGAUCUGCAAGUAAAGGACCUGAUGAACUAGUGAGCUUAGAACAAGUGUCAAGUGGAGAGGAGACUGUAAAUAGAGAUGUGCAAUCAAAUUCUUGUAACAAAUCUAGUGUGAAUUUUCGUUGACUGAUAAUACAACCAUGUUCUCCCCUUAAAAUUUCCAUGCCAAGAAAAUAAUGAAGCUCCCCUAAGUCCUUGAUUUGGAAUUCAGAGUUGAGAAAAUCCUUCAUAGUGACAGUUUCAAUAAGAUCAUCCCCGGUAAUCAAAAUAUCAUCAACGUAGACAGCAAUAAUUGAAAUCAGAUCCCCUGUUUUCUUGAAAAACAAAUAAUAGUCAUUAAGAGAUGUUGUAUAUCCUUUAAAAGUUAGGGCUCCUGCAAGCUUGGCAUACCAUUGCCUUGAAGCUUGUUUGAGCCCAUAUAGUGACUUUUGAAGCCAGCAAACAUGAUUGGGACUGAGUGAUGCCAUUCCUGAAGGAAACUUCAUGUAGACUUCCUCUUGAAGGUCUCCAUGAAGAAAAACAUUAUUAACAUCAAAUUGUGAAAUGGACCAACCUUUCUUGACUACAAUGGCAAUGAGACACCUAAUGGUUGUCAUUUUGACAACUGGGGAAAAAGUCUCAGUGUAGUCUAUGCCUUCCCUUUGUAUGUCAUCUCUUAUCACAAGUCGUGCCUUAUAUCAUUCAAUUGAUCCAUCAAAAUGUUGUUUAAUUUUGUAUACCCAUUUGCAAGGUAAAGCCUUCUUGCCAGUAGGUAACAACAUGACCUUUCAUGUAUUGUUUUCUUCCAAAGAUGUAAUCUCUUUUUGCAUUGCAAGCUGCCAAUUAGGAUCCAAACUAGCUUGUUUGAAACUAGUAGGUUCUGAGUGAGCACUAAUAGAACCAAGGAGAUGUUGAUUCUGUAAGGAUAAAGCUCCAAAAGAAAAAGUAGAUGAGUGUGCAGGUUGUGCUAAACAAGUGUCUGAAAUGUUAGUGAGAAACAUAUGAUUAUAGACAAAAUCAUUUAGCUAUGCAGGCCUCUUACUUUCCCUGUUAGAUUUUCGGAUAACAGGUGUGGAAGGAGGAGGAGAUACAAGGAGAAAAGAAGGGGAAAACGAAGGAUAGGAUUGAGAAGAUGAGCUAGAGGAGGAUGAAAGAAUAUGUAGGGUUGAAGAGUCAAUAGAGGAGUCAGGAGUGAGGGAAGAAAUAGGAAAAAUUGGCUCAGAAUCUGAUUGAAGAUUUGAGAAAGGGAAAAUGUGCUCACAAAAUUGAAUAUCUCUAGAUAUAAAGAUCUUUUUAGAUGAUAUGUCAAGAAGCUUGUAUCCUUUUUGGCCCUGUGGGUAGCCCAAAAAUAAACAAGCAAUGGCCCUGGGAUCAAACUUGUUUCGAUUACUGUGCAAAGUAGAGGCAUAACAUAGACAAUCGAAAGCUCGCAAAACUUAUAAUCAGGACAUUUCUGAAAAAGAAUCUCAUAAGGGGUUUUCCCAUGAAGUACUCUGGAAGGAAUUCGAUUAAUAAGAAAAGUAGCAGUCAAUAAACAAUCCCCCCAGUAGCAUUAAGGAAGUUUGGAUUGAAAAAGUAAAGCCCUUGCAAUUUCUAAUAAAUGUCUAUGUUUCCUCUCAACAGCCCCAUUUUGUUGAGGUGUAGCAACACAAGAUGUUUGAUGAAUAAUCCCUUUUGACCUCAAAAAUUCUGCUUCAUGUACCCCUUUCCCCAACUCUAGAGCGUUAUCAGAUCGAAGCGUUUUCACCUUAAGGUCAAAUUGUCUCUCAACCAUGAAUAAAAAAUGUUUCAAAACAGAUAAAACAUUACUCUUAGUAGUUAAUGUGUAUGUCCAAGUACCCCUACUAAAAUCAUCAACAAGAGUAAGAAAAUACUUAUAUCCAUGGUAAGUAGGAACUUUGAAAGGUCCCCAAGUGUCCAUAUGAACCAGUUCAAACACCCUUUUAGAAGUAACAUGAUUAAUGGAGAAGGGUAAUCUGGUUUGUCUAGAAAGGGGACAUAUGUCACACACAAGAAUAAUUAGAAGGAAAAGAAAUGAAACUGAAUUUUUUCAUAGCUGAAUAAAGCAAAUGGCCUAGUUUGGCAUGCCAAAGAGCUACAUCAGAAACAACACUAGCAAAAAAAGGAGAACAAACAGGAACAGUUUUGGAAUCACUUCCUUUUGGUAAAGAAACUACAUUACAUGGAGAUUAAAUACUAGCACUAGAAAUGACAGAUUCUAAAAAUAAAGACCCUCUUCAGCUUCACCAAAAUCUUGUUUCCUCAUCAUUGAACGGUUCUGCAUGACACACUUUUAAGGAUUAAAUAAGAGAAAACAACCAAACUGGCUACAUAACCUAUGAACAGACAACAAAUUAUAUCUGAAAGAAGGAACAAAAAGAACAUUCUAUAGAAUAAGAGUAGGAAAAAUGGCUAUGCUAUCAGUGUGUGUGACCUUAAUCCUGUAAGAAUUAGGUAAAUUUAUAGUGACAGGUGCUGGAAGAGAGACAAGAUUGAGAAAGGAAGUAUGCUUAUAACACAUGUGUUCAGAAGCCCCUGAGUCUAUGAUCCAAGUAUGAGAGUUAAAAACAGAGAAACAUGAACUAGAAUAUUGAGUAAUAGUACCAGCCACAUCAUUUGCAUUAAUCUCUGAGCUAGUACCAGCUCCAGGAGUGGUCUGUCCUUGUUUGAACAUCUGUUUCAUAUGUGAAAUUUGACUCUUACUCAGAAUCUUCAUAUACAAUGGGUGAAUGUCCAUAAUUGUCCUCAAUAAGUGCUUCAUUCCCCUUGAUAAGUGUUUGAAAUCCUUUAGUGAACUAAAAAUCUUCUGGGUACCCAAUCAAUCUAUAACAGUCAUCUUCUACAUGCCCAGUCUUUAGACAAUGAGUACAACUCACAUUAGGAUUGUAUUUCUUCCUUCUUACUUUUCUUGGAUUCUGGGGUGUAAAAUUCCUUUGAGGAUUUGCUGAAGGCCUUUGUCCCUGAGGUUGCCCACCAGAAUGUUGAAAUUGUCCUCCAGACCUCUGUGAAGACUGACCUGGAUGACCAGGCUUCUGCAUUUGGUUUCCAAGUUUCAUUUGGGAAUUGUGGAUUAAUAUAAACUUUUCUCUGAUUCUCAUCCUGAAACAAGAGAGAGUAAGCAUGGUUGAUUCCUGGCAAAGGAUUCAACAUGAGAAUAUUACCCCUUGCCUGAGCAUAAAGAUCAUUCAAUCCCAUAAGAAAUUGAAUUAGCCGAUAAUCUUCAACAAAUUUAGUCAUCUUUUGCUUCCCUGUACACACACAAGGACAUGUACAACCAACAUGAGAGUUGAGAAAAUCCAACUCAUCCCACAACCUUUUUAAUUUAGUGAAAUACCCUGCUAUAUCAUUGGAUCCUUUUACUAACCCAGUCAUUUAUUUUUGCAGGUGGUAUAAUUUAGCACCAUUCAACUAGCCAAAUCUCUGUUCUAGAUCUGUCCAGAGGUCCUUGGCAGUCCUGGAGUAGAUGGCAGAGUGAGCUAUAUCCAUGGACAACGAGUUAAGUAGCCAAAAAGUUACCAUGUCAUUGCAUUUAUGCCAAGAAGAAAAAGUGGGUGUUGUGUUCAAAGGCUCUACACAACUACUAUCAAUAAAACCCAGCUUGUUCUUAGCCGACAAAGCAAUUAGGACAAAUCUCAUCCAUCCCUGGUAAUCCCUCACAUCGAAGGUGCUAUUAACAAGAUUCAUACCUGGUGCAUCUGAAGCAUGAAGAAAAAGAGUAUUACUAAAAUAAAAAAUACUGCCCAUUGCAGUUUGACCUACAACAAUAGGAGCUAUAGCAGUAGGAAUGACCUCUUCUGUAUCCAUGAUUCAAAAAGGGAGGAUGAACACAUAAAUUUGUAGAAGAGCAAAAAAAUGUGGAUUUUAAUGCUCUGAUACCAUGUUAGAAAACAUAAGCAAUGUGGAGAAAUUUUCUGUGUAUUUCUUCAUGAAAAAAAUUACUGUACAGUCUUCUAGUAUAUAUACAUAUUCUAUUCUAUCCUAAAUUGUGUGAACUAUGAAAUUAAUGCAAUAUGUAUUUACACUUGUCAUUUUAUCAUUGGUCUUCUUCUAACAAACUCCAAACGGCUGUCAUAUGCCAUACAUGUGCUAUGGUUGAGAAAUAUCUAGAAUUGUACAACUGUAGCAUACAUAUGGAUGGCUCUGAAUAAUUUGAUUCAAUAAAAGAUCUUUGCCCCUGAUGUUGCCACGCGUCCUUUGGACCUUUUGUAUGCCUAUGUUGUUUUUGUCCGAAACUAGGAGAACUUUGAACAUUGUUUCCUUUCAUCUCAUUCUUUUGUUUUUCUGUAAAAUCACCAUGUCACGACCCAAAAUGAGUCGUGAGUGGCACCCACACUUAACCUCCUAAGUGGGCGAACCAAGGAAUCUAAAACCUAACAUAUAUCAAUAAUUCAACUAUGAAUAACAAUAAGGUACGGAAGCUCAAAACUUGUUAAAGUAACCAAUCAAAUAAAUUUCAAAGGUCUAUUACAUAUUAUCCCCAAAAACUGAAAGUCAUCACAUCAAGGACAUCUAAUCUUCAAAUACUAAGUCUAAGAGUAUUGAGGACACAAAAAUAAAUGAAUAAAAUAGUUUAUGUCCGAAAACUUAGGACAUCAUGCCAUGACCAAGAGAAUCUAACACGAGUCGGAAUGAAUAGCUCACACUAGAACCUAAUGUGCUGGAGACUGGAUAGAGCUGAGGGCGAAUCAAAGUCACUGAUACACUCGCUGCACUCCACAAAAGAAAAUAAAGAAAAAAUACAAGUAGGGUCAGUAUAGGGCAACAUGUACUGAGUAAAUAUUAUCGGUCAACCCAAAAUAGAAACUAACAUGUAAUGAAUAAUAGUAUAAAAUCAACUAUGACACUUAGAAGGUGGCAAGCAACAAACACAUGAACCAGUGUCAACCACACUAAAGUAAGUACGUAAUCAAUCAACAAUAUCAAUAUCACACAUGAGGACUCAUGCCUCCAAACCAAACUAAUUUGGGAAUUGAGUUCUUUGAAAUUGAGUACAUUAAGUUAAUUCAAUAUAUUUUUCCUUUAAUGUUACCGUGUCGGAACGUGACACUCCGAUCAAAUUAUACUGUGUCGAAACGUGACACUCCGAUCCAAUUAUGCCGUGUCGGAAUANNNNNNNNNNNNNNNNNNNNNNNNNNNNNNNNNNNNNNNNNNNNNNNNNNNNNNNNNNNNNNNNNNNNNNNNNNNNNNNNNNNNNNNNNNNNNNNNNNNNNNNNNNNNNNNNNNNNNNNNNNNNNNNNNNNNNNNNNNNNNNNNNNNNNNNNNNNNNNNNNNNNNNNNNNNNNNNNNNNAUCCAAUUAUAUCAUUAAUUUAUUUCAUCAAGCCUUCUUUAUUCAAGGCAUCACUUCGAUAGAGAGAGUUUCAGAUUAUAAAUUUCAUGGUCUCAGGAUUUUAGACCAAUCACAAACCAUACAACCCAACCACACAAAACCACACAAUCCACUACAUAGAGAACUUCACAAUAUCACUCAAUACAUAUUAGUCACUAUUAAGAGUCUAACUAUCGAAAUAGAAUAAACCAUAACCUACCUCCACCGAAGAACUGACGUCAGACAAGCUACUUCUCCAAUGACUUUCCUUUCCGCAAUGCCUCUGAACCUUUCCAAUCUAUCAAGUAUAUAUGCAUAAUUUGUAAGUUAACAGGCCUAUAAACACUCAUAUUAGUCUAUGUCCAGCCUAUACCCAAAAACUCCCCUAAUUCUAUAAUCAACUUCCUAAAGUUCAAACCUAAGAGUAAGUCUUAAUUCCUCCCAUUAGCAUAACUUUAAUGUAAUUCAUAUAAUAUACUACACCUUGUAUUUUAUUACCUCUAUCUCAAUAUAUCAAAUUUUAGUUUAUAAUAUGGUAAAACUGAAGCCACUAGUCACGAUAUCAGUGGCAGCCAACACAUGAAACCACAAAAUAAACUAACCAAAGAAAACAAAUGUAACACGGAGACCUAGGAAACCCAUCCAAAAUAUGGACAUAACAAUGACAAUUCAAUUCUAUAAACUUUCACCUGCAAUCCACUCUUUAACUCAAUAAACAAUAAUUUACCACUUAUUGUUUUAGUACUUCAUAAUAAUUUAAUCAAACCAAUUAACCAGCAACUAACCAUUGGCACCAAUUACUUUAGUUCCUGAUUAUUUUCUCCAUUAGUCAUAUCAAUAUGCACACACUUAUAAAUUGCAGACUAUCUCACUUAUGACAAUACACUAUACACCUCAUUCCUAACUCAAUUAAAUAAUCUCACUGGAAAUCAGCCAAUCCGUGGGAGACAAAUUUGUCUCCAACAAUCCCACCCUAACGCCAUUAAUCACCAAAAUUCAACCUAGCACUACUACUAAAAAUUUGUUCUUUUCAAUUUCCCGUCUAAUAACAAUAAUAUAAUAAUAAUCAUAAAGCCUUUGCUCAUAUUCACAAAAUACAUAUUGGAUUUUACCUGAAGCACUCGUCGGCCUAUCUUCAAAUUGUAUCACCGUAGUUGAAGUUCUCUUGAGUUAGAAUGGGAACUUGAUAAAAAGGAAACAUACUUACCUCUUCUAAAACUUACUCAACUCAAGGAAUAUUCAAAUUAAAACUACUCAACUUACUCAACUAAGAAGUAUGCAAGGAUAAGAUACUCAACUCAAAGAUAUGAUAUUUUUGGGAGUGGUAGAAGUGACCCACUAUUAAUUCUAAUUCUAUUUUUCUUAACCACCAACUAAAUAAAUUAUUAAAACUACCCUAUAAAUUUUAUAAUUGUAGUUACGAAUAGUCGAAAACACUCAUUUAAAAUCUAGCGAAAGAGUAUUUUAUACAAUAAAAGCUCUAAUACUCAAAACGAUCAAAUGGGCCGUUACAUUAGAUAUCAAUUUAGCCAUCGUUCGUCCUCGAAUGAUCAAAAGAAGGCGAGGGUAAUGAAGGGUAUCUGAAUCGAUAAAAAGGUGUGGAUAUCUUUCAUGCAUAUCAGCCUCACUCUCCCAACUGGACUCUUCAAAUGGAUGAUUCUUCCACUGAACCUUGACACAACCAUCAAGACAAAUAUUUUCUAACAUAACCAUGAUACAAUCCUGAAUCAUUAUUGGCUACAACCAUGAGUGAACCAGAACCAGCCACCACACACUCAUAAUGUGAAAAGGAUUCAUCUAAAAAGUAUUACCCUUUUCUACCCAUAAUGGCUACAUGGUUUUCAUGGAGACUUGAGUUAAUAAUCUUAUCAAGAUUACAUCCUCACAACAAAAUAUUUCCUUGAGCUUAAGCUAUAAAAAUAUGAAUCUUUAGACAGCAAGUAAUCAUCUAGGAGAAUCGAACUCAUCUGAUCCAAAGAUGGAAAUGAUCAAGUAACCUCCAUCGAGUGAUACGCCCAAGCAUACAAAACCUCUAACAACACUGUCGAAAUGCUAGAUUAGUAGCUAUUAUAGACAAACCUUAAGAAUGACAAAACUAGACACAAUGGUCCCUACAUUCAUUCACACAUAGCCAAAACAUGAUACCGAUGAUGAGAUAAAUCUUAAGUCUAUCAAAAAAUUGUAAAUUUUCAUGGUAGCUCUCUUAUAAAUUCUCAUAAGCAAAGUUGUGCAUGUAGAAUCACUAGUAUACUUUAACUAUCCCAAACAACACCAAAUCUUCCAGAACUGGGAUGAACAAGUCUAACCGAGGAUGCCACCCUACCAGGAGGACAAUCACGAAAUCGGUACACACAAUCCACUACUAGGGACUCACCCAUAGAAGCGAAAACACCCACGGAAGAAGAAAGUAAAUUAUACUCUAAACCUUAUUUCAUCUACAGUUUUACAGCUUUCCAUAUAUUGCUUCUUUUAUUGUUGCUUUAUUCUUGAGUAUCUUGAGUUGAAUUGUGCUUCAUCAAGUCGAGUACCUUAUUGUUGAGUUGAGCCUUAUUUCCCUGAGUUAAAUAUCUUAUCCUUUGAGUUGCAUAUCAUAUUCUUAAGUUGAGUCGAGUAAGUGAGUUAAGAAGAGGUAUGUAUGUUUUAUUUUUAUUAAUUUCAAGCUUGUAUUUAUGCUUUAAAAUUCCCCUUACAUGCUCGUACAUUUCACGUAUUGAGCCAUCGGACUGCAUCCUUUCAUGAUGCAAACACAUUUAUAUUCAGGGUCAUCAAUAGUGUAACAACCCGAGGCUACACCCUGUACGUUGCCAGCACUCGAGAACCAUUGAUGGUCCCCAAGUGAACUCUUAUCCUGGCUAACUACAAGCGGAAAACUGAUUCAAGCAUACAAAGCUUAAAAACUGAAUAAAAUCAAAAACUCAAAUACAAAAGCUUUAACUCAAAAGAAAACUCUGAAUAAAAAUAAGAUAUUCAACUCGCCAUAAAAUAGGCAACUUAAGUCUUUAAAACAUUUAAUAAAAUAAAUGAAUAAUACAGACUUCUCAACUAUACUAACUAUCUAUGAAGCCUCUAACUGAUAAAGAUGGAAGUCGGGACAAGACCCACGACAUCCUGACUAAACUUAAAAGUAAAUGAAAUCUUAUGGAAACAAGGAGGCUCACCAUAGCUAACUCAAACUACCAGAUGUAUCAACGAAUCUCCUGUUGAUAAUCCUGAAUACCUGUGUCUGCAUCAUGAGAAGAUGUAGGCCAAAUGGCUCAGUACGUGGAAUGUACGAGCAUAUAUGGGGAAUUCUAAAAAAUAAACAUAAGUUUGAAACUUGAUAAAAAGGAAACAUAAACAUAAGCUUCAAACUUAUUCAACUCAAGGAUACUAAAAACUACUCAACUUACUCAACUCAGAAGUAUUCAAGGAUAAGAUACUCAACUCAGAGAUUAGAUACUCAACUCAAAUAUAUGAUAUUUGACUCUGGAUACUCAACUCAAUCUAAAGCAACAAUACACAUGCAAUAUAUGGAAAGCUUUAAAAAACAAUAAAACAACUUAGUUCGUUAAAGAAAAUGCAAUAACAAACUCAACUUUACUUAUAUAAUAAAGUAAUAUAGUUUCUAUAAGAGUUUCUCUAACCGACAACCAUCACUUAAGAGCUAUAGUGAUGAUACAACACUUUACCUCAUGCUGCCAAGGACCAUCCUAUAUCUUGCCAUCAGUAUAAGACCUAACUUAUCCUAGUAGAUCCACUAGUCUAUGCGAAAAUGAUUCAUCUAAAAAGUAUUACCCUUUUCUACCCAUGAUGGCUACAUAGUUUUCAUGGAGACUUGAAUUAAUAGGAAACUCGCAUCCCCACAUCGGUGCUCAAUAAUACUCCCAAAAAUAUAAUACUAGCUCUUUAUGUUUAAAACAUACUUCUUUCUUUAGUUUGAGAUAAUUACUCAAAACUUAGCUUAAAAGUUGUCUUGGAAUCGAUGUUCCCUUUCUUGCUCAAACUCUUUUGGAAAUCUCAGUUUCCUUUCAUCUUAAAUGUGAAAACAAUUACUCUUGGCAAUACUUAGUUCCCAUAUAUCAAUUUUAAAGAAAAUGAACUUUACUCUUACUCUUUACUCAACUUCAAAGCUUAAGUCUUAAAACAAAGUUUAAACAUUUGUAAAAGAUUUCUAAAAAUAUGGUUCAUGUCGAUUUAUUGACGUGAAUGACUCAAUGCAAGGUUUUCAAUAACCAUAGAUAGAACUCAAUGCAUGGAACUCAAGAAUUUCAACAAUACUACUCACUUCAAGAAUGCUCAACUAAGAGGGUUCAUGCGGAAUUUAUCAGCAUGAACUACUCAACUCAAGGACUCGAAGAUACUUCUCGUUCCAAGACUGCUCGACUUAUAGGGUUCAUGCGGAAUUAUGGACAUGAAUAACCCAACUCAAGGACUUCAUGGGUAGCAUGUAAUAGUCCCAUGAUUAAGAAUGUAAUUCAAAUGGGUUAGAAACUCAAUACUUAAGACUUAGGACAUAGGGACAUUACUCCUCUCAUAGAUACUCAACUUAUGGAGUUCAUGCGGAAUUUAUGGGCAUGAACGACAUGACUCGUAGGUUCACAUAACAUUAUGGAACUCAUGAUACAACUCUUCUCAUUCUCAUACUUACUUUCUCAAAAUUUAGUUCAAAUCAAUAGUUGAUCUCAAAAGGUUCACAAUCGAACUCAAAGGCUUUUUUGAACUCUACUCUUAACUCUCUUUUGAAUGUGAAUUAUGAAUUCAAGAGUUAUGGUUCAUGCUAUGAAAGAUCUCAUGAUGACAAAGUAUACUCAAGAAUACAUUCUCCUCACUCUCAUGCUCACUUACUCGAAUCUUGAAACAGUUACUAGAAGUUGUAGAAGACUCCACAAAAGGACUCAAAAGGGACUUUCUUAGAAUGUUUAAAAAAAUCUCAAAACUUAAUCUUAGCUCUACCUUGAAUUUGAAUUAUGAAUUCAAGGUUAUGAUCAUGUUAUGAAUGAUUUCUAGGUGUUUAGAAGUAGUUUAAAGAGUUUAGAAUCAAACUGGAGUAAAGGUACCCUUUUAAAGAACUCAAACGGACGAAACGAUGGACAACGGGUGGGGGCAGACGACCCUGGCGCUCUGAGUGGCGUGGGCGCCAGCCCCUAAAAUUCAGAGAGGUGGUUGGGGCGCUCUGGCUGGCACGCCAGGCCCCAACCCAGAAACUUUCGAUGACUUUCCUUGCUCGUUUUCUCACCCAGAAAAUUCAGCAAGUUUCUUUUCUCGUUUUCUCACCCUAUUUCGAAUGGUUUCUUCCCCAAUCACUUAGAAUUGAUUACUUAACAUAAGUACACUCUAAUCUACUCAAUACAUCCCUUAAAACACUCACUUUAAUCCAAAGAAAAACAUCAAAACCCAACACAACAAGAUUUAGAAUGAACUUCAAGAACACUCAUCAAGAACUCAUCAAGAACUCUAAUAUUUCAACUUUAAGAAUAGAAAUUUGCGACUAGAAAAUAACAUGAGUUGGCGUGUGGGUGAACUAAACUAAUACUAUGGAAGCUUAAAUACCUCUUAGGGAUCAAACCCAUGGCGAAAAUCCGCUACAACACGCAAGAAUCUCGACGAACGCUUAAUCCUCUCCUCUUUUCUCCUCUUCUCUCUUCUUUUCUCUUCUUGAACUCUCAACUAAAACCCUAGGCUAAUUUUAGGAUUAUAAAACUGAACCUAGUAGGAUUAGACCCUCAAAAUAUUACUAAAAAUGAAUUGAAUCUGAUUGGGUAAGGAAAAGACCAAAAUACCCCUCUCUAUUUUCGGCAAACUUUCCUUAACUGAACAGCCUAUCUUCAAAAGGCCAUAUCUCACUCAUCCGACCUCGAAACUUAGCAAACUCAGCGGCGUUGGAAAGAUAAUUCAAAGAUAUUUCCUACGGUAUCUAAUAGAACACCUAACUCAUCUUGAUCUAGGAGUUAUUAUCAUUUGAAGUUGACCCAAAACUCAUACUUAGCUUAACUUGCAAAAUUUCAGAUUUUCCUAUUUCCAAUUUAAUUCUUUUUGGAACUCAAGGUGCUACAUCUAGUGACCUUAACCCUUAAGAAAUUUUAAUUCCUCGAUAAAAUCCUACUCACAACGAAGGAUGGUUCAAGUCUCAGUUCGAAAUUUUUUUGGGGCAUUACAAUAUCUCCCCCUUGGGAUCAUUCGUCCUCGAAUGACGACUGAACUGGGUAUGGAAUGAGUUACUCUUACUAAGGUCUGCGUCUAAUGGUACACUCUCACUAUAUUCAAGCUUAACCCAAAUCCUUAGGUUCAGGUUCUAUACCUCUCUAUAGGGAAUCUCAUCCCAAUACCAUUACUCCUUACCACCACAAUCAAGCUUAGUACUCUAGCAACUCCAUGGACUCCUACUAACAAACUCCUUCAGAGCCAACUAAGGGCUCUCAUUUAAAUAUUUCUCAUAGUAAAACCUCAUUCUAAUUUUCCUCAUUAUUUACAACCUUAGAUGGAACUAUCACACCAUCAUCAUCACGAUAUGAUCAUUAACCUCCUCUUUCUAACAUCACUUCAUUACUAAAAGGACAUCUAAAAAGAUAUCCCCCAAGCUCUUUGGAAUUCAUUACUAUCUUACUCUCAAGCACUUGACUUGAUUUCUCAUCUUAUCAUUUCCCCUUAGGUCUAAAGUUAACACUUGAAAGCUAUGGACAUAUUCCAUCAUCUCUAAAUGGUCUACCUCUUCUUUUAAUCCAACACUUGGGGGAAGUUUAUCUCAUGCCUACCAAACUCUCUAUAAGCGGUACUAAGACCUCUUUCUAAGGUGUUUCCCUUAACCUCUUCUGGUUACAUACCCUCUCAGUACACCUCUUAACGCUCUUAUUACUUUUGUGACUUAGCCACACUUCACUGCCCUUAUCUAAAUGUUAGGGUCUCUCACUUGUACCACUUAUACUAUUGUAGCUAAUCACCUAAAUUCCUCAUCUACUUUAUGUCAAGUCUUCUAGAUCAAAUAUCAAGACUAACAUCAUCACCCUCAUGUUGUCAUUCUUUUGAUCAUGACAGUCAUCUCCAAUUCAAGCUUAAUAUUUAUGACUAAACCCGAAUAUCAAUAUGAUUGCCCGCUUACUAUACUAACUUAUAGCUACUUAAUUAGUUCUAUAACCUUCUAUACAUCAUGACCCUCUCAGACAUAUCAUAAGCCUAGUUUAUAUCUAUAACCUCAUGGAUACUUUUUCUCUUCAAUUCACCACUUACACUUAGUCAUUUCCUACACAAUGACACUUCAUCACCAACUCCUUUCUAGCUACAAUACACUCUACCUCCUAUGAUGGAAUCUUCACAACUCAUCACUUCUUAGUCUACCCGUAAGGGAAAACUCCUCAUUAAUAACUUACUAGGUGUAUGACUAUAAUAACAUAGCUUGCCUCAUCACUAUCUCCCUUUCUAGGAUUACUAAACCUCUCCAUACUUUCCUCUAACUCUGGGCUCUAUCACUACUACUGCUCAUGAUCUCGUAGCUCAUGUUACCUUUUAAGAUGCAAAUACUACCCAAGCUCUAAACAUACUUUCUCAUGAUGAAACAGGACUUAAAGAAGAGAGUACAAAUCAAAUUUAGCUCAAACGCACGAUUCAUAUAAUUAUGGGUGCAUUCCUUUGAAACUGAACACUUAACUUACUCUUUGGGCUACUCUCAUCCCCCUCUGGAGUCUCGUGACUUUCUCAAGACUCUUGCUAAGAACAAAUCAUCGACAAAGAACAGACUCAGUUUUUCAACCACAUCUAGUAUGAUGGGUAGUCGAAUGAUUCUGAGAAACGCACGAGUUAAAAUAAGUCUCUAUGACAUAACUCUAAUUGCACGAUUAAGAGUAUGAAAGAAGGGAAACUUUUCUUAAAUGUCUGUAGUCCCUCAUUUAUAGAAGUGGGGCCCUCACAACCAUAAACAAGAUCCUACUUGACACAGCUUCAUAGACACCCUGGGACUCUUGAACUCUGUGCUCUGAUACCAAGUUUAUCACAACCCGAGCCUAUACCUUGGACAUGGCCGGCACUCGAGAAUCAUUACUAGUCCCCAAGCGAACCCUCAUCCUAGCUGACUACAAGCGAAAAACUGAUUCAAGCAUACAAAGCUUAAAAACUGAAAUAAAAGUUCAUAAACUUAAAUACAAACUUUAAGUCCAAAGAAAACUCUGUAUAAUAAAAUAUAUACAACUCGCCAUAAAAAAGGCAACUUUAGUCUUUAAAACAUUUAAUAAAAUGAAUGNNNNNNNNNNNNNNNNNNNNNNNNNNNNNNNNNNNNNNNNNNNNNNNNNNNNNNNNNNNNNNNNNNNNNNNNNNNNNNNNNNNNNNNNNNNNNNNNNNNNNNNNNNNNNNNNNNNNNNNNNNNNNNNNNNNNNNNNNNNNNNNNNNNNNNNNNNNNNNNNNNNNNNNNNNNNNNNNNNNNNNNNNNNNNNNNNNNNNNNNNNNNNNNNNNNNNNNNNNNNNNNNNNNNNNNNNNNNNNNNNNNNNNNNNNNNNNNNNNNNNNNNNNNNNNNNNNNNNNNNNNNNNNNNNNNNNNNNNNNNNNNNNNNNNNNNNNNNNNNNNNNNNNNNNNNNNNNNNNNNNNNNNNNNNNNNNNNNNNNNNNNNNNNNNNNNNNNNNNNNNNNNNNNNNNNNNNNNNNNNNNNNNNNNNNNNNNNNNNNNNNNNNNNNNNNNNNNNNNNNNNNNNNNNNNNNNNNNNNNNNNNNNNNNNNNNNNNNNNNNNNNNNNNNNNNNNNNNNNNNNNNNNNNNNNNNNNNNNNNNNNNNNNNNNNNNNNNNNNNNNNNNNNNNNNNNNNNNNNNNNNNNNNNNNNNNNNNNNNNNNNNNNNNNNNNNNNNNNNNNNNNNNNNNNNNNNNNNNNNNNNNNNNNNNNNNNNNNNNNNNNNNNNNNNNNNNNNNNNNNNNNNNNNNNNNNNNNNNNNNNNNNNNNNNNNNNNNNNNNNNNNNNNNNNNNNNNNNNNNNNNNNNNNNNNNNNNNNNNNNNNNNNNNNNNNNNNNNNNNNNNNNNNNNNNNNNNNNNNNNNNNNNNNNNNNNNNNNNNNNNNNNNNNNNNNNNNNNNNNNNNNNNNNNNNNNNNNNNNNNNNNNNNNNNNNNNNNNNNNNNNNNNNNNNNNNNNNNNNNNNNNNNNNNNNNNNNNNNNNNNNNNNNNNNNNNNNNNNNNNNNNNNNNNNNNNNNNNNNNNNNNNNNNNNNNNNNNNNNNNNNNNNNNNNNNNNNNNNNNNNNNNNNNNNNNNNNNNNNNNNNNNNNNNNNNNNNNNNNNNNNNNNNNNNNNNNNNNNNNNNNNNNNNNNNNNNNNNNNNNNNNNNNNNNNNNNNNNNNNNNNNNNNNNNNNNNNNNNNNNNNNNNNNNNNNNNNNNNNNNNNNNNNNNNNNNNNNNNNNNNNNNNNNNNNNNNNNNNNNNNNNNNNNNNNNNNNNNNNNNNNNNNNNNNNNNNNNNNNNNNNNNNNNNNNNNNNNNNNNNNNNNNNNNNNNNNNNNNNNNNNNNNNNNNNNNNNNNNNNNNNNNNNNNNNNNNNNNNNNNNNNNNNNNNNNNNNNNNNNNNNNNNNNNNNNNNNNNNNNNNNNNNNNNNNNNNNNNNNNNNNNNNNNNNNNNNNNNNNNNNNNNNNNNNNNNNNNNNNNNNNNNNNNNNNNNNNNNNNNNNNNNNNNNNNNNNNNNNNNNNNNNNNNNNNNNNNNNNNNNNNNNNNNNNNNNNNNNNNNNNNNNNNNNNNNNNNNNNNNNNNNNNNNNNNNNNNNNNNNNNNNNNNNNNNNNNNNNNNNNNNNNNNNNNNNNNNNNNNNNNNNNNNNNNNNNNNNNNNNNNNNNNNNNNNNNNNNNNNNNNNNNNNNNNNNNNNNNNNNNNNNNNNNNNNNNNNNNNNNNNNNNNNNNNNNNNNNNNNNNNNNNNNNNNNNNNNNNNNNNNNNNNNNNNNNNNNNNNNNNNNNNNNNNNNNNNNNNNNNNNNNNNNNNNNNNNNNNNNNNNNNNNNNNNNNNNNNNNNNNNNNNNNNNNNNNNNNNNNNNNNNNNNNNNNNNNNNNNNNNNNNNNNNNNNNNNNNNNNNNNNNNNNNNNNNNNNNNNNNNNNNNNNNNNNNNNNNNNNNNNNNNNNNNNNNNNNNNNNNNNNNNNNNNNNNNNNNNNNNNNNNNNNNNNNNNNNNNNNNNNNNNNNNNNNNNNNNNNNNNNNNNNNNNNNNNNNNNNNNNNNNNNNNNNNNNNNNNNNNNNNNNNNNNNNNNNNNNNNNNNNNNNNNNNNNNNNNNNNNNNNNNNNNNNNNNNNNNNNNNNNNNNNNNNNNNNNNNNNNNNNNNNNNNNNNNNNNNNNNNNNNNNNNNNNNNNNNNNNNNNNNNNNNNNNNNNNNNNNNNNNNNNNNNNNNNNNNNNNNNNNNNNNNNNNNNNNNNNNNNNNNNNNNNNNNNNNNNNNNNNNNNNNNNNNNNNNNNNNNNNNNNNNNNNNNNNNNNNNNNNNNNNNNNNNNNNNNNNNNNNNNNNNNNNNNNNNNNNNNNNNNNNNNNNNNNNNNNNNNNNNNNNNNNNNNNNNNNNNNNNNNNNNNNNNNNNNNNNNNNNNNNNNNNNNNNNNNNNNNNNNNNNNNNNNNNNNNNNNNNNNNNNNNNNNNNNNNNNNNNNNNNNNNNNNNNNNNNNNNNNNNNNNNNNNNNNNNNNNNNNNNNNNNNNNNNNNNNNNNNNNNNNNNNNNNNNNNNNNNNNNNNNNNNNNNNNNNNNNNNNNNNNNNNNNNNNNNNNNNNNNNNNNNNNNNNNNNNNNNNNNNNNNNNNNNNNNNNNNNNNNNNNNNNNNNNNNNNNNNNNNNNNNNNNNNNNNNNNNNNNNNNNNNNNNNNNNNNNNNNNNNNNNNNNNNNNNNNNNNNNNNNNNNNNNNNNNNNNNNNNNNNNNNNNNNNNNNNNNNNNNNNNNNNNNNNNNNNNNNNNNNNNNNNNNNNNNNNNNNNNNNNNNNNNNNNNNNNNNNNNNNNNNNNNNNNNNNNNNNNNNNNNNNNNNNNNNNNNNNNNNNNNNNNNNNNNNNNNNNNNNNNNNNNNNNNNNNNNNNNNNNNNNNUUUUCUUCUUUUCUCUUCUUGAACUCUCAACUAAAACCCUAGGCUAAUUUUUAGGAUUAUAAAACUGAACCUAAUAGUAUUAGACCCUUAAAAUAUUACUAAAAAUGAAUUAAAUCUGAUUGGGUAAGGAAAAUACCAAAAUACCCCUCUCUAUUUUCGGCUAAUUUUCCUUAACUGAACAACCUAUCUUCAAAAGGCCAUAUCUCACUCAUCCGACCUCGAAACUUAGCAAACUCAGCGGCGUUGGAAAGAUAAUUCAAAGAUAUUUCCUAUGGAAUCUAAUAGAACACCUAAAUCAUCCUGAUCUAGGAGUUAUGAUCGUUUGAAGUCAACCCAAAACUCAUACUUAGCUUAACUUGCAAAAUUUCAGAUUUUGCUAUUUCCAAUUUAAUUCUUUUUGGAACUCAAGGUGCUAUAUCUAGUGACCUUAACACUUAAGAAAUUUUAAUUCCUCGGUAAAAUCCUACUCACAACGAAGGAUGGUUCAAGUCUCAGUUCGAAAUUUUUUUUGGGGUAUUACAAACAGGAGCUUCGUUGAUACCACAUGGAGUUCGAGUUAGCUAUGGUGAGCCUUCUUGCUUUCAGAGGAUUUCAUUUACUUAUCAGUUGUUAGGAUGUCGUGGAUCUUGUCCUGACUUCCAUCUUUGUCAUUUAGAGGCUUCAUAGAUAUACAAUAGAGUUUCAAAAGUCUGUUAAUUUAUUUUGUUAAAUGUUUUAAAGACUUAAGUUGCUUAUUUUCGGGAGAGUUGAAUAUAUUAUAUUAUUCAUAGUUUUGUAUUGAUUUAAAGCUUUGUAUUUAAGUUUCAUGAAUUUUUAUUCAGUUUUUAAUCUUUUGCAUGCUUAAGUUUGUCUUCCGCUUGUAGUCAACCAAGGAUGAGGGUUCGCUUGGGGACCAACAAUGGUUCUUGAGUGCCGGUCACGUCCAGGGUGUAGGCUUGGAUCGUGACACCAAAACCGAACUAAAAUAAAUUCAGUUCAGUUCGAUUCAAUUUUUCGAUUUGAAUAUAAUCGGGCCCUUUUCUUAUCAUCAUUCAUCAGUUAACUUUUCUAAUACUAGGCAUUUGCAUUUGGUCUAAUUGAUAUGAGCCAACUGUUAGCUUAGGAAUAUCCCUCCAGUCAUGAUACAUAUGAGCUUCAUUAGAAAUAACGUGUUUAGCUAAUGCAUCUGCAAUUUGGUUAACUUCUCUAUGACAAUGAUUUACUUCAUAAUUGAUCUUUGCAACAACUUGUAAGAUGUCUUCCACAACACCUUUGAUCUUCAAUUGAGGCUUGUCCAUUCCUUACCAUAUCAACCACCAUUUUUUAGUCUAAUUCAAGAUAGCAAUCGUGAAAUCCUUGUUGUGGAUGAUGAUAACUAAAAUAAUAUAAUUCAUUACUAGUUAGUAUCUAAACUCAUAGCUCGUCUCAUCCCAAUAUUACUUUGGGCAGAUCAUUUUCCUACUCGAUCAUCUAAACUCCUAGGUUUUUUUCCCUUAUAUAUAUGAUGAUGCGAUCUCCUUUUGUAUUACUAUUAAUUGUGUAACAAGUAACGAUAUCGAGACCUUGAUUAACAACAAAUACAAAAGUAACCCUAACUUAAAAAGAAACCACAAACUAAAGAAAUUUAUGUAUUUUUGAAUGAAGAAGGUAAGGUAAGGUAAUAGGCUAAUUGCUAGCUUGUUUAUUUAUUGAUAAGCAUACAUUAAUUUACAUGGAGCGAUAGAAGGAUAUAUCCACUUUAUUUAGAAAGCUGCAAGCUAGCCAGCUAAUUAGCAUUCUACGCCUUGAUGAACACAAAUGGAAUAAAUUCCUUAUCGUCAUCGACAGUCACCAGACGAGGAUAUCCAUUUUUAAAGUUGCCGCCGAUAUUUUUGCACUGAAGAUGAGAGGGACAAUGCAGUAACUUGUAUACAUUUUUGGAACCUCCUGGUGUCACCAAGUCAGUUUUCCUAAUUUUGAAGAUGUCGUUUUCAUUUCCUACCUUACCACCAGUUUGGUCAACACACAACUUUGUUGUUUUAACAAAGAACUUGAUAUAAACACCAGUCAUUAUACGCACCACAUCACCAUAAUCCGACUCCGACUUACGAACGAACAUGACGGGCGUGCCUUCUCCCAAAAAUUGGGGAAUCGACAUGUGCUGCAACAUGGCGUUUGGGCAUUGAAGGUUUCCAAUAUUGUACAAGUAUACGGCUCCGGCCCCGAGGAGAGGAUUGUUAAUAAUGUACCUCUCACCAAUCCUCAGCGGAUUGCCAUCUUGGUCAUAAACUUCAGGGAGUACAAGAUUAUCAUCAUCAUGACAAGUUGUGGGGAGGACAAUUGGAUUUUCAGAAGUGAAAGAUCGAGCAAAGGCAACCAAAGAGAGGUACUUGAAAGCAAGAGGAAACUCAAAAUAUUAAUCGACUUCAUCUUUCUUUGUGUGUUGUGCUUGCUAUGAGUCUAUGUCCAAUUUAUAGACCUGCUAAGGGCAUUUUUGACAAACAAAAAAUGAAUACCUACUACCGCCUUAGACACCUCAAAUAAGUUUUAUCCAUUUUAAAUAACUAAUAUCAAGCUUCAAUAUUAAGUCACUCUGAACACUUUUUUUUUUUUACUAUCAACAAAAAUAUAUAGUACAUAAUAUGUGUUACACUGAAUAAUAUGUAAAGUAUCAAAUUAAAUAAAGACAUUUAUUAUUUGUCUCCAAAAUAAAUCUUAAAUAAUAAAUUUUGAGUAAAAAUAAAAAACGGCCAAUAAUUCAAUUUGUAGGAUAUUUAUUAUUUAAUGUGGCUUUAACUAGAGAAGUUGGUAAAAUUAAUAAAUAUUACUUGAGAAUAUUGUCCAUUGUGCUUAAAGGACUCUUGAAACUUGACAUCUAGUGGAGAACCAUUCAUGGGAUUAUUGCACUAAUAAAAUUAAGUUGCAACACCUAAUUUUACUUACCAUACUCAUGUACAUAAUUAUUAAGGAUAAAAAAAAUUAUCCGUAUAUAAUGUAUACACUAACCUAAUAUAUGAAUGACAUGUGUUUGAAUUUAUGGUUCAUUUUAUAUAAUUUUAAUUAAAUAACAUUUGUUUUGCUUCAUUUUAAUAAUUUAUAUUCACCACUGAAUACAAAUAACAGGCUAAUAAUUCUAAAAAUUGAUAUUAAUGUGCUACCUGGCAUGGAAUUAUUCCACAAGUAAAAUAUGUCACUGAAGUACGAUCGAGAUUUAUACCACUGAUUAUUUUGUUACCUAUCAAGAAUGGAUCUUAAAAAUAAUGGCAAAUCAUUAUUAUGAAAAAUGAUUUUUUUUUUAGAUUCUUUUUUUUGACAAAUUAAUAAUUGAAGGAUAGGAUUUGCGUUAUAUGAUAUAUAGAACUUAGUUUUGAAUUUGAGUAAAUUGAGUGUUGAAACUCAAGAAUAAUUAGGCAAAAUAAAAAUUGCACUUCAAAUACAUAUAACUGAAGUUUUAGUCAAUUUUUAUACACUUCAAUCAUAUGUACAUUCAAUAAAAUUAAAAUAAUGUUAAAUGAGUUUGUUAAAUUUAUUGUUAUUUUGAUAAAUUGUUGAUUCAAGUUUGUUUCAUACGAUUGUAGAUCUGAUCUUCGACUAAAUUCGGAUCGGGCUCUGCAAGGCCCAUUAGAAGGUGACACUCCCAACAGGAUUUUCUCCAUACCCAGGGCUCGAACCCGAGACCUCUGGUUAAGGGUGAAGCACUCCCACCAGUGCACCACAACCCAUGUUGGUCCUAAAGUCAUUAUUAUUAAUUAGGUAGGUACGUUCAAAAUAAUUCUUUAAAAAGUGAUCAUAUCCGAUCUUAAUCAAAUACAACUCUAACUCCAAUUUUAAAUUUUAAAUAAUACUCCCUCCGUCCCCUUUUAGUUGUCAUGCUGCACUUUUCAAAAAUCAUUUUGAAUUAUUUUUCAAUUUUAAUUAGAUUACAUUAAAGAUAUUUUAAAUUAAAAAUUUAGAUAUAUAUUUAAAAGCUAUACAAAAAGUACUAUAAAUUGUAAUUUUUUGCAUAUCAAUAUGAUGAAAAAAUACAUCGUAAAAAAUUGUCAAAGUUCUUAUUGUUUAACUCUAAAAAAAAGUCAUACAACUAAAAAAGAAUAAAGUGAAUAUAAAUAUAUUUAAUUUUCAUGAUCAAAUGCAUACUAAAAUAUAUUAGUCAAGUUGCCAAUCGCCGUAAUGAUGAAAGGAAACAGGUGAAUGCAGCUCAUAUCACUGAAAAUAAAGCACUUUAUACUUCAUCUUUUCAGCACUACCAGCGUAUAAAAAAAAUGAAAAUGUGUAAUUUUCAAGUUUAAUACUAAGCCGUAGAGAGUUUGUUUUGAUAAACUUGAGGGGGGAAAGCAAAAUUAAGGCAUUAACAAAUGAAUAAAGAUGAACUUAUAUGCUUUGAUUAUAAAAGUAGUCUAACAUUAUUUGUUUGUAAAAUUUGGAUGCAGUUAAACAUGGUUAUUAAAGAAUCACUUCGACUGUAUCCACCAGAUCCUAUCAUUGAACGAAUGGCUUGUGAAGAUAUGAUUUGUUAAACAUCUUAAUUUUUCAAUAAAAUAUUUAUUUUUUUCAAAAUAAGCACUUUUGAUCUCAUAACAAUAAUGCGGCUUUUAACCAUGCCGGUUAUAGUUAUACGGGUUGGGUUAUCUAUAGAAAAGUUAAAUGUACGGAACAAACCAAAUUCAAAUUAAACCUAUUAAUAAGCGAUUGAGACGUAAUUAUUUUUAAUAUGUACAUUGUGAAUCACACGUACUCAAUGGUCCCGUAAAUCUUAAUCGUAUUUUGGAUAAAAGCCACCUGACUGCUUAGAGAUUUAAUUAUUUUGGAUGUAUUUGAUAUUUUCCCACCGAACACCUUAUCUUCAGUCUCACUUCUUGUAGUGUCUAUCUUCACCAUCCCACACUUUUAUUUUUAUCAUUGUGUGUUUUAAUAUAUUUAUCUAGAUUAUAUAUAAAUAUUUUUUAUUUACCUACUAAACACAUAAAAAUUUUAUUUUCUUGAGAAACAUCUUUCAAAAAGAAUAUUUUCUUUCAUAACGAAUAUACCCUAAACAACCACAAAUGUUAAUAUCAACAUUUUGGUUUUAAUUGAGUUGAAAUGUUUAGAAAGAAGAACAAAAAAGAAAUGAAAACUAUUAGGCAUAUAAAAGUACAAAAUAGUUAACCAAACAACAAUAAUUAAGAUACCAAAAAUGCAAAUAAUUUUCUAGUCAUGAUUUUGUGCUGAAAGUUUUUAGAUAACUUUUAUAUGUACUUCAGUCAUUUUGUCUUGGUUUUAAUAACCUUAGUUAAAAAUGUUUGAAGGUAAAAGUUCUGUAAAAUGCUUGAAAUUUUGUCUUUAUCUAAUUUACAACUUCAAUAAAAAUUGUCUGAAUUUUUUUUUUAUGAUGACCUUCACAAAGGCACACCUUAGACAAAUAUGUUUAUAGGUCUAGGUUUUAAGUUGUAAAAUUUCUGUUCCAUAUUAGUUGUUCAUCUUUUAAAAAAAUAAUUUACCCAUAAUUUUUUUAAAAAAAAACUUUACAAACUUAUUUACAGUUUUUAAAAAGAAUUAAUUAUUAUAAGGAUAAAAAGAGAAAAUAAUAAUUAAUUCUCUCCUGAUUUUAUAAAUUGACAAAUAAUUUAAAAAACAUAUAUUUUUAAAAUAUGAACGACUAAUAUUGAAUGAACACUAAACAUCAAAGAAAUUAAAGAAUAAUUAAGUAGCCAAAUGUUCCGUUCCUAUCAUCAACUCUACUUGGAGUUGCACUGUUGCAGGCCAAUAAUGGAUAUAUAUUAUAUACUAAUGUGCCGAUGGGACCAUUAUUAGACCAUAGUUAUAACCAAUAAAGUGAUUCUAUUAAAAUAGUGAAGUAGAGAGGUGUUUUUAAAGCUAUCAAUAGUUCGAAAAUAAAAUUAAUAAUUCAUAUCAAAUUCAGAAGUGUUUUUAAUAUUUUUGUCUAUCAUCUAUUCUCAACUUUUAAAUUUGAGAGUUCAUAAACAAUAUAUGUCCUCUCAGUUUUUAAAUUCGUUCAACUUCACCAUUAUUAACAUUGUGAAAUUAAUUCAAUGUCAAUUGUUCAUACUAUGGACAAACCCUAAAUUACAUAAAUUGAAACAAAAGAUUAUACAAUAAAAUUAAUUUAGUACUAAAAAUAGCGUAAAGGGCUGAAACUAACGAACAUGGUUAAUUAAAAUUGAGGAACAUCGUAUCUUUUUGGCCUAAAAGAUAUUUGAAUACUAUACUAAUAUAUAUCCACCAUUGAAGAUAAAUACCAACAGGCUAACAACCAAGUUAUUUUCAUUUUCGUCAUGUAAUCUUAGCUUGUUAAAGCCAAAAAUGAAUAUAAUGUCUUGACGGGACCGCACGUGUUACUAUCCCAUAACUAAAACGGAGUUCAGAACUAAAAGGGUAAUAAUUUUUUUUCAAAAAUUUCAAAAAGAUAACUAAAUUAUAUAUGAAACCAAAAUGACAAUAAUUUAUAAUGACGUCUAAAUUAGAGUUUUUGCCGCAAGAUACAAAAACCCAUGAGCGAUGCAACAACUUUUAGCCUUGUAAAGCUCAGCUGGCGUGAGCCUUACAAGGCGCAAGGCAGGCUAUUUUUUUCAAAUAAAAAAGUUUUUAUGGUGUACGGUCCUUAAGGCUACACGUUUGCAAACUCGACCGCCCAUUUUUUUGUUAGAUAAAUAAAAAAAUCUGACUAUUUUGUUGAGAUGUUAAAUCAUCCAACUUUAAAUUUAUCUAAAAUGCAGUACCUUUUUUACAAAAAUACAAUGUAUUUUAGUCGGUUAUUUUUUAAAAAAAAAUUAUGCCUUUUUGAGUUAUCAAAAUAGGAUUUCUAUUGACCGUAAGCUUAAUUUGAUAAUGCAAAAAAAUUUAAAAUAAAUAAAUUGUAUAUUGUAAGUAAUGCACAUUUUCAACACACGUAUGCAUAUUAGGGGUGAAGCUAUAUAGUUCUUAUGACACUUUUUUAAGCUUGGUUUUCUAAAGAAUGUUUGGAUGUGUCGUUUACUUAAAUAUAAUGUUUAUUUUGAUGAUUAGUUAAAUUUAAUUUAUAUCAUUAAAUUUAUUAUUAGGUAAUAAUGUGAUUUUUUAUUUUGUGUAAUGGUUGAUUUAGUAUGAAUGUAUGGUCAUAAUAUAUAUAUUUUUUAUUUUGUUUCACUUACUAUUUAAUAAUUGUAUUUUAUUAUUUACUCUUUCUUUUUAUAGUAAAUCUACUCCGUACUCUAUUUUUCUGGUGUGUUUAUCUUUUUAAUUUUUUUUGAUAUUAUGUAAUUAUCGAAAAAGAUACAAUUUAAUAUAACAUAAUAUAAUAUAUUAUAAAAUGACAUGUAACAGCCAUCCAAACAAAGUAUAAAUAUAUAGUUUCAUCAAAAGUUAUGGUGAUAAAAUGAUAAAUUUCGUAGUGAGGUUUAGGUUCGAAUUAUAACAACGAAGUCACUUUUUAAUAAAUAAUAUUUUAUACCUUUAACAUGAGUUUUUAAAAAAAAAUUGAACUCAGAUGCGGAAUCUCAAUACGAAUAUUGAGCCUAAAAAGCACUCUAUAAAAGAAGGUCAUAAAUAAAUAGUCCAUUUAAUGGUAAAUUUUAUCCUUUUGUCAAUAAAAAAAAAGUCCAUGAUUAAUCUUUUCCGAUAUUUGGUAUUGCAUUUUAGUUCUAAAUUAAACACCUUUUACCUGAUUUGAUUACAAAUAUAUAAUAAAUUACUUGAAUCAUCAAAGAAAAAUGUGUACAUUAAUUAAUCAGAACCGACAGACUUAGGAAAUAUAUUAUUAGUCAUAGGCUCAUAGGACAUGGAUCUUGUUCCAUAUUUACUAGUUAUAAUAACUACUGUAACAUUUAUAUAUUUAAUUAAGCCAAAUAAAUAUAAUCUUUUCAGAUUUUUUUUUUUUUUAAAUAGCCUUGCGCCUUGUAAGGCUCAUGGCGGUUGAGCCUUACAAGGCUAAAAGUUGUUGCGCCUUGUAAGGCUCAUGGGUUUCUGUGCCUUGCGGCAGAAACUCUAUUUGAGACGCCGUUACAAAUUGUUACCCUUUUGAUUUCAUAAAUAAUUCAGUUGCCCUUUUGAAAUUUUUGAAAAAUUUUGUUGCCCUUUUGGUUCCGAAGGCCCCCUCAUUUUGAAGUUUUGGUUUCUUAAAUCUUGUUAUCCUUGAAUUUUUCUAGCACUUAAAGUUUUGGUUUCUUAAAUUUUUUUAUUUCUUUCAAUGUAUUAAGUUUCUUUCUAUUUCAUUCUGAUUAAAUAAAAAAAAACUUUAUUUUACUAUCUUUGUUGUGGUUAAAACUUAAAAAUAAUUAAAUGAAUUGAUCACGUAUUUGAAACAUAAUGACAUGUUUUUCUCAUAUAUUAUUGGAAAAAAUAAUAAUUUUCAUACCGAAUAAAUUAAAUUAAUAUUAUUUUAAUCCAGUAACUUGAACUUAAUGAUGAUUGUGUUUUGAUUGUAGUUGCAUUAGUAAUGAAAUAACUUGGUGAUAUCGAAGAGACAGAGUGAUUGAUUGAAAACAUAUAUAAUAAAAAUAAUAUAUCCUCGGGGAUAUUGGAAAAUUGUUAUACAAAUGAAUUUCUACAACAACAAUAAACAAUGAAACUUCUACUUCAAUUCAAUAUACGAUAAAAUUAACUCCUAGUCAAAGCAACAUAUAAUACACAUUUGCAUUCAUUACAAUAGUAUUUCUUGAGCUUUUUCUUUUUUCCAUCCUUAAACCUAAUUUAAGUCUACUGGGCAUGUCUAAUUAAAAUUAAUAUGCAAUUGAUUAAACAUAAAAGGACCUUAUCCAUGAAAUCCACAUCACGUAAUCAAUAACAAUGCAUAUUACAACUUGGAUUUAGUCGUAACUCCAAUGCAAACUGAUCAAUAAUGAAUAUUAAUGUCGUGAUGGUACCGGAUGGGAUUAUCCAUAAGUAAUUAAUACGUAGCACUUAUUAAUUACUAAAACAUAUGUUGGGUUUAGUAAGGUGUGAAUGGGAAAUAAAAAGAGAAAAUGGAAAGUGGAAGAACCAAUAAAAAUGGGGGAACCAAUUUGGAGGGAAAAUGAAAAAUCAUUGCAAAAGUGCAAAUGAAUAGUCAUUUUUACCAUAUUGGUAGAAGAGAGAAAAUCGUUGUCCUUAUAUUAGGAAACACUUCCUUUAGUUCUUAAAGGGUUAAGAAGAAGGUGCCCCUCGCGACAUCGUCGUCGCUCGCUCGGCUUUGGCAAUUGAUUGAUAAUAUUUUUUGGACAAAAUUUAUUUAAUAAAUUUUGUUAAAUCAUUUCCUUUCUCUUAUAAAUUAAUUCAGAAAGUUAGUUAACUAACAGAUUUAAUUUGGCGCAACUGAAUUUAUUGAAAUUCACAUGUAACGGUAAUCCUUCCGAAAAGUUGUUACUUUCCGAAAGGUCGUUACUUUUCCCAAACGGUAAUCCUUCCGAAAAAUCGUUAUUUUCCCAAAAGACACAAUGUUCUGGAAGAAACGGGUCUGGAUAGAUUUUUCUGAACAGACGCGUUCCUUGCUGCAAAUGGCUAUAAAUAAGAGGUCUUUUUCGUUUUUUAAAACACUGAAAAUUUUUCCUCUCUGCAUUCAUUUUCUUGCAUAAAUAAAAUUGUCGAUCGACUAAGUCUGUGUGUGCUCUUGUUGUUGUUCUUGCGUUCGCUGAAGUUAUUAAAGUUUGAGGUACCGCUACUUCUUUAACAGGUUAAUCCGUUUUAUCUUGGGAGGGAUUAAUCUGCAGCCUCGGAUACAGUGAGGGGAUUAAAUUUCUUAAGGAAACACAGUGGUUUCUGUGGACUCGGAUUAAAAAAUUCAUUCUGUCUAUUUCAUCUUUUUUCUGUUUCUGUAUUUUUGACUAACCUGAAUACAGGAGAUAACAACAUAUUUGUUUGAAAGCAGAAAUUAAUAAAUAAAGAACCUAGCUUUUUUAUUCAUCAUAAGCAUAAAUAUUACAUAGAGUGGGCUAGAAGCAUGCUCCACAUUAUUUUAGAAAGCGAUCGAGCUAGGUUAUAAUAAGCAUAGAUAAUUAACUAUGCAUCAUUCUUGUUUACUUUGGUGAAGCCAAAGGGAUAAGGCUUGUUAUUGAGAGCCAGACGGUAGUAACCACUAUUGUAGGUCAAUCCGACAUCUGCACAAUCAAAGUUACAUGUUGGACAAAUAUAUUGACUAGGACAAUACCUUAACUUGUAAGAAUAAGGUCUCCCCGUCUCAUAUUUCUCAAUCUUGAACCAGUUCUCUAUGUUAUUAGGCCCUGGAAAUCCUAAGGUACCACCAGUUAUAACAAACCUAAGUGGUGAAUGCGUCGGCCCUACGAUGGAAUAACCAACUUUCCAAACAGUUUCGUUAACACAUGACUUAGUUGAAGAAGAAGAAGUUGAGAACUUUAUACUAACAUCUUGAUUUUCAUAAACGAAAUGACUUCCAAGUUUCAUAGUAUAAAACAACAGAGGUGUGCUGUUAUCAAAUUCACCAGAACUGUCCUGCACAACGCCAUUUGGGCAUUUGGUGUUUCCAAGAUCAGUUAAGUAUAUGUUUCCACCGCCAUAGGGAAUACUGAUAACGGAGUACUCCUCGUUUAUCUUGAGUGGUUCGCCCUCCAUGUCCAGCACGGGAGGGAAUACAACAUUCCCAUUAUUAUCAGAAAUGGAAAAUUCAUGAGAAAAGGCAACCAAACUUGAAACCAAUAGGAAACUCAAAAUAGUACUAAUACACUUCUUCAUCUUUAAUUUGUUUGUGUGUUUUACUUGCUAUGACUCUAUCUCCAAUUUAUAGAGCUGCUAAGGGCAUUUUUGACAAACAAAAAAUGACCUUUUAUUUUAGGUUAUAAUAACCUAAAGAAAAUAAGUAGUACAUAACAUAUUUUUUUUAUUUUUAACAAAUAAAUAAUGAUCACAAAGAAUUGAAAAUGGGAAGGUUAAUGUUCUAUUUAUUCAAUCUAUGUUAAUUUUUAUAUAUAGUACCUUUUUUUUUAUAACUUUGAAGCAAAAAUAUUUAUUUAUAUAUAUAGGCUAUAGCUAUAAGAUUUUGUUUUCAAAUAAUUUUAUUAUGGUUAUGGGUCCUAUAUUCAUCCCUCCCACUGUCAAAGUUUGCGUCAAACAACUAUAUAUAUAUAUUUUAUUUUAUUUUUUUCUUGUAAAUUCGAAACUCAACUUAAAAUAAUAAUUAAAUAUUCCAUUGCAAAACUACAUAAAGUUCCCAGUUUUAUUUUCUCAAUUUUUAUUGUAGUAAAAAAGUUGAGAAAUUAACAUUGUCAAUUUAAUUUUUGUAGUUAAGGAAUUUUAUGAUUUCGUGGAUAGUCAUAAGUUCGAACUUUUGUAGCUAUUACUAGAUAUUAGCCCUGACUAGCUUUUAAAUUCAUAGCUAAAUCUUAGUAGUAAAGUUCCCAUUUUUAUUUUCUGAACUUCAAUUAUAUAGUAAUGAAGUUGAGAAAUAACGGUCACAUUAAUUUUUAUAGGUAAGAAAGUUAAUAAAAUUGUGGAUAGUCAUGAAACUCGAAUUUUUGUAGCUUUUACAAGAUCAUCCUUAAAAGUUCUUUUUUAUUAAAUUUGAAAGAACUUAAAAUAAGUUAUUCAAACAUAUUCUAACUUAUAAUUAAAUUCUAACUUAUAUUAUUGUAAUUUAUGACGCUUAUAAUUAUAUUCUACCUUAUAAUAUUUUAAUUUAUACAUCAUAAGUUAAAGCGAAAUUAAAUAGGCUCUUGGUUAACUAUAUACUAGUACAAGGAGUCCGUGCUAGCACGAGCUCAAUAUCUUAAUAUUUUUUUAUUUUAAUUUAUAUGAUAUAGAUAGAAUUUAGAAAGUUGAUUAAAUUUUAAUGUGAUUUUUAGAUAUUUAAGUUGUUAAUUACUUUUUGUUUGCGCAAAUUUACUGUGAAGAGUUUCAUUAAGAUGUCCAUAAUUAAUGUACUUUUCGUCAUCAAUCGUUGAUUUUUCUUAUUUUUUAAUAAUUAGUUUACAAAUUACAUAACUACAUAGGAAAAAUUCACCACAAAAAUAAAUAAUAUCUUAUUUUUUUCCCUAAUCUUGCAAAAGUAUUGUUUUUACCUUUCUUCUAAUCCUACAAAAAAUACAUAAAAUUUAAAAUGUAAUAUGUAAUCACAAAAUUAAAAAAAUAGUACAUAAAAAUAAAACAUAUUUUUUUAAAAAUGAAACUUAGCAAAACUUAUGAGAUGUGUUAAUUGAUUAAUAAGAUAUAUUUAAACCCAUUAAUUAGCGAUUGAGACAUAAUAAUUUUUUAUAUGUACAUUGUGAAUCACACGUACUCAAUGGUCCCGUAAAUCUUAAUGAUAUUUUGGAUAAACACCACAUGGCUGCUUAGAGAUUUAAUGAUUUUGGAUGUAUUUGAUAUUUUCCCACCGAACACUUUAUCUUCAAUCUCACUUUUUGUACGUAGUGUAUAAGAAUUUUAUUUUCUUGAGAAACAUCUUUCAAAGAGAAUAUUUUUUUUCGUAAUUAUUAUACCCUGAACAACCACAAAUGUUAAUAUCAACAUUUUGGUUUUUGAGUUGAAAUGUUAGAAAGAAAAACAAAGCAGAAAUGAGAAUUAUUAGGCAUACAAAAGUACAAAAUAGUUAACCAAACAACAAUAAUUAAGAUACCAAAAAUGCAAAUAAUGUUCUAGUCAUUCCGCACCAGAGACCUUUCUAAUGAGUGCUGAAAGUUUUAGAUAACUUUUAUAUGUACUUCAGUCAUUAAUUUUGUCUUGGUUUUAAUAACCUUAGUUUAAAAUGUUUGAAGUUUAUCAUUGUUAAGGCUACAAUUUUUUGUCAAAAAUGUUUGAAGUUAGAUAGUCUUCGCAACAAGGUAAGUUCUGUAAAAUGCUUGAAAUUUUGCCUUUACCUAAUAUAAAACUUCAGUAAAAAUUGUCUGAAUUUUUUUUUUAUGAUGACCUUCACAAAGGCACACCUUAGACAAAAAUGUUUAUAGAUCUAGGUUUUAAAUUGUAAAAUUUCUGCUCCAUAUUAGUUGUUUAUUUUUUUAAAAAAAUAAUUUAUCCAUAACCUUUUUUUAAAAUUUUUUUACAAACUUAUUUACACUUUUUAAAAAGAAUUAAUUAUUAUAAGGUUAAAAAGAGAAAAUAAUAAUAAUUAAUUCACUUUUAAUUUUAUAAAUUGACAAAUAAUUUGAGAAAAGUGUUUUUAAAAUAUGAACAACUAAUAUUGAAUGAAGGGAUCCGAGUAAAAUUAAGCUAUAACACCUUAAUUAGUUUUACUUAUCAUACGUUUGUGUUAGGGUUUUGCCCUAAUUUUCUUACCUUAUUUGAAGUUUAUAUUUUCCUAAAAGAAAAGACAAAACAUCACCAUAAAUGUUUUUACUUUUUGAAAGGAAAAUAUAAUUUUCUUCCAUAUUUGGGUUAUUUCUUCCUUAGAGGAAAUGUUUGGAAUCCUAUAAAUCGAAGACCUCUCCUCUCAUAUCAAGAACAACAAGAGCAUCCACAAUGUAGGGGAGAUUUUCUCAUAAACAUAUUUAUGAUUUUUUAAUAUUAGUUUUCAAUAUGUAGGUCGCUUGACCAAACCAUAUUAAUAAUAUGUCUUUAGUAUUUUCUUUAUUUGUCGUCUGAUUUCUCAACCAUAUGAUUUGCAAUUAUAUUUCUGUUUAUUAUCAAUUCUCAUUGUGAAUGUUUUUUUUUGGUUUCCCAUCCAGUGUUCGGAGCCCACAUUGGAGCUCCGACUAAAUUCAGAUCACGCUCUGCAAGGCCCAUUUGGGGUGGGAGCAAAUUCGUUCAACCUCAUAGUUACUGACAUUGUGAAAUUAAUUCAAUGUUUUUUUUUUUUGAUUUUCCACCCGGUGUCCGGAGCUCACAUUGGAGCUUCGACUAAAUCCGGAUUGCGCUCUGCAGGGUCCAUUCGGGGGUGGCGCUUCCAACAGGAUUUUCUCCAUACCCAGGGCUCGAAUCCGAGACCUCUGGUUAAGGGUGAAACACUCCCACCAAUGCACCACAACCCAUGUUGGUUAAUUCAAUGUUAAUUGUAUGUACUAUGGACGAACCCUAAAUUACAUAAACUGAAACAAAUGAUUAUACAAUAAAUUAUUUUAGUGCUAAAAACAGCGUAAAAAAUUGAGGGAUAUCGUAUCUUUUUGACCUAAAAGAUAUUUGAAUACAUCACCAUUGAAGAUAGAUACCAACAGGCUAACAACCAAGUUAUUUUCAUUUUUGUCAUGUAAUCUUAGCUAGUUAAAGGCCAAAAAUGAAUAUUAAUGUCUUGAAGGGACCGCAUGUGUUACUAUCCCAUAACUAAAACGUGCCAAACAAAUAUGUCAAAUUAUUUGGAGUCCGGAGCCAAAUGGACAAAAAAAAUUGUCAAAAAUUUCAAAAGGUCAACAAAAUUGAUUUUAGAACCAAAAGGGCAAACAUUGCAACACCCAAACUAACGCUGUUGAAAUCAGGGUACAGUUUACAAAGCGUAGCCGUCUUGAGUCCUACAAGGCGCUGAGAGCUUGCGCCUUGUGAGGCGCAUCGAGUGUGCGCUUCUCCUUAAAUUGAAAAAAAAAGAAAUGCAUUUUCAUUUGGGGANNNNNNNNNNNNNNNNNNNNNNNNNNNNNNNNNNNNNNNNNNNNNNNNNNNNNNNNNNNNNNNNNNNNNNNNNNNNNNNNNNNNNNNNNNNNNNNNNNNNNNNNNNNAAGUGCAGUAUCAGUACACAAAUCACAGUGUACUGAUAGGAUCACGCGGCUAUUCCAAUAGGGAAAUACAAGCAAGUAGUUACAACAUAGUAAACAUACAUAUACAUAUUGUAUCAUUCAAUUAUCAUUUAGGAACAACAUACAAUUUCCCGAUAUCAAUGAUAGGUAAACAUGAACGUAAUAAUCACUAGUGGUCCUCUCAUGGAACCCACGCCCAAAUUGUUAGUGUGUCGGAACGUGACACCCGCUACAAUAUACAUGUGUCGGAACGUGAAAUCCGGUUCAAUAUAUAUUUCGGAACGUGAUACCCAAUCCAUUGUAUGUGUCGAAACUUGACACCCGAUCUAGUCAGCACAACCGCAAUCACAAUCACCCAUAAUGAACAGUGCACAUAGUCACACAGUCAAGUAACAAGUUCAUGGCAUGCAUGUAAUGGUUCGCACAUAAUCAUUUCAUUAGAUUUGAUUCACAUUUUCCAAUUCACAUACAUGCAUGCAUACAAUGAAGCAAUUAGCCGGCAUAUAUCACACAAACAGGAAAUUGAAUCAUCACCUACCUUGAAAUCAAGCCUGAAUACUCCUAAGACAUGUGUGCCUUCCCUUUCCGAGUCUUUCAGCUCGUUCUUGAUCUAAAACAAGCAAUUAAUGCAAGGAUCACUAAACAAUGUCUAAUUUACUCGGAUAAUAACAAAAUUAUUAACCCAAGACCAAACGGAUGAUCCUAAUGUUCAACCAGGGCUUUUCCCCACCAUUAACUUCAGGCCAACCCCCCCUCCCCUCAACGAUGAUUACCCAAGAUUCUAAGUUCUAAGAAUCGAAAUACGGAUUAGGGGAGUAAUAAUCUUACCUUUAGCGCUAGAAAUCGUGGAAAACUGUCAAGAAACUGCCCUGGUUGUCCCUUAGCUCUCAAGAACGAAGUUUGCAGAAAAAUAACGAAUUUGGGGUUUUUCUCCGACUUAAUUCGCGACUAGCCCGCCAUGGCAGACCCCAUCCCACCACAGUGUCCCCACCCUGACGGGAAUAAUCCUGUCCCCGUGGCUUUCACAGAGAUAGAAGUUCAAAAUUUGAGUACCAAGCUCCUAUUUCACAACACACAUUUAAACCUGGAUGUUUUAAAACUACCAUUUCACGCCAAGAUCAGUUUCAGGAGUUCUACUCACCCGAAUUCGAUUCUGUAGAGUCGUACAUGCUCCUUAACAUCUUGGCUAUCCACUCAUGUGAUCCAAUUAUUAAUUAAAUCCACAUUCAUUACCAGAUUUCCCUAGACCUCACCUGACUCGAAUUUCGUCCAAGUCUGGCCUAGGGUAGAAAUUUCCAAGUCACUACUCAGAAGUUUUCUGGCCCAAAUUCUUUCCUCAUUGGCUUUUCAAUAACGACAGAAAUAGGUCAUUACACAAGGCAAUGAUUUUUUUUUAAUUUACAGCCAAGUCAUGAAUUUCCUGCGCCUUACAAGGCGCAAGUCGUCUGCAUCUUGUAAGACGCAAGGCGGCUGCGCCUUGUAAGGCGCAUUGCGGCUGCUCCCUAAUUUGGACGACGUUAAUUUGAUCGUUACAAAGUUGUCCUUUUGGUUCUAAGAUUAAUUUUGUUGUCCUUUUGAAUGUUUUGACAACUUUUCUUGCCCUUUCGGCUCCGGACUCCCCUCCUAUGUCUCCUAGGGGUGGGUGGGCAAAUUAAUUUAUUUUAGAACAUUAUUUUAUUUUGUUUAUUAAAUAGACUUUAAAAUAUAUAUUUUUAAUUAGGUGUUUGUUAUAUCAUCAACAAAUGUAUUAAACUCUUCUUUAAGGUUUUUGCUGGUUGUCAAAAAGGUGACAAAAUUAUAUAACAAAAUCCUACUACAAAUAUUUAAAAUGGACAAAAUCUACCGAAGGUUUAUAUGUGUGUGGAUUAUAUAGAUUACCCAAUCCGUUUAUUCGCAUCCUAAAUUGGACUGCACCAAUAUAAAAAUAUCACUUUCAUAUUGAUUAAUGUAUUUAUUGCUCCAUAUAUUAUUGGCCUAAAUGAUACUAAUGUAAUUGUCCAUAACUAAAACAUGCCAAUGAAGUAGGAUUUGAAAAAAAGAAACGUAGUUGUCAUGCAAGCAAAUCAAUUUGCUAUGUACCCUUUUAUUAUUUUUCCAGCUAUCAAGAAUGCAAGGCUAGAUUUGAGAAUUUCAACAAAAUAUUAAUAAAAUAAUAUAUCCUCCAUGCCCUAACAAGUAGGGAUAUUGGAAAAUUGUUGUACAAAUAAAUUUCUACAACAAUAAACAAUGAGACUUCUACGUCAAUUCAAUAUACAAUAAAAUUCACUUCUAGUCAAACCAACAUACAAUACACAUUUGCAUCCAUUACAAUAGUGUUUCUUAUUUUUUAAAGAUUUCCCCCUUUGAACCAAAUUUAAGUCUACUGGGCAUGACUAAUCAAAAUUAAUAUGCAAUUGAUUAAACAUCUUAUCAAUGAAAUUCACAUCACGUAAUCAAUAACAAUGCAUAUUAUAACUUGGACUUAGUCGUAACUCCAAUGCAAACAGAUCAAUAAUGAAUAGUACUAAUGUCGUGACGGUACCAUAAGUAAUAGGUAGCACUUAUUAAUUACUAAAACUAAUUUGUUUGAAAGCAGAAAUUAAUAAAUAAAGAACCUAGCUUUUUUAUUCAUCAUAAGCAUUAAUUAAUAUUACAUAGAGUGGAAUAGAAGCAUGAUCCACAUUAUUUUAGAAAAGCGAUCGAGCUAGGUUAUAAUAUAAUAAGCAUAGAUAAUUAACUAACUAUGCAUCAUUCUUCUUUACUUUGCUAAAGCCAAAGGGAUAAGGCUUGUUAUUGAGAGCCAGACGGGUGUAUCCCCUAUCUUCGUACAAUCCGACAUCUGCACAAUCAAAUUGGCAUGUUGGACACAUAUAUUUACUAGGACAAUACCUUAACUUGUAAGAAUGAGGUCUCCCAUCCUUAAACCUAAUUUAAGUCUACUGGGCAUGUCUAAUCAAAAUUAAUAUGCAAUUGAUUAAACAUAAAAGGAUCUUAUCCAUGAAAUCCACAUCACGUAAUCAAUAACAAUGCAUAUUAUAACUUGGACUUAGUCGUAACUCCAAUGCAAACAGAUCAAUAAUGAAUAGUACUAAUGUCGUGACGGUACCAUAAGUAAUAGCUAAUAUUGUGACGGUACCGGAUAUGGAAUUAUCCAUAAGUAAUACGUAGCACUUAUUAAUUACUAAAACUUAUUUGUUUGAAAGCAGAAAUUAAUAAAUAAAGAACCUAGCUUUUUUAUUCAUCAUAAGCAUUAAUAUUACAUAGAAGUAUGAUCCACAUUAUUUUAGAAAGCUAGGUUAUAAUAAGCAUAGAUAAUUAACUAACUAUGCAUCAUUCUUCUUUACUUUGCUAAAGCCAAAGGGAUAAGGCAUGUUAUUGAGAGCCAGACGGGUGUAUUCCAUAUCUUUGUACAAUCCGACAUCUGCACAAUCAAAUUGGCAUGUUGGACACAUAUAUUGACUAGGACAAUACCUUAACUUGUAAGAAUGAGGACUCUCCGUCUCAUAUUUCUCAAUUUUGAACCAGUUGUUUAAGGUAUUAGGUCCUGGAAUUCCUAAGGUACCACCAGUUAUAACAAACCUAGGUGGUGGAUGCACCGGCCCUAGAAAGUAAUAACCAGCUUUCCAAACAGUUUCGUUAAAACAUGACUUAGUUGAAGAAGAAGUUGAGAACAUUAUACUAACAUCUUGGUUUUCAUAAACGAAAUGAUCUCUUCCAAGUUGCAUAGUAUAAAACAACACGGGUGUGCUGUGAUCAAAAUCACCAGACCUGUCCUUCACAACGUCAUUUGGGCAUUCGGUAAGGUUAUCAAUAUCAGCUAAGUAUACGCUUCCACCUCCCGGGAGAACACUCAGAAUGGAGUACUCCUCGUUUAUCUUGAGUGGUUCGCCGUCCAUGUCCAGCACGUGAGGGAAUACAAUAUUCCCAUUAUUAUCAGAAAUGGAAAAUUCAUGAGAAAAGGCAACCAAACUUGAAACCAAUAUAUUACUAAUACUCUUCUUCAUCUUUAAUUUGUUUNNNNNNNNNNNNNNNNNNNNNNNNNNNNNNNNNNNNNNNNNNNNNNNNNNNNNNNNNNNNNNNNNNNNNNNNNNNNNNNNNNNNNNNNNNNNNNNNNNNNNNNNNNNNNNNNNNNNNNNNNNNNNNNNNNNNNNNNNNNNNNNNNNNNNNNNNNNNNNNNNNNNNNNNNNNUAAAGUUCCCAGUUUUAUUUUCUCAAUUUUUAUUGUAGUAAAAAAGUUGAGAAAUUAACAUUGUCAAUUUAAUUUUUGUAGUUAAGAAAUUUUAUGAUUUCGUGGAUAGUCAUAAGUUCGAACUUUUGUAGCUAUUGCUAGAUAUUAGCCCUGACUAGCUUUUAAAUUCAUAGCUAAAAUUUAGUAGUAAAGUUCCCAGUUUUAUUUUCUCAAUUUUUAUUGUAGUAAAAAAGUUGAGAAAUUAACAUUGUCAAUUUAAUUUUUGUAGUUAAGAAAUUUUAUGAUUUCGUGGAUAGUCAUAAGUUCGAACUUUUGUAGCUAUUGCUAGAUAUUAGCCCUGACUAGCUUUUAAAUUCAUAGCUAAAAUUUAGUAGUAAAGUUCCCAGUUUUAUUUUCUCAAUUUUUAUUGUAGUAAAAAAGUUGAGAAAUUAACAUUGUCAAUUUAAUUUUUGUAGUUAAGAAAUUUUAUGAUUUCGUGGAUAGUCAUAAGUUCGAACUUUUGUAGCUAUUGCUAGAUAUUAGCCCUGACUAGCUUUUAAAUUCAUAGCUAAAAUUUAGUAGUAAAGUUCCCAGUUUUAUUUUCUCAACUUCAAUUAUAUAGUAAUAAAGUUGAGAAAUAACGGUCACAUUAAUUUUUAUAGCUAAGAAAGUUAAUGAAAUUGUGGAUAGUCAUGAAACUCGAAUUUUUGUAGCUUUUACAAGACCAUCCUUAGAAGUGUUUUUUUAUUAAAUUUGAAAGAACUUAAAAUAAGUUAUUCAAACAUAUUCUAACUUGUAAUAUUUUAAUUUAUGAUGCUUACAAUUAAAUUCUAACUUAUAAUAUUUUAAUUUAUACAUCAUAAGUUAAAGCUAAAUUUUUUGGAAACUGUAAUAUUUUAUUACCAGAUUUGCAAUAUGUACAAAAUUGGAAACUCCGGAUGUGGACAGUUUCCACUCUCAGAGUCCAUCUAAUUCAAAAGAGUUCCUCCUUGCUAGUACUAUUCUAAGGAUAGAAGUUUAGCUUUUGCGUAAAACCUAUAAAAAGUUAAAGCUAAAUUAAAUAGGCUCUUGGUUAACUAUAUACUAGUAAAAGGUGUCCGUGCUAGCACGGGUUCAAUAUCUUAAUAUUUUUUAUUCUAAUAGACUUCUUCAUCUUUGAUCUUUGUUUGUGUGUUUUACUUGCUACGAGUCUAUCUCCAAUUUAUAGACCUGCUAAGGGCAUUUUUGACAAACAAAAAAUGACCUUUUAUUUUAGGUUAUAAUAACCUAAAGAAAAGUAACAUAUUUUUUUUUAAUUUAAAAGUAAGGACUAUAUAUAUACUGUGUUGUAACGUCUAAAUUGGAUCAGACCACCAAUAUGAAUAGUAUUGAGCAAAUUUUAUCUUGAUAUUUUAAUUAUAUAUUCACCGUUCAAUAUAUAUAUAUAUUAACUCCAACCACCAAGGAUACAAGUUUCCUAAAUGGUGGAGGAUUGGACAUAGAUCCCUACCAUGUAUAUUACUAAGCAAUAACACCGUUCAAUAUAGAUAACAGGCUAACAACCACAAAUGAAUAUUAAUGUCCCAGCGAAACCGCACAUGCAUGAGAUUAUCCCAUGACUGAGGGUGUGUUUGGUAGGGAGGAAAAGACCUGUAGGAAUGUUGGUAAAAAAAGGGUGCAGAAAUAAAAUAAAAAAGAUGUUUUGCCAAGAAAAAAAAAUGCGAAUGAAGAACAAACUAAAACUUGAGAAAAUGGAAGAGUGAGAGAAAAAAUGUGACAACGAAAAGGACCCACAAAUACACUUGUCAAAAAGAGAUUGUUCCCACAUACAACUAAUCUUCAUAUUUUAAUUAUAUAUUUAUAUUCACCAUUCAAUACCGACAACAGGCUAACGAUAACCACAAAUAAUGAAUAUUCGGGACCCAUGAGAUUAUCCCAUAACUAAAACGUGUCAAUGAAGUACAAUGACAAAUUUUACUUUAUGUGGGUUUUCUUCAAAAAAAACAAAAAAUCCAUUCUCUUCCGGCCCGUUUGACCAUGCGAUAUGAAAUCAUGAUAUGGUAUCAUAAUAUGGAAUCAUGAGAUGAAAUUGAAGUUUUAUUUGGACAUGCGAUAUGAAAUUUUUGUUUUAUAUAUUUUCUCAUACUCAUAAGAAUCUAUAAGUUGUAAAACUAUUAAAAUAGCCCAAAUUGUUUAUGCAAUCUUAGCAAAUAAACAAAAUUUUAUAAAAUUGCAUAAUAAAUUAUUAUAAAGCUAUUUGUUUCCCACUUAAGUAACUAUUAUAUCACUUUAAUUCAAUUAAAAAAAAUUGAACAUAAAUUGUAGUGAACAAGUCUUUAAUAUAAUCCUCCCACAUAAUACAGACAAUCUCCUCACGUUGAACUUGCAUUUCUCGAUCAUGUGAUCGAGAAGACAAACCAGCAUUGUUACUUUGAGCCAUUUUUUGGUCAAUAUCAUCUCAACUAUAUUUUCAUCAUCAUAGACCAUAAAUAUUUCAUUACUCCUUUUCACAAAUAAUUAUGUAACACUGCACAACCUAUGACAAUUUUCACUUGUGUGUCAAUAUCAUAAUGAUUCAUGCCUUGUUUCAGUAUCUUGAAUCUAUUUUUCAAGCUCCAAAAGUCUGUGGGGUUGUUUUAACAAAAUAUAAACUUGUGAAUCAAUUUUUGUGUUGGUGUCAAUAUCAUAAUGAUUCAUGCCUUGUUUCAGUAUCUUGAAUCUAUUUUUCAAGCUCCAAAAGUCUGUGGGGUUGUUUUAACAAAAUAUAAACUUGUGAAUCAAUUUUUGUGUUGAAAAAAUCUCAAAUCAUGAUAUGGAAUUCCCAUAUAAUUCCAUAUCAUGAUUUUUGGUGAAUAUGGUAUUCCAUCAGCGUAAAAUCGCAUGUCUAAACGUUGAUUCCAUCUCACGAUUUCAUAACGUGAUAUGGUAUCGCAUGGCCAAAUGCCUACUUAUUAAUUGAGAGGGAGUUUGCGUUGCACGAGAUUUGUUUAUGUAUUUUAUAGAAAAAAAGGGUAAAAAAUAUCCUUUAAUUUUGAUUUACUAGUUGAUUAUGUCAUUACCGUUAAAAUGAAGUUAUCUCUGUCGUUAUUAAUUUCAUCAUUUAUGUCCUUCAAUUGGAUGGAAAUCCCAAAUCAUUUAAAAUUGCCUAAUUUAACUUAAAUUAUCCAAUUUUAACCCGACCCGACCCACCUAAUAAUAUAACCCAUUUUGUUCAUCUUCAUUUCUGUACCCUCCCCUUUUUCUCAAUUUCCUCCUCCACGCCGGAAAUCACGAAACCCCCUAUCUCUUCCGACCUCUUUCACCACCAUACAACACUCAACCAGUCACCGUAAACCACUUGGAUAUAAUGUAUUUUGCAAAUUAUAUCUAAUUUUUAUCUCAUAUAUUUCGGUAUCCUGAGAUACAUGUAGUUGGAUGCAUCAAAAUUUAGUAAGAUUCGUAAAUAAGCAAAUUAAAAUAUAUCUAACUAAUUAGCUCCUAAACUAGUGAGAUUUAUGUAAGUUUCUUAUUAUUUAAUUGUAUGCUUGAUUAUGAAUAUUAGUAUUAAAAUUUCACAUUUUUACUAAAUUGGCGGGAUUAACUAUCCAUAAAAAAGAUAUGAUAGCUAAUUCCAAGAAAUAUGAUCCCUGUCUAUCUCAUCUCACCAACCAAACAAUCCCAUAAUGUUUUACAACUGUUUUUAACCAAGAAAGAAGUAUUGAAUGCAUUCCCUCUAUUUGACUAACUAGUAUUAACUAAUACUCAUUUUAAGUUUACUUUAAAGAACCACUUUCAUAUAUGAAAUGGUUUAUUAUCUUGAUUUAUAAAGAUUAAAUUUUUUUGAUGUUUUACUUUGGUAAAUACAUAAGGGUUUUAAAAUAGUAAAUGGGAGGUGGGGCUUCUUAAAAGGUUGAAUCCAUCAAUAGCCUCUUAAGAUUGACCCGAAAUUUUCACUUAGACACCUUAAAUAAGUUUUAUUCAUUUUAAAUACCUAAUAUCAAGCUAUCAUAUUAUGUCACUUUAACACCAUUUUUUUUUACAAUCAACAAAAAUAAAUAUGUAAUAUGAGUUACACUGAAUAACAUGUAAAGUAUCAAAUUAAAUAAAAAUAUUUAUUAUUUGUCUCCAAAAUAAUUCUUAAAUAAUAAGUUUUGAGUAAAAAUAAAAAAAUCAAUUUGUAGGAUUUAUUAUUUAAUUUGGCUUCAACUAGAGUAAUUGGUAAAAUUAAUAAAUAUUACCUGAGAAUAUUGUCCAUUGUUCUUAAAGGACUCUUGAAACUUGACAUCAGGUGGAGAACCAUUCAUGAGAUUAUUGCACUAAUAAAAUUAAGUUGCAACACCUAAUUUUACUUACCAUAAUUAUUAAGAGUAAAAUUUACCUGCAUAUGAUGUAUAUACCAAUCUAAUAUAUACAUAUCAUGUGUUUGAAUUUAUGGUUCAUUUUAUCUAACCUUAAUUAAAUAAGAUUUGUUUUACUUCAUUUUAAUAAUUUAUAUUCACCAUUGAAUAUAAAUAACAGGCUAACAAUUCCAAAAAUUGAUAUUAAUGUGCUAGGAUCGCACGGAGUUAUCAUUAUCCCACAAGUAAAAUAUGUCAAUAAAGUACGAUCGAGAUUUAUACCACUAAUUAUUUUGGUACCAAUCAAGAAUGGAUCUUAAAAAUAAUGGCAAAUCACUAUUAUGCAAAAUGAUUUUUUUAGAUUAUUUUUUUUGACAAAUUAAUGAUUGAAGGAUAGGGUUUGCGUUAUAUGAUAUAUAAAACUUAGUUUUGAAUUUGAGUAAAUUGAGUGUUGAAACUCAAAGAAUAAUUGGGCAAAAUAAAAAAUAAAAAUUGCACUUCAAACACAUAUAACUGAGGUUUUAAUCAAUUUUUAUACACUUCAAUCAAUCAUAUGUACAUUAAAUAAAAAAUAAAAAUAAUGUUAAAUGAGCUUGUUAAAUUUAUUGUUAUUUUGAUAAAUUGAUGAUUUGAGUUUGUUUCAUACGAUUAUAAACCUUAUAAUUUAAAUUCAAACAUAUCUGAAUCAGAUUUGAGUAUUAAAUCAAUUGUUUGGAAGUAGAAACUAAUAAAUAAAGAACCUUGAUUUUUCUUAUUCAUAAUCACAUUAAUAUUACAUCGAGUGGAAUAUAAGCGAUAGAGCACCACAUUGCUACUUGCACUCUGUUUGGAUCAUUGUUAACCAUUGUAUUGUAUUAUAUUGUUACUAUACCUACAAUGUUUGUUUUGAUUGUUACUUAAACUGUAUUGUAUUGUACUGUUAAAUUUCGUUGUUACAUAACAAUGAAAACCCCUAUUUUAUGGAACAACCGAUUUGGUGUGUUCCCAUCGUUACUUAAUUUCUUUUUCCAAUUAUAUCUUUACAUAAUAUUUCAAAAUACUAUUUUACCCUUUACCUUAUAUUAUUUAAUUCUAGUCAAACCUCCUACCCUAGAAUAAUUAAGGAUAUUUUAGUAAAUUUAUAAAUCCUAUCCUAGAAUAAUUAAGGAUAUUUUAGUAAAUUUAUAAAUUACAAUACAGUAUGAUACAAUCAAACCAAACAAUUAAAAUGUUAUUAAACAACAACAAACAAUACGAUCUAGCCAAACAUUGUAUCUACCAUACAAUACAUUACAAUAGAGUACAAUACAAUACAAUAUAUUAUGAAACAAUGGGUAACAAUGAUCCAAACACAGUGUUAGUGGCAUGGGUUCAUUUGCACGUUUUUGUUACAUGAAUAAUAGUAUCUAUUGUCCUUCAAUGUGUGAGACAUAUAAUUAGUAUAGAGACUUGCUAUUUUAACAAAUAAUUAAAAGGUAAGGUUGGUAGACGUUAGCAGAGUAAAUUUCAUCCAAUUUUGUGUUCAUUACCUAAAGUCAUCAUGUAGGAGGUACGUUCAAAAUAAUUAUUCUUUUAAAAGUGAUCAUAUUUUAUCUUAAUCAAAUACAACUUUAACUCCAAUUUUAAAUUUUUGUAAAUAAUACUUCCUCCAUCCAUUUUUAGUUGUUAUGUUGCACUUUUCAAAAAUUAAUUUGAAUUAUUUUCAAAGUUAAAUAGAUUACAUUGAACAUAUUUUAAAUUAAAAAUUUAGAUAUUCAAAAACUAUACGAAAAGUACUAUAAAUUGCAAUUUUUUGCAUAUCAAUCUGAUAAAAAAAAUACAUCGUAAAAUAUUAGUCAAAGUUCUUAUCAUUUAACUCUAAAAAAGAAAACCAUGACAACUAAACAAAGAUGGAGUGAAUAUAAAUAUAUUUAAUUUAACAAACGAAUAAAGAUGAACUUAUAUGCUUUGAUUAUAAAAGUAGUCUAACAUUAUUUGUUUGUAAAAUUUGGAUGCAGUUAAACAUGGUUAUUAAAGAAUCACUUCGACUGUAAUUUAUUAAACGAAUGGCUUGUGAAUAUAUGAUUUGUUAAACACUUUAAUUUAUUAAAAAAAAAUUAUUAUUUUUCGAAAGAAGUACUUUUGAUCUUUUAACAACAAUGCGGCUUUUAUCCAUGGUUAUAGUUAGACGGUUUAGGUUCUCUAUAGAAAAGUUAAAUGUAUGGAACAAAUCAAAUUUAAAUUAAACCUAUUAUUUAGCGAUUGAGACGUAAAAAAUUUUUAUAUGUACAUUGUGAAUCACACAUACUCAAUGAUCCCGUAAAUCUUAAUGAUAAUUUGGAUAAAAGCCACCUAGCUGCUUAGAGGUUUAAUGAUAUAUUUUGGAUGCAUUUGAUAUUCUCUCUAAACACCUUAUCUCUAUUCCCACUUUCUAUAGUUUUCAUCUUCACCAUCCUACACUUUUACUAAUAUUCAUGAUAUGUCUUUUAAUAUUACUUGUUUAAAUUAUAUAGGGAAAAUGCAUAAGUACCCCCAACCUAUGCUCGAAAUCCCAGAGACACUUAUACUAUACUAAGGUCCUAUUACCCUCCCCCCCCCCUCCUAACUUAUUUUAUAAAUAAUUUUCUACCCCUUUUCGGCCUAUGUGGCACUAUCAACCAGAUAGCUUGAAAAAAUUGUCAACACGCGUUGGGCCCAGAAGAUAGUGCCACGUAGGCCAAAAAGGGGUAGAAAAUUAUUUAAUAUAUAUGAUGUAUGUAAUUUUUUAAAUUGUUCAAAGGGUAAAGGGUCAAAUAUGCCCCUAAACUAUUCAAAAAGGUCCAGUUAUACCCUCUGUUUAAAGUUUGGCUCACUCAUGCCCUCGUCGUCCAACUUUUCGUCUAAAUAUGCCCUUAUGGGCGUUAGUUGGCAUGCUGGACAUAUCCAGCUCAUUUUCCAUUUCUUUAACUACCACAUGGAAUUGCCAUGUCAUUUUGACUUUACCACAUGACAUUUAUAUAAAAAUGGAAAGGGAUCAAUUAUGCUCCUAAAAAAUUCGAACCCAUUAACACCUAAUCCGACCCAUAAAUCAACCCCCCCCCCCUCUUUUAAAUAAACUACCCGACCCGUUUUCAACAAUUUUGUUUAAAUUUUUAUUUUUUUCGGUAAAUCCUGAAAAUUAGUAAUUGAUAAUAAAAAAUAGGAAAAAUAUAAAAUUAACACCAAAAAUUCACAAAUAAAUAUUGUAACCUUAAAUUCAACAAUUUUUAAAAUUUUGUUUUUUUUUGGUACAUUCCAAAAAUGAGUAAUUGAUUAAUAAAAAAUAUGAAAAAUAUGAAAAAAAAAAAUAAAAUUAACGCCAAAAAAUCACAAAUAAAUAUUGUAACCUUAAAUUCAAAAAUUUCAACAAUUUUUUUUAAUUUUUAUUUUUUUUAAUAAAAUACUCAUUUUCGGAAUUUGUNNNNNNNNNNNNNNNNNNNNNNNNNNNNNNNNNNNNNNNNNNNNNNNNNNNNNNNNNNNNNNNNNNNNNNNNNNNNNNNNNNNNNNNNNNNNNNNNNNNNNNNNNNNNNNNNNNNNNNNNNNNNNNNNNNNNNNNNNNNNNNNNNNNNNNNNNNNNNNNNNNNNNNNNNNNNNNNNNNNNNNNNNNNNNNNNNNNNNNNNNNNNNNNNNNNNNNNNNNNNNNNNNNNNNNNNNNNNNNNNNNNNNNNNNNNNNNNNNNNNNNNNNNNNNNNNNNNNNNNNNNNNNNNNNNUAUUUUUUUCAUAUUUUUCCUAUUUUUUAUUAAUCAAUUACUAAUUUUCGAGAUUUAUCAAAAAAACAAAAAUUUAAACAAAAUUGUUGAAAACAAGUCGGGUAGUUUAUUUAAAAGGGGGGUUGAUUUAUGGGUCGGAUUAGGUGUUUAUGGGUUUGAAUUUUUUUAGGGGCAUAAUUGAUCCCUUUCCAUUUUUCAUAUAAAUGUCAUGUGGUAAAGUCAAAAUGGCAUGGCAAUUCCAUGUGACAUUUAAAGAAAUGAAAAAUGAGUUGGAUAUGUCCAGCAGACCAACUAACGCCCAUAAGGGCAGAUUUAGACGAAAAGUUGGAUGGCGAGGGCAUGAGUGAGCCAAACUUUAAACGGAGGGUAUAUCUAGACCUUUCCGAAUAGUUUAGGGGCAAUUUGACCCUUUACCCUUGUUCAAAAUACAAAUAAUUAGAAAACCACGCAAAUAUAUAUAUAUAUAUAUAUAUAUAUAAUACAUUCAAUUAAAAUCACAAACGUCAUAUACAAAUAAACGACUCACAUUUCAAAUUGUAUUGAUUUGUAUUGGAUUUAUUUAGUAACAAAACUCUCUCUAAAUAAUUUGUAAGCUAAUUUAUUUAAAUAAAUUUACUAGUACAAACAUAAAUCAUAAAAUCAAGAAAAUAAACAAAAUAAUUAAAAUAGAUUUGAGGGAUAUUUUUGUUCUUUACAUAGACUUAUCCCAUGGUAUUAUAUCCUAUAAUACCAUGUAGGAGGUAUAACUAAUCCAUGGAUUAGUUAUACAUAGGCUCAAAAUCCUACCAAAUAUAGUACUAAAUAAUACCUUACAUAAUACAUGGACUAUUUCUUCUAAUGUGGCCUACCAAACGACCCCUAAAAGGAUUACACAGCUAAAGACAUAAAAUUUACAUUAAAAAAUGCAAAUUCAUGAAGUUUGGGAGGUGGGGGUUAAUGUUUCAAUUAUUAAUUAAUUCUAUUUUAAUUCACUCAAUUUACUCCAUGCACUACAAAAAAUACGGGUUUUAGCAACACGUAAAACCGUGGCUAACACGACUUUGCCAUAGUCAUUUAGCCACCGUGGCUAUAACGGGUGCCACCAACAAAUUUGCCACGGUUUAGGCGACCGUGGUAACAUUUUGUUAGCCACGAUUUGAUGUGAAAAUAGUCACGGUUGAUCGUGGCGAAAUAUCACCAAUGAAAAUGUUCAUAAUAUAUAUUUACCAUGGUUGAACCGUGGCUAAAUACACUUUUUUAAUUAAAAAAAAAUUUCAAUUAUUUCCCAGCAAUACCCUGCAACCAAUGCAUUAUUUGAUAGGCAUCCACUAAUACACUGACCAUAAUACACAAAUCCUAUGCUCAAGAUGGUAUUUUUUAUUAACUGGACACAUAUCAAUUCAACGAGAAUCUAAGGUGCUUAUUGAAGGAACUAAAUAUACAUUGGCAUCCAUAAAUAUUUGAAGUGCCAAGGCAUAUGGUAUCUCUUUCAGGGUCUGUUUUCCUUCAUUUGCCUUAAGCUCAACAAUUCUCCUAAAAGAUUCGAAAGUAACGAUGCAAUAAGUUAGACCUCACAACAGUGAUAAACCUCAAUCAUACAACGCAUGUUAGAUUCCUUAUUUAUGCCAACAAUUAGAUAAACUAAUUUAAAUAGAUAGUUUUUUCCAAGGGAAACUCUUUAUUAACUGAAUAUGAUGUUUCAUUUGUCAUAUCCAAGUGGAUACAUGGAUUACAAAGAAAAUGGGAUUACAUAGGUCAAUCAAUGUUGAGGUGCCUCUUAAUUUAAAAAAUCAGCUGCAGCAGGAUGUAGACACACAUUUACAAAAUUGAAUAAUUGCACAUUAAAGGCAUAAAAUUUGUAGGCUAUCAUAUACGAUGAAAACAUAUGUCAAACGAACAAAGAAAUAUCAGCAAGAACCCAGUACAUACUCAACAAAUUCCACAGAGAAAUCCAAGAUCAACAGUUUGACAAAUGUCAAGAGGUAGUAUCAGAUAUACAUUUAGAAUAAAGGAGAAAAAAAGAUAUGAGUAGGCAUACAUCUUUAUUUUUUUUAAUAAGAUAGGCAUACAUCAAUUUUUCUCAAUUUGGACGGAGAGGGCACUUUCUGUUCUCAUCAGUCCCAUCAAAUGAGUGGAAGAUAUUGGUAAAAUCAUUCCGGAGGGCUGAAAUUUUAGUUAUGUUUAUUGUUAUCAAAGGUUAAAAGCACCAAAAGAAUAGUUGUUUUGUGAGAUGCCAAACAAUAUGCAACACAAUUGAUAAGCAUUGUACCUUGAAGAAAUCAUAUACAUGAUACUUGAACACCGAAUGAUAUGAUGAGUAACGAUCUGUAACAAAUUCUUUUAGCUGAAAUUAAGCUCCCAAGAACUACAAACCAGCAAAUAAAACAGAUUAGGAUUAUAGGAGAGCACACACAAUCAGUUCAUAUGUUAGAGACAUAACACAUAUUUUCAAAACAAGUAAGAUGAGAGAAUUACAAGUAAAACAAAGUGAAAAAAAGUUAAAUCCACCAAAUAUUUAGUGAAUAAGGAAAGCAACCUUGUAAUCAUAUGUGUUUUAGAUAAGCAUGAUUAGAGAAAUAUGCAAAAAAAAUUGAUAAUGUAUUUUUAGGAGAUUUAUUGCAGGCAUGAACCACAAUUGCAAUAACAUUGCAUUUCAAGGAAAAGUUUUGCUUAAAAUACCUUCAACCAACCUUUAACUAAAUGAUGGGAACAAGUAGAAGGAUGAUCUAGUCAUGAAACAAGAAUAAAAGAAAAGAGAGAAAAAUACUUUUAGAAUAACUAUAGAAUCGGCACUAUAAUAUACUACUCCCUCUGUUUUUAUUUUAUGUAACUUAGUUUGACGGGCCACAAAGUUAAAGGUGUGUAUAACAUAUCAAAAGUACCCUAUGAAUCUUAUGGUCUUAAAUAACCAGAAAGCUCUAGUGACCAAUUCUAAGAAUUGACAACAUCAAUGGUACUUAGAUAAUGUUCUUAGAGAUUAUACAUUUUCAAGGUGACUGCUAAAACAAAAUAUAAUCAUGAGGCAGAACACUAGAGCAAUCAAGUGGUAUACUCCCAAAUUCAUCUCAUUGUUUUAACAAGUAGAUUUGAUCAAAAGGCUCAAAUUUAAGCUUCAAAGUAUCCAACAAGAUGUUAAAUGCUAAGAACUUGUUUUCAUCUUCAUUUCCACAAACAUGAGCUCACACUUCACAGACAUACACAAACAAAAAAAAUGCAAUAUAAGUCCAUAGAGCCAAAUCAAAAUAAUCAUAUCUGGGCUAGAUUUCAUAUUUACUCAACUUGCUUAUUGAGAAGCAAUAUACUACGUGAAACAAAAUAAAAACAAAGAACUAUAAUCGAGGAUGAAACAUGGGAACAACAUGACACUUAACACAAAUGCAAUUCAAUAGUCGUACCAAUUCAAGAUAUUGUUGGAAAAUGGUCAUGCUGUGUAAAUACAGGGAAAAUGCUUCUCACUCAAUUCCUGUUAUAUUGUUAUAAGAUAUACACAUUUUUUUAUCCUUAUGUAUUCAAGUGUCACAUUGAUAAUUUACACUAUUGCAUCGUAGGAUGCAAUUCAUAUCAAAUGAGGAAACAAACCUAAACAAAUAUGUCCAGUGCUUAAAUGUGAGGAUGCGAUGGAGCUGGAGGGAUGAAAACAACCUAUCAAGUCAACAGAUAAAAUGCUAUACUGAAGAUAAAAUAAACUUUUAAAGAAAAGAAUACUAUAGAUAGGCAAGCUAAUGUUUUAUACGAUUAAAUCAUUCUAGACAUAAAACAAGAAGUUAGGUCAACGAAAAAACACAUAUAUAUUAAUGUAUUUCAUAAUUUUCUGAAGUGUUUCCCAAAAGACAAUCGUACAUUAUACAACCAAUACUAGUGGUGUCACCUACUCAAUAGACCGAGAAAUAUGAGGCUCUAAAACUCUUAAUUAUAUUCAAAGUCUUCCUAUACUUGGCAAGCUGAUUUUCAAUAAACAUUGAACAAUUAACAUUUAUUUACCUUAGUGGAGCUUGAGAAACCAAUCUCCUUUACGGUAUUUUUAGAGAAUCAUAACAGAGCUUCAGAACUGGACCCAAGUCAUAACAGAGCAAAAGUUGAAAAUUAACAAUCAAGAAACCUAAAUUAGUAAAAAUAUUCAAAAAAAAAAAACAUGCAGAAAUUUGAACAAUAAAACAUCAAAAGUUAUAGAAAUUUUAGAGAUUACAAAACAUUAAUUUUCUUUUGUAUUCAUGCAUGGGUUGGGGUGAAAGGGGGAAUUUGGGUUACCAAACAGUUUCUUUACUCGAGAUUUUUCAAAUUUUUGUACUAAAAAAACCUCAAAGAAACCAUUGAAUAUUGAACAAACUAUUGACUUGAAACUCCUGGAUAGCAAAGAUUUGUUACAUGAAAAAAGUGAAUUUACCAUUUCCGCUACUAUUCGAAGCAAGGCUACAAUAUUCUGCUAUUGUUCGAACCAUUCAAAAAAAUUUGGAGUGAAGCAAAUUAGUGUGAUUUUGGAUGAAGCUAAUUUUGGGUGAAGAAUUUUUUUGGGUAAAACAGAUUUGUGUGAUUUUGGAUGAAGUAGGAUUUUGGGUGAAGUAGAUUUGGGUGAUUCUCGAUGAAAAAAAGUUUUGGCUGAUUUUGGUUGAAAAGAAAUAGGGGCAAAUGAAAUAAAAAGUGAGGGAAUGAAAUUAUAUUACCUGCCUAAUUUGCCCACGUUAUUUUAGCAUCGUUCUCUUAUUCGUAGGAAACAUUAACACUUCCUAUUAAUUUUGCCACGGUUUUUAGAACUGUGGCUAAUAAACCGUAGCUAGAACUCAUUUUUUGGUAGUGAUGUAAGAGAGUUGCACUAAUUCGAGCUAAAUAGGUAGUCGAUCUAGAUUGACUCACGACUGGGCUGACUCUUACUUUAAAAUAAUUAAGGCAUAUGCCUUAGGUUCUUAAUUAGAGGUGUACAAAAUCGAACCAAAAACUGAAUCAAACCGCAAAUUGAGUCAAACCGGAAAAAAAACCCGACUAGUGGUUUGGUUUGAGUUGGUUUGGUAUUGGAAAAAAACAACCCGAUUAUAUUUGGGUUGGUUUGAUUUUAACUAAAAAAAACCAACCCGACAUUAUAUAUGCAAUUUUAAAAUUUUAUUUUAUACAUAAAAAUAUUUAUUUUGAUAUAAUUUUAAAAUAUUUCUUAUACUAUUUCAUAGUUUUUAUCUUUUAAUAUAUUAUUUCAAAUUUAAAACUUAGAAUUUGGAAUGGUCCAAUAGAGAUUAUAGUUGAUAGAUGUUAAUAAUUAUAAUAAAACUUAAAUCAAAAUCAAAUUAAUACUAAUGCAAAAAAUAAUCAAUUCAACACUAGAAUGACAAUAAUAUUGAAUAUUUGUUCUUUAGUUUUACAUUGGUUUAGACAAUUAAAUUACAUAAUCUAAUUUUAAUUUUACUUAAAUAUUCAGUAAUGUAACUAUUACUUAUUAAACUAAUUUUAGCAUGAUUUAGUACUUUUAAAUUAUGAUCAUUUUCAUUAUGACUUUGCAAUAUUUAUUUUAUAUGAUGAUUUCAUUAUUAUUUUUAUUGAAUAUUCGCAUCUCAUAUUUGUGUUAUUUUCUUAAGAAAUACCUUAGAUAAUUGUAUUUUGGUUGUACUAAAUAAAGAAAUAUUUGGAGCACAAGUUAAUUAUAUGUUUGUAUGCAAACUUUACCGAAAAAAAUCCAAAAAUCUGAAAAAAAUUCAAGGUUUAUUAGUUUGGUUUGAUUUAUAAAUUUAAAAAUUUGACACAAUGAUUUGGUUUGAUAUUUGGAAAACCCGAACGAACCCGAGGUUAAAAAACCCAAAAAAAUCUGAAUUUUAUUAGUUUGGUUUGGUUUAAAAAUUUAAAAAUUUUACAAAAAUGGUUUGGUUUGAUAUUUGAAAAACCCGAACCAACCCGGUCUUGUACACCCCUUCUCUUAAUUUUGGAGGGAUUAAUUUUUUACUAAGAAUAAAUGAUGUGCUAGUUUUUUUAUUUAUAGAAAAAUGAUAGUUAUUUUAUUCUCUUAACCCUAUAAAAAUAGAAGAAAUCAAGAAAAUGUUAACAUAACUACUAUAAAAACAACUUUUAGUGGAAAUGAAUAGAUCACAUUAAUAAAGAGUGCUAAAGUAUUUACCGGCAUUAGUUAAGUGUCAUUAGAUCCAAUGUCGCUAAAGACUUUAGGGACAUAUACAAAGAGUGCUAAUUGUCGCUAAAAAUACAUAUUUAGCGGCAAUUGAGCUAUUGCCGUUAGUUGCCACUAAAGAUCAUUUUUCAUGUAGUGUCCGUCCAACAAUAGUUAUCCAUUAUACUAUUUUGGAAUGUCAAACAAUACUUGUUCACUCUAUGAAAUCAAUGGAUAAUUUUACACUUAGUUACUAAUUUACCCUUAUCUUUAAUUAUAGUAAUUUUCUCUAUUACAUUUUUUAAGACACUAUAUUUAUUAUAUUCAAAGGGUGAUAUAGUAAAAUCAUCCUACUAUUUAUAGUUUCUUAAGAAGUGUACAAUGUCAGUAGUGGACAACUAUUAUUGGACAGGGAGAAUAAUAAUAUGUUUCAAACUUGUUUUACACAAAUUUAAAAAGCAUUUAUAUUUUUAAAAAAUAGGGUCUUUGGCUAGGGUGCUUCUCUGACUCAUAAUUAAUGGCAUACACAACAUUCAUAGCUAUGACAGUCUUCGGUCUUCCGCCCAAGUAACAUUUAGACUUACCAGGGUUGUGGUGCACUGGUAGGAGUGUUUCACCCUUAAUCAUAGGUCUUGGAUUCGAGCUUUGAGUAUAGAGAAAAUUUUGUUGAGAGCGUCACAUUCGAAUAGGCCCUGCAGAGCGCAAUCCAAAUUUAGUCGGAGGUGAAUUUCGAACAUCGAGUGAGAAAAAAAAACAUUUAGACUUAGUAAGAGUUGGAUGGACAGCUCGUUUCAUGGCCCAUAAUUUAGCUAUCUUAAACCCAAUUCAUUUCCUUCCGUCCAAGUAAUAUUUAGAUUGAAUCAUAAACUUAUUCAUUUAUCAUAUCAUUAUAAUUCAAUCCGUCCCCAUAUCUGACACCCACCCUUUAUUAUAUGGUUAAGCAUGAAAAUAUGUAUGGAUCACAAUUCACACAUAGAAACACAAAUUAAAUGUAUAUAUAGGAUAUGCAUGAUAAUUAAAGGAGAUGCAUAUUCGAACAUAGCUAGCUAGCUAGCUUGUUUUAUUCAUAACUCAUAAGCAUGCAUUAAUUAAAAUUACCUAGAGCCUGGAGACGCAUCCACUUUAAUUUAUUCCUUAACGAAGACAAUGGGAAGAGCUAGGGUUUUCACCGGAAGCCACGAGAGGAUAUAAUCCGUAAUCAAAAGUCAAGCUCACACAAUUAAGUUGAGGGGAAUCCGUACAAUACAUUAACUUGUAUGCAUUUUCCAAUUCUUGUUCCUCCGACGUCUCAUAUUUCAAAAUCAUUGUUUAGAGGCUUCAUAGACGGAUAGUUAUAGUUCUUUAGUCUUAUUCAUUUCAGAUAUUGUUUAAAAACUUGAGUUUGCCUUAUUGGCUAGUUGAAUGCUUUCUUAUUAACAUUCUUAAGUUAUAUGGGUUUAUCUCUGUUAAGUUAAACUGAGUAAGUAAGUCAGGCCAAGGAUUCGCUUGGGGUCAGCAAUGGUUAUCUAGUGCCAGUCCUGCCGCGUGACACAAACACAAAUUAAAUGUAUUGCAUAUGAUAAUUAAAGGACGUAUUCGAAGAUAGUAGCUUGUUUUAUUCAUAACUCAUAAGCAUACAUUAAUUAAAAUUACAUGGAGCGUGGAAACGCGAUUGAACGAUCCACAUUAAUUUAUUCCUUAAGGAAGACAACGGGAAGAGGGUUUUUACCGUCAGCCACCAGACGAUGUAAUCCAUUAUGAAAAGUCAAGCUGACAUGUUUACACAUUAUAAGUUGAGGGGGAUCCGGACAAUACAUUAACUUGUAUACAUUUUCCAAUUCUUGUACCUCAUGUUUCAUAAUCUUGAACAAGUAAUUGCUUUCAUUUCCUAUGGUACCACCAGUCACCACGAACUGAUCUUUAUCAUCACUAACUUUCCAAAUAGCUAGUUUCGUUAAAACACGGACUAGAUAGAUAUAUCAAGUGUUGAGAACAUGAUAUCAAUGUCAUCCGUUUCACGCACCACAUCAUCAUCAUUAUCAACCAUAAGAACGAAUUUCACGGGGGUGCCUUUUCCUAUCAAACCGGGAAUCGGUACGUGCUGCAACAUGGUGUUAGGGCAUUCAAGGUGUCCAAUAUUGGCCAAGUAUACGGAUCCGCCUCCAAUGAGAGGAUUAUGAAUAAUGUACUUUUCACCAAUGUACGUAGUGUGGUAGGCGGUCCAUGUCCAACACUUGAGGAGCUACAUCAUCAUCAUCAUCAUCAUUAAUAUUAUUAUUAUUAUGAGUAGUUGUGGGGAGGACAAUGGGAUUGUUGGAAGUGAAAGAUCGACAAAAGGCAACAAAGGGAAACAAAGAGAGUAAGAGGAAACUCAAAAUAUUAAUCAACUUCAUCUUUAAUUUGAGUGUGUUGUGUGUAUAUUUUGCUUACUCUAUCUCCAAUUUAUAGACCACCACAUGUAUGUAACAACAUUUUUGAGAAACAAAAAAUGCCUACCUUUUAGGUUAGGUUAGUGACAUGAUUUAUUAACUAGAUCUAAUUAUAAGUAGUAUAAAGACUUUCUAUUUUAACAAUGAAUUAAAAUAUAUAUAUAUAUUGUUAGAAAACAUAAGCAAUGUGGAGAAAUUUUCUGUGUAUUUCUUCAUGAAAAAAAUCACUGUGCAGCCUUCUAGUAUAUAUACAAAUUCUAUUCUAUCCUAAAUUGUGUGAACUAUGAAAUUAAUGCAAUAUGUAUUUACACUUGUCAUUUCAUUAUUGGUCUUCUUCUAACAAACUCCAAACGGCUGUCAUGUGCCAUACAUGUGCUAUGGUUGAGAAAUAUCUAGAAUUAUACAUUUGUACCAUACAGCUGGAUGGCUCUGAUUAAUUUGAUUCAAUAAGAGAUCUUUGCCCCUGAUGUUGCCACGCGUCCUUUAGACCUUUUUGUAUGCCUAUGUUGUUUUUGUCCGAAACUAGGAGAACUUUGAACAUUGUUUCCUUUCAUCAUCUCCUUAUUUUUACUUUUUCUGUAAACUCACCAUGGCCAUAAUCAUGAUGUUCUUGAUUAUCGACACCCCUUCAAGGUGAAGGGAAAGAAACGACACCCAACUUGGAAAGAAUCGAGAAGUGUGAAGGACCAGAGAGAGCCUUUGUGAACAGAUUAGCCAACUGAGCAGAGGAUGGAACAAAAGAUAGAGAGAUCAACCCGGAAAGGAAUUGUUGUCUCACGAAGUGGCAAUCAACCUCAACAUGCUUGGUUCGUUCGUGAAACAUCGAAUUUUUUGCAAUAUAAAUAGCAGCUUGGCUGUCAGAGUGAAGAGGCACAUGCAAUGAUGGAUAAAUGGAUAGAUCUACAAGAAGUCAGGUUAACCAGGUAAGUACCGCAAUAACUCUCCUCAUAGACCUGUAUUCUAAUUCAGCGGAAGAUAGUGAAAUAAAGGCUUGUUUCUUGGACUUCCAAGAAACUGGUGAGCCACCAAGGCUAAUAAAGAAACCACUAAUAGAUCUCCGACUAUCUCGACAAGAUGCCCAGUCAGCAUCACAUAAAGCAAUCAGGAAAAAUGAUGAUGUAGGAUUGAAGAACUGACCUUGGUCUGGAUUGAGUCGUAGAUAUCUCAACACUCGAAGUGCAGUAUCAAAAUGGCCCUGACACGGCUGUUGCAUAAAUUGACUAAGAGUGAUGACUAAGAAUGAAAGGUCUGGCCGUGUAUGUGUGAGAUAGUUCAAUUUAUCCACUAAUCUCCUGUAAAUGGAAGGAUCUGCAAGUAAAGGACAUGAUGAACUAGUGAGCUUAGAACAAGGGUCAAGUGGAGAGGAGACUGUAGGUAGAGAUGUGCAAUCAAAUUCUUGUAACAAAUCUAGUGUGAAUUUUCGCUAACCAAUAAUACAACCAUGUUCUCCUCUUAAAAUUUCCAUGCCAAGAAAAUAAUGAAGCUCCCCUAAGUCCUUGAUUUGGAAUUUAGAGUUGAGAAAAUCCUUCAUAGUGGCAGUUUCAAUAGGAUCAUCCCCGGUAAUCAAAAUAUCAUUAACGUAGACAACAAUAAUUGAAAUCAGAUCCCCUGUUUUGUUGAAAAACAAAGAAUAGUCAUUAAGAGAUAUUGUAUAUCCUUUAAAAGUCAGGGCUCCUGCAAGCUUGACAUGCCAUUGCCUUGAAGCUUGUUUGAGCCCAUAUAGUGACUUUUGAAGCUGGCAAACAUGAUUGGGACUGGGUGAUGCCAUUCCUGAAGGAAACUUCAUGUAGACUUCCUCUUGAAGGUCGCCAUGAAGAAAAGCAUUAUUAACAUCAAAUUGUGAAAUAGACCAACCUUUCUUGACUGCAAUGGCAAUGAGACACCUAAUGGUUGUCAUUUUGACAACUGGGGAAAAAGUCUCAGUGUAGUCUAUGCCUUUCCUUUGUAUGUCAUCUCUUUUCACAUGUCGUGCCUUAUAUCUUUCAAUUAAUCCAUCAGAAUGUUAUUUAAUUUUGUAUACCCAUUUGCAAGGUAAAGCCUUCUUGCCAGUAGGUAACAACAUGACCUUUCAUGUAUUGUUUUCUUCCAAAGCUAUAAUCUCUUUUUGCAUUGCAAACUGCCAAUUAGGAUCCAAACUAGCUUGUUUGAAACUAGUAGGUUCUGAGUAAGCACUAAUAGAACCAAGGAGAUAUUGAUUCUGUAAGGAUAAAGCUCCAAAAGAAAAAGUAGAUGAGUGCACAGGUUGUGCUAAACAAGUGUCUGAAAUGUUAGUGAGAAACACAUGAUUAUAGACAAAAUCAUUUAGAUAUGCAAGCCUCUUACUUUCCCUGUUAGAUUUUCGGAUAAUAGGUGUGGAAGGGGGUGGAGAUACAAGGAGAAAAGAAGGGGAAAAUGAAGCAUAUGAUUGAGGAGAUGUGCUAGAGGAGGAUGAAGGAAUAUGGAGGGUUGCAGAGUCAAUAGAGGAGUCAGGAGUGAAGGAAGAAAUAGGAAAAAUUGGCUCAGAAUCUGAUUGAAGAUUUGAGAAAGGGCAAAUGUGCUCACAAAAUUGAACAUCUCUAGAUAUAAAGAUCAUUUUAAAUGAUAUGUCAGGAAGUUAGUAUCCUUUUUGGCCCUGUGGGUAGCCCAAAAAUACACAAGCAAUAGCCCUGGGAUCAAACUUGUUUCGAUUACUGCGCAAAGUAGAGGCAUAACAUAGACAACCAAAAGCUUGCAAAAACUUAUAAUCAGGACAUUUCUGAAAAAGAAUCUCAUAAGGGGUUUUCCCAUGAAGUACUCUGGAAGGAAUUUGAUUAAUAAGAAAAGUAGCAGUCAAUAAACAAUCCCCCCCCCCCAGUAGCAUUUAGGAAGUUUGAAUUGAAAAAGUAAAGACUUUGCAAUUUCUAAUAAAUGUCUAUGUUUCCUCUCAACAACCCCAUUUUGUUGAAGUGUAGCAACACAAGAUGUUUGAUGAAUGAUCCCUUUUGACCUCAAAAAUUUUGCUUCAUGUACCCCUUUCCCCAAUUCUAGAGCGUUAUCGGAUCGAAGCUUUUUCACCUUAAGGUCAAAUUGUCUCUCAACCAUGGAUAAAAAAUGUUUCAAAACGGAGAAAGCAUUAAUCUUAGUAGUUAAUAAGUAUGUCCAAGUACCCCUACUAAAAUCAUCAACAAAAGUAAGAAAAUACUUAUAUCCAUGGUAAGUAAGAACUUUGAAAGGUCCCCAAGUGUCCAUAUGAACCAGUUCAAACACCCUUUUAGAAGAAACAUGACUAAUGGAAAAGGGUAAUCUGGUUUGUCUAGCAAGGGGACAUAUGUCACACACACAAGAAUAAUUAGAAGGAAAAGAAAUGAAACUGAAAUUUUUUAUAGCUGAAUAAGGCAAAUCGCCUAGUCUGGCAUGCCAAAGAGCUACAUCAGAAACAACACUAGCAGAAAAAGAAAAACAAAGAUGGACAUUUUUGGAAUCACUUCCUUCUAGUAAAGAAACUACAUUACAUAGAGAUUGAAUACUAGUACUAGAAAUGACAGAUUCUAAAAGAUAAAAAUCCUCUUUAGCUUCACCAAAAUCUUGUUUCAUCUUCAUUGAACGGUCCUGCAUGACACACUUUUCAGGAUUAAAUAAGAGAAAACAACCAAAUUGACUACAGAACCUAUGAACAGACAACAAACUAUAUCUGAAAGAAGGAACAAAAAGAACAUUUUGUAGAACAAGAGUAGGAAAAAUGGCUAUGUUGCCAGUGUGUGUGACCUUAAUCCUGUAAGAAUUAGGUAAAUUUAUAGUGACAGGUGCUGGAUGAGGGACAAGAUUGAGAAAGGAAGUAGGUUCAUAACAUAUGUCUUCAGAAGCCCCUGAGUCUAUGAUCCAAGUCUAAGAGUUAAAAACAGAGAAACAAGAAGUAGAAUAUUAAGUAAUAGUACCAGCCACAACAUUUGCAUUAAUCUCUGAGCUAGUACCAGCUCUAGAAGUGGUCUGUCCUUGUUUGAAAAUCUGUUUCAUAUGUGAAAUUUGACUCUUACUCAGGGAUUGCAGGAAAUGCUCAUCAGAAUCUUCAUAUCCAAUAGGUGAAUGCCCAUAACUAUCCUUAAUAAGUUCUCUAUUCCCAUUGAUAGGUGUUUGAAAUCCUUUAGUGAACUGAAAAUCUUCUUGGUACCCCAUCAAUCUAUAACAGUCAUCUUCUACAUGCCCAGUCUUUAGACAAUGAGUACAACUCACAUUAGGAUUGUAUUUCUUCCUUCUUACUUUUCUUGGAUUCUAAGGUGUAAAAUUCCUUUGAGGAUUUGCUGAAGGCCUUUGUCCCUGAGAUUGCCCACCAGAAUGUUGAAAUCAUCCUCCAGACCUUUGUGAAGACUGACCUGGGUGACCAGGCUUCUGCAUUUGGUUUCCAAGUUUCAUUUGGGAGUUGAAAUUCUUAGCCAUAAAUGAAGAGUUGUUAGGGGAAAAUUGUGGAUUAAUAUAAACUUCUCUCUGAUUGUCAUCCUGAAGCAAGAGAGAGUAAGCAUGGUUGAUUCCUGGCAAAGGAUUCAACAUGAGAAUAUUACCCCUUGCUUGAGCAUAAAGAUCAUUCAACCCCAUAAGAAAUUGAAUUAGCCGCUAAUCUUCAACAAAUUUAGUCAUCUUUUGCUUCCCUGUACACACACAAGGACAUGUACAACCAACAUGAGAGUUGAGAGAAUCCAACUCAUCCCACAGCCUUUUUAAUUUAGUGAAAUACCCUGCUAUAUCAUUGGAUCCUUGCACUAACCCAGUCAUUUCUUUUUGCAUGUGGUAUAAUUUAGCACCAUUCGACUAGCCAAAUCUCUGUUCUACAUCUGUCCAGAGGUCCUUGGCAGUCCUGGAGUAGAUGACAGAGUGAGCUAUAUCCAUGGAUAACGAGUUAAGUAGCCAAGAAGUUACCAUGGCAUUGCAUCUAUACCAAGAAGAAAAAGUGGGUGUUGUGUUCAAAGGCUCUACACAACUACCUUCAAUAAAACUCAGUUUGUUCUUAGCUGACAAAGCAAUUAGGGCAGAUCUCCUCCAUCCCUGGUAACCCCUCACAUCGAAGGUGCUAUUAACAAGAUUCAUACCUGGUACAUCUGAAGCAUGAAGAAAAGAGGAUUACUAAAAUAAAAAAUACUCCCUAUUGCUGUUUGACCUACAGCAAAUAGGAGCUAUAGCAGUAGGAAUGACCCAUUCUGUAUCCAUUAUUUAAAAAGGGGGGAUGAACACAGAAAUUUGUAUAAGAGCAAAAAAUUGUGGAUCUUAAUGCUCUAUACCAUGUUAGAAAACAUAAGCGAUGUGGAGAAAUUUUUUGUGUAUUUCUUCAUGAAAAAAUCACUGUACAUCCUUCUAGUAUAUAUACAAAUUCUAUUCUAUCCUAAAUUGUGUGAACUAUGAAAUUAAUGCAAUAUGUAUUUACACUUGUCAUUUCAUCAUUGGUCUUCUUCUAACAAACUCCAAAUGGUUGUCAUGUGCCAUACGUGUGCUAUGGUUGAGAAAUAUCUAGAAUUGUACAGUUGUACCAUACAGCUGGAUGGCUCUGAUUAAUUUGAUUCAAUAAGAGAUCUUUGCCCCUGAUGUUGCCACGCGUCCUUUGGACCUUUUGUAUGCCUAUGUUGAUUUUGUCCGAAACUAGGAGAACUUUGAACAUUGUUUCCUUUCAUCUCCUUCUUUUCUUUUUCUGUAAAAUCACCAUGGCCAUAAUCAUGAUGUUCUUGAUUCUCAACAUAUAUAUAUAUAUAUAUAUAUAUAGUAUAGCUAAAAGAUUUUGUUUUCAAAUAAUUUAUUAUGAUUAAAAAUUAAUUACUAUUGUUACACUAACUUUUAUUGCGUGACUAAAAUUUCCAAUAGGUCAUAGACUCAUAGACUAUAGUUGUGUGAAAGUCGCGACAGACAACUGUAUAUUCAGUUUUUAUUAUUUUCCUUGUUUUUUCUUGUAAAUUCUUAACUCAACCUAAAAAUGAAAAAUUAAAUAUUUCAUUGCAAAUCUAUAUAAAGUUCCCAGUUUUAUUUUCUCAACUUUUAUUGUAGUAAAGAAGUUGAGAAAUUAGCUUUGUUAUUUUAAUUUCUGUAGCUAAGAUAUUUUAUGAAUUUGGACCACAUAUUAAAUAUGAAUUUAAUUUUUUUAGCUAAGAAAAUUCAUAUAUAAAUAUUUACAGCCUAAUUUGGACACAGUUAUUCAGAGUAGCUCGUACAAAAACAUUGGAAUGUCUCUUUCGGAAUAUUGUAAUUAUGGCUCCAUGGACCACUUAAUAUCACAUAAAAUAAAUCAAUUGAAAUAGAUUCUAGUUUAUAUUUUUUAACUUACAAGUGAUAAGCCAAAAAUUAAGCUAAACACACCCUUUGUCUCUUAUUUUUCUUUUUUAAUUUGUCUAAAAACAAAUUAUUUUAUAUUUAAAUAUAAUUUAACUUUUAAAUUCUCAUAUAUAUUUAAUGAGAUAAUUUAUAAUGACAUAAAUAUUUAAUAUAAUAAUUUUGUACCAAAAAUUUCAUGAAUGAUCACCUAAAACACACCACCUACCGGAACUAAGACAUCCACACACGCAGUGGCGGAUGUAGAGUGUGUCCAGGGGGGUCAUCCGACCCCCCUCGAAAAAAAAUUACACUAUAUAUAUAAGAUUAAUUUUUUGUGUACGUGUAUAUAUUUAAAAUUGAACCCCCUGAGCAUAUGUCAAAGGAGUAGCUCAAUGGUUUAUGGGGUUCAGGAUUUCGCCUAUGUUUUAUUUGAACCCCCUCGAUAGAAUUCCUGCCUCCGCCACUGCACACACGAUAAAUAUAUAAAACUGGUAGAAUACCGACGUGGUAUAAUUCAAUCAAUCCACGUACAAAAUUUUAACCAGGGAGAUGUUUGGAUACUGUAGUGGAACAUCAAAAUAUAAUGCAAAUUAUUUUGUGGAUAUCUGAACUAAAACUAUGAUAUGGAUCAUUCUUUGAAAUUUGAUCACAUAUAAUCUAAUCUCGAUAAUUUGUCAGAAUUGGUUAUAAAUUUUUGAUAGAUUAUUAUAAUUUAUUGUGUGAAAAUUUCACCAGUAUGAUCAUGCUUCAACGUAAAUCUUCAAAAAUAAAUAGAUUUACUUUAUCUUUGAUCCUCAACAUUUAAAGCUCAUUAAAAUCAAACAAUGAUGCUCUUCAAUUUCUUCAACCAAUUGAAACCAAAUAAUGAGAAGGUGGAGAGGAAGACUCUAAAAAAUCGCCAGGAAUUUGAUCAUAAUCUUGACAAGUUGCUGGAAUUUGUUUGGUCCUUCGUUUCGUUGACACAAAGUUUAAAAAUAAAAAGAAAAUGUUUGAAUUUGUUGAUCUAAAAAAAUAUGUCGAAUGUAUUAAAAUGCCCUUUAAUCUUUGUUGUUUUAAACAUGUCACAUGGAAAAUUUUAAUUAAGGAUUUGUUGGAAAGGGUAAUUUUUUAAUAGACUAAAACAAAAAGUAGGUCAAACAAAUUAAAAUCGAGGAAAUAUAAAAUUUUGAUGGAUUGUUAUAAUUUGUUGUGUAAAAAUUUAACCAAUACAUUUUUUGUUUCAAAAUCGGUCCGAAUCAACUUCUAAUUACUCCAAAUUUGAUAUACAACCUUCUCAUAUAAAUCACAACAAAUUUUCAAUUAUUAGAUUCUUUGUAAACCUUCAAAAAUAAAUAGAUACCGUUGAUCUUCCACAAUUUUUCUUAAGCUCAAUAAGAUCCAACAAUUUUUUCAACCAAAUGAAACCAAAUCAUUAAGGAUAACAAUAUAAAUUCAAUGGAACAUUACAUAUAUAAUUCCAAUCACAAAUUAAUAAGCAACGAGAAGGAGAAGAAGAGAAAUAGGAGUUUCCUUGCAUUUCAUGAAGUUUGGGUGAGUUAUUUUGAUUCAAUUAAUUUAGUCUUUCUAAAAGUUGGAAUUAUUCGAGUUAAAUAUAUAAUCUAGAUUGACUUAUAAAUUUUUCCGUACCGAACACACCCUUUGUCUCUUAUUUUUCUUUUAAUUUGACUAUAAACUUAUAUUUUAUAUUUAAAUAUAAUUAAAUUUUAAAAUUUUCAUAUAUCUAUAAUGAGAUAAUUUAUAAUCACAUAAUUAUCUAAAUUUAUUAUUUCUGCACCAUAAAUUUAAAAAAUAUUACUCAAUUUUUUUUAUGUGUAAUCAACUACGAUAUAAAUUAUGACGAAAGGGGUAGCUUUUUAAACUCAAGCAUUUAUGGACCACAAUAUGCAAUGGUCGCCUAACAACAACACCUAUCUGAAUUAAGAUGUCUACAUAUUUAUUUAUUUGUAUUGUUAAGCAAUGACUCUUAGUUUUGAUGUUUUAGAUAGAAAAAUUGUAAACAUUUUGAAUUGGAUGUGAAUUAUUAAUUUCAUACUCAAAUUAUUGAUAGCCUUAAAAAUAUUCAUCUACUUAACUAACUGAACCUAAAAACACCCUUUCAUCCUAUAAACAUACAUGUACGCGUACGUACAUUGGAGCCUCGAUUAAAUCUGGAUCGCCCACCGUAGGGCCAUUUGGGGAUAGCGCUCCCAACAAAAAUUUCUCCAUAUCCAGAGCUCGAACCCAAGAUCUCUGAUUAAGGGUGAAACAGUCUCACCACUGUACCACAACCCAUGUUGGUGGUAGGUUGGGUGAAUUAAUGAGCCCUUAUGUUAAUUUAGUUUAUUUUGAUCUAUUUUAUUUAAAAUUUAGCAAGGAUCGAACAAAUUACCUUUCUAAAUUAUGCAAAAAUUAAUACAAAAAAAUCAAUCACUAUGUUUCUAUUUUUAAAAUAAAAUAAAAUUAUACCACUAAACAAAGUGUCUAUCAAUUUUUUAUUAAAAUAAAAAACUUCAAUAGACAAGUAUUGCCUUUGCCCUUAAUUUGCUAUUAUAAUAUUGUUACCGGAGAAGAUGCAGAUAAGAAAAUUUAUUCCGGCGACCUUAGAGCCCUUACAAAAAGUAGCCAUUGUUUUUAGGGAAAAUUGUAUAUAAUAGCAAACUAUUAAUUCAAAUUAAAUGCUAUAAAUAUACUUUGAUUUAAUUGUACCCUAUAGCAAAUUAUUGCUAUUUUCGCCACUCUCCCUGGUGGAAUCUCGCUCGCCACUCUCGUUUGGCAGUAGUCUUGCUCGCCUCUUUCGCUUUUAUACAAAUACAAAUAUAUAAAAUGUGUUUGUGUUUUAUAAAGCGAGAGAAAAUUGUAUAUAUACAUAUAUUUUUGUUCCCCUCUCUCAGAUCUCGCUUGCCACUCUCCCAAAUCUCGCUCGCCACCCUCGCCUCUCUCGCUUAUACAAACAGAAACGAAAUGUAUAAAUUGCGCUUCUAUUUAUAUAAAGCGAGAGAAAAUUGUAUAUACACAUGCAAUUACAUAUAUCUUCGUCCUAUACACUUAUAAUUAUACAAUACAAAUAUUUCCCUGCCCAGUUUUCUUUUGCCUUUUUCUCUUUCUCGUUUUAUACAUACACAGAUUAUACAAUUGAUCUUUUGUAUACAACUGCUUUCUUUUGUAUAUGUAUAGCGAAUUAUACAACUGCCUUCUUUGUAUAUGUAUAACAAAUUAUACAACUGUUUUUUUGUAUAUGUAUAGCGAAUUAUACAUUUAUAUGUUUGCUAUGGAGCGAAAUUAUGCAAACUUUGCUAUAACAUACAAAUAUGAAUUUUAUGUUUCCUACGUGAAAGUUGCUCUUGUUUUUAUGGAUAAAUCUAUCUCUAUUUUGCUUGCUAUUAAUGAUUAGUCUAUCUCCAAUUUAUACAGCUGCUAAGGGCAUUUUUGACAAACAAAAAAUAGCUACCGACCGCCACCUUUUAGGUUAGUGACAUUAUUUCAUUUAUAAAUUAUAAUGAUUUAAAGAAAAUAAGUACUCUAGUAUAAAGCAUGUAUUUGGCUUAAUUAAUUCUCUUAAAAUUAUCCCCUUAAUUUAUCUAGACAUUUAAAUUCAGACUUGUACCUAUUGAACACUUCUAUUCUUUUAAAUUUGAGCCAUUCUAACAUUUUUUUAACAAUCAACUAAAAAUAUAAGAAAGAGUGAAAUGUACUAGCGGUGACAUGACAAUUUGACAAAUUAAAUAAGUAAAAUUUACAUAAAUCUCAUAGUGUUAAGAACUAAUUAUAUCAUAUCUCUACUCUUUUUCAAAUUACAAAAAUCAUUUAAAUUUAUAGGAUCUUGGAUAUAUUUGAAAAUAUGUAAAUACAUAGUUCAUGGAUUGCGAAUGAUACAUUACUUAAUGGAAGGGAUGUAUUCGAAGGGGAGGGAUGUAUUCGAGAGGGGAUAGGAUGUAUAUGAGAGGGGAUUGAUAUUAGUAAAAAAGUUGAAAAAUUUACAUUGUCAAUUUAAUUUUUGUAGUUAGUACUAGAUAUUAGCCAUGACUAGCUUUUAAAUUCAUAGCUAAAAUUUCCUAAUUUAAUGUCUGAUUUAAAAGUAAAAAUUUAAAAUAAGCCAAUUCAAACAAAAUCUGUACUUACCAAAAAAAAAAAAAUCCAAGCAUUCCAUUCUAGGCGAUAAGAAAAAGGGAACAAGAACACUAUGUCUGCGACUGAUCAACAACAAUUCAGUAAGCCACACGUCCAAACACUAAAGGCAUACUCAAAAACAUAGGAAAAAGUACUUAUAGAGGUUUCUAACAUUAUUCAAUUUGGAGGGCUUGUUUAUGGAUUCUAUUGUGAUUAUUCUACUGUGUUGUAUUAGUCUCCUUGGAUGUUCAUUUUGCUAGAAUAAUCUGAAAGCCACUCGCCUUAAUAUAUUAACAACCACACGCCUUCGCCUUUGUGUAAUAGCCAGACACCUUAAUGUAAGCCAGAGAUCACAAACACAAAACGAUACAUUUAUGAAUCUCAAAUCACUUGGAAAUCACAUGUAAUACCUAAAUAUUGAUUAGUUCUUCAAGUGUAUUUUCUGUUUUUUCUUCCGGUUAAUGUGUAAAUGUAAUGAACAUAACGAAAAAUAAACUAUAGGGUUAAAUUAUCAACGACAAUGGGUAAUAAAACACGAUAGAAACAGAGGAGUGGAGGGGAGCGACGAACCAACCUGAAAGUUUCUUUGUUCUUGGACGUAGUUGCUGCGAUUCAAUUAUAGAUGCUGGAACCACACGCCUUAAUAUAACCUUAAUAUAUAUUAACAGAGGAAUCGAUAAUCAAUUACAUUCAAAAUAGUAGCAGCCAGAGAUCACAAACAUAAAAAUGAUACUUUUAGGAAUCUCAAAUAACUUGGAAAUCACAGAUAAUACCUAAAUAUUGAUCAGUUUAUCAAGUGUAUUUUUUGUUUUUCUUCCAAUUAAUGCAUAAAUAUAAUGAACAUAAUGGAAAAUAGGUUAAGUUCUCAACGACAGAGCAACAGGGGUAAUAAAACAUGAUAGAAAUAGAGGAGUGGAAGAGCGACGAACCAACCUGAAAGUUUCGUUGUUCUUGGAUGUAGUUACUGCGAUUGAAUUAUAGCUGCUGGAAGUAGUUCUUCGAUUCAAUAUAUGUUGCUGGAAGGUCUCUGCUGCUAACGAAUGAAUAUAUGUUGCUUGACGUUGCAGCUCUAAUCGAUUUAGGAUGAUGAAUCCUAAUGUGUGUGGAAGAUCUUUUUAGGAAUACUUUCCUUAUUAGAAGCAUAUAGAGGGUUUUUUUGUUACUAAUGUUUUCCUUAUUGACCAGGAGUUCUUUUUUUCCAGAAAUAAGAGAAUCGCGGGAAAAAAUAUUAAAGGGAAAGCAGGAGUUCUAAUUUUCAGAAAAAGAAGAAGAAGAAGGCUUUUAGUGACUAUUUUUAGAAUUGCUUCUAAAAGUGUACAUAUUGCAUUAAACAUUAGCCGUUAAUAUUUUGCCUCACAUGAAUAUAUUAGCGGCAAUUUGCUUAUUGCCGCAAACCAAUUGUCGCUAAAGUUCAUUUUUGUAGUAGUGUAUUUUUCAACACAUUGAGUUGCUAUCUACAGUUUUACAGCUUUCCAUAUAUUGCAUCUUUUAUUGUUGCUUUAUUCUUGAGUAUCUUGAGUUGAACUGUGCUUCAUCGAGUCGAGUACAUUAUUGUUGAGUUGAGCCUUAUUUCACUGAGUUGAAUAUCUUAUCCCUUGAGUUGAGUAUCAUAUUCUUGAGUUGAGUCGAGUAAGUGAGUUGAGAAGAGGGAAGUAUGUUUCAUUUUUAUUAAGUUCAAGCUUGUGUUUAUGCUUUAGAAUUUCCCUUACAUGCUCGUACAUUUCACGUACUAAGCCAUUUGGCCUGCAUCCUUUCAUGAUGCAGACACAUUUAUAUUCAGGGUCAUCAACAGUGUCACAACCCGAGCCUACACCCUGGACGUGGCCGGCACUCGAGAACCAUUGCUGGUCCCCAAACAAACUCUCAUCCUGGCUGACUACAAGCGAAAAACUGAUUCAAGCAUACAAAGCUUAAAAACUGAAUAAAAUCAAUAACUCAAAUACAAAGCUUUAACUCAAAAUAAAACUCUGAAUAAAAAUAAGAUAUUCAACUCGCCAAAAAAUAGGCAACUUAAGUCUUUAAAAUAUUUAAUAAAAUAAAUGAAUAAUACAGACUUCUCAACUAUACUGACUAUCUAUGAAGCCUCUAACUGAUAAAAAUGGAAGUCGGGACAAGACCCACGACAUCCUGACUAAACUGAAAAGUAAAUGAAAUUCUCCGAAAACAAUGAGGCUCACCAUAGAUAACUCGAACUCCUGGAUGUAUCAACGAAUCUUCUGUUGAUGAUCCUGAAUACCUGUGUCUGCAUCAUGAGAAGAUGCAGGCCAAAUGGCUCAGUAUGUGGAAUGUACGAGCAUGUAAGGGGUAUUCUAAAACAUAAACAUAAGCUUGAAACUUGAUAAAAAGGAAACAUACUUACCUCUUCUCAAACUUACUCAACUCAAGGUAUACUCAAGGAUACUCAAAACUACUCAACUUACUCAAUUCAUAAGUAUUCAAGGAUAAGAUACUCAACUCAGAGAUUAGAUACUCAACUCAAAGAUAUGAUAUUUGACUCAGGUACUCAACUCAAUAUAAAACAACAAUACACAUGCAAUAUAUGGAAAACUUUAUAAAAACAGUAAAACAACUUAGUUCGUUAAAGAAAAUGCAAUAACAAACUCAAUUUUACUUAUAUAAUAAAGAAAUAUAGUUUAUGUGGGAGUUUCUCUAACUGACAACUAUCACUUUAAGAGCUAUAGUGAUGAUACAACACUUUUACCUCACGCUGCCAAGGACCAUUCUAUACCUUGCCAUCAGUAUAGGGACCUAACUUAACUUAGUGGAUCCACUAGUCUAUGCGAAAAGGAUUCAUCUAAAAAGUAUUACCCUUUUCUACCUAUGAUGGCUACAUGGUUUUCAUCAAGACUUGAGUUAAUAGGAAACUCGCAUCCCCAUAUCGGUGCUCAAUACUACUCUCACAAUAUAACUAGCUCAUAUGUUUAGAAACAUAACUCUUUCUGUGUUUUGAGAUUAUUACUCAAANNNNNNNNNNNNNNNNNNNNNNNNNNNNNNNNNNNNNNNNNNNNNNNNNNNNNNNNNNNNNNNNNNNNNNNNNNNNNNNNNNNNNNNNNNNNNNNNNNNNNNNNNNNNNNNNNNNNNNNNNNNNNNNNNNNNNNNNNNNNNNNNNNNNNNNNNNNNNNNNNNNNNNNNNNNNNNNNNNNNNNNNNNNNNNNNNNNNNNNNNNNNNNNNNNNNNNNNNNNNNNNNNNNNNNNNNNNNNNNNNNNNNNNNNNNNNNNNNNNNNNNNNNNNNNNNNNNNNNNNNNNNNNNNNNNNNNNNNNNNNNNNNNNNNNNNNNNNNNNNNNNNNNNNNNNNNNNNNNNNNNNNNNNNNNNNNNNNNNNNNNNNNNNNNNNNNNNNNNNNNNNNNNNNNNNNNNNNNNNNNNNNNNNNNNNNNNNNNNNNNNNNNNNNNNNNNNNNNNNNNNNNNNNNNNNNNNNNNNNNNNNNNNNNNNNNNNNNNNNNNNNNNNNNNNNNNNNNNNNNNNNNNNNNNNNNNNNNNNNNNNNNNNNNNUUCAUGGGUAAUAGGUAAUAGUCCCAUGAUUAGGAUUAUAAUCUCGGAAGGGUUAGAAACUCAAUACUUAAGACUUAGGACAUGGGGACAUUAAUCCUCUCAUAGAUACUAAACUUAUGGAGUUCAUGCGGAAUUUAUGGGCAUGAACGACUUGACUCGUAGGUCUACANNNNNNNNNNNNNNNNNNNGUAUACAACUCUUCUCAUUCUCAUACUUACUUUCUCAAAAUUUAGUUCAAAUCAAUAGUUGAUCUCAAAUGGUUCACAACCGAACUCAAAGGCUUUCUUGAACUCUACUCUUAACUCGAUCUCUUAAAUGUGAAUUAUGAAUUCAAGAGUUAUGGUUCAUGCUAUGAAAGAUUUCAUGAUGACAAAGUAUACUCAUGAAUACAUUCUCCUCACUCUCAUGCUCACUUACUCGAAUCUUGAAACAAGUUACUAGAAGUUGUAGAAGACUCCACAAAAGGACUCAAAGGGACUUUCUUAGAAUGUUUUAAAAAAAUCUCAAAACUUAACUCUUAGCUCUACCUUGAAUUUGAAUUAUGAAUUCAAGGUUAUGAUCAUGUUAUGAAUGAUUUCUAGGUGUGUAGAAGUAGUUUAAAGUGUUUAGAAUCAAAGGGGAGUAAAGGUACCCUUUGAAAUAACUCAAACGGACGAAACGAUGGACAACGGGUGGGGGCAGGCGACCCUGGUGCUCUGAGUGGCGUGGGGUGCCAGCCCCUAAAGUUCAGAGAGGUGGUUGGGGCGCUCUGCUUGGCGUGACACGCCAGGCCCCAACCCAUAAAACUUUGACGACUUUCCAUGCUCGUUUUCUCACCCUAACUCGCCUAAAAUUGAACGAUUUCCUCCCCAAACACUUGGAUUUGAUUACUUAACAUUAUUACACUCUCAUAUACUCAAAAAAACACUCAAAUUACUAAAUUUCAUCUGAAGAAAUCAUCAAAACCCCAACACAACAAUAUUUAGAAUGAACUUUAAGAACACUUAUCAAGAACUCAUCAAAAACUCUAAUCUGUCAACUUUAAGAAUGAAAUUUGCGCUGAAAAUAACAUGAUUGGCAUGUGGGUGAACUAACCCAACACUAUGGAAGCUUACAUACCUCUUAGGGAUCAAACCCAUGGCGAAAAUCCGCUACAACACGCAAGAAUCUCGACGAACGCUUGAUCCUCUCCUCUUUUCUCCUCUUCUCUCUUCUUUUCUCUUCUUGAACUCUCAACUAAAAUCCUAGGCUAAUUUUAGGAUUAUAAAACUGAACCUAAUAGGAUUAGACCCUUAAAAUAUUACUAAAAAUGAAUUAAAUCAGAGUUGGUAAGGAAAAGACCAAAAUACCCUUCUCUAUUUUCGGCUAACUUUCCUUAACUAAAUAGCCUAUCUUCAAAAGGUCAUAUCUCACUCAUCCGACCUCAAAACUUAGCAAACUCGGCUGUGUUGGAAAGAUAAUUCAAAGAUCUUUCCUACGGUAUCUAGUUGAACACAUAAAUCAUCCUGAGAUAGGAGUUAUGAUCGUUUGAAGUCGACCCAAAACUCAUACUUAGCUUAACUUGCAAAAUUUCAGAUUUUUCUAUUUCCAAUUUAAUUCUUUUUGGAACUCAAGGUGCUACAUCUAGUGACCUUAACACUUAAGAAAUUUUAAUUCCUCGGUAAAAUCCUACUCACAACGAAGGAUGGUUUCAAGUCUCAGUUCGAAAAAAAUUCUGGGGUAUUACAAUAUCUCCCCCUUGGGAUCAUUCGUCCUCGAAUAACGACUGGACUGUGUAUGGAAUGGGUUACUCUUACUAAGGUCUGCGUCUAAUGCUAGGCAUUUGCAUUUGGUUUAAUUGAUAUGAGCCGACUGUUAGCUUAGGAAUUUCCCUCCAGUCAUGAUACAUAUGAGCUUCGUUAGAAUUAACGUGUUUAGCUAAUGCAUCUGCAAUUUGAUUAACUUCUCUAUGACAAUGAUUUACUUCAAAAUUCAUCUUCGCAACAACUUGUAAGAUGUCUUCCACAACACCUUUGAUCUUCAAUUGACGCUUGUCCAUUCCUUACCAUAUCAACCACCAUUUUUUAGUCUAAUUCAAGAUAGCAAUCGUGAAAUCCUUGUUGUGGAUGAUGAUAUCUAAAUAUAGAUACCCUUAAUUACAUCAAGCACGUUGCCAUAAAAUAAACAUAAAGUAAGUAUUGUACACCAAAUAAAAAAAUAUUCAGCGCAAGUAGAAUCCAAAAUGGCUUAUUUUGGCUUGACACGGAGUUUAAAAAAAUAUUUGAAUCAUGUGAUCUAAAAAAAAGAUAUGUCGAAUCAUGAAUGUAUCAAAAUGACCUUUUAAUUUUGUGGUCUUAAAAUGUCAUGUAGAAAGUUGAAAUUAAAGAAUUGCUAAAAAGGAAAAAGGUCAUGUUUAUUUUAAAUGAAUUAAAAAAGAAAAUAGCUCAAAUAAAUUGAAACAUAGAGAAUAUAAAAUUUUGACGGAUUGUUGUAAUUUGUUGUGUAAAAAUUUAACCAAUACGUUUUUUGUUUCCAAGUUGGUCCAAAAUCCAAAUCAACUUCGAAUUGCUCCGAAAUUUGAUAUGCAACCUUCUCAUAUAAAUCACAACAACUCUUCAAUUAUUAGAUUCAAUCUAAAUCUUCAAAAAUACAUAAAUGUCUUCAAUAUUCAACAAAACAAAUUGUUAGAGUUAUCUUAUCAAUAAUAUAAUUCAUUACUAUUUAGUAUCUAAACUCUUAGCUCGUCUCAUCCCAAUAUUACUUUGGGCAGAUCAUUUUCCUACUCGAUCAUCUAAACUCCUAGGUUUUUUUCCCUUAUAUAUAUGAUGAUGCGAUCUCCUUUUGUAUUACUAUUAAUUUUGUAACAAGUAACUAUAUCGAGACGAUUGGUUAACAACAAAAACAAAAGUAACCCAAACUUAAAAAGAAACCACAAACUGAAGAAAUUUAUGUAUUUUUGAAUGAAGAAGGUAAGGUAAGGUAAUAGGCUAAUUGCUAGCUUGUUUAUUUAUUGAUAAGCAUACAUUAAUUUACAUGGAGCGAUAGAAGGAUAUAUCCACUUUAUUUAGAAAGCUGCAAGCUAGCCAGCUAAUUAGCAUUCUACGCCUUGAUGAACACAAAUGGAAUAAAGUCCUUAUCGUCAUCGACAGUCACCAGACGAGGAUAUCCAUUUUUAAAGUUGCCGCCGAUAUUUUUGCACUGAAGAUGAGAGGGACAAUGCAGUAACUUGUAUACAUUUUUGGAACUUCCUGGUGUCACCAAGUCAAUUUUCCUAAUCUUGAAGAUGUCGUUUUCAUUUCCUACCUUACCACCAGUUACCACCAACUGUUCAUCAUCAACUUUCCAAACAGUUUGGUCAACACACAACUUUGUUGUUUUAACAAAGAACUUGAUAUAAACAGCAGUCAUUUGACGCACCACAUCACCAUAAUCCGACUCCGACUUACGAACGAAUACGACGGGCGUGCCUUUUCCCAAAAAUUGGGGAAUUGACAUGUGCUGCAACACGGCGUUUGGGCAUUGAAGGUUUCCAAUAUUGUACAAGUAUACGGCUCCGGCCCCGAUGAGAGGAUUGUUAAUAAUGUACCUCUCGCCAAUCCUCAGCGGAUCGCCGUCUUGGUCAUAAACUUCAGGGAGUACAAGAUUAUCAUCAUCAUGACAAGUUGUGGGGAGGACAAUUGGAUUCUCAGAAGUGAAAGAUCGAGCAAAGGCAACCAAAGAGAGGGUACUUGAAAGCAAGAGGAAACUCAAAAUAUUAAUCGACUUCAUCUUUC